This 117518-nucleotide long non-coding RNA is filed under the name Phaseolus vulgaris (common bean). Its description in RNAcentral is "long non-coding RNA (PVUL_LNC004504)". The record is from RNAcentral. Lineage: Eukaryota; Viridiplantae; Streptophyta; Magnoliopsida; Fabales; Fabaceae.
UCAAACAUAAAAAUGGGGAAUACUGAAACCUUGUUUUAUUAUUCAAUAUAUACACUGCGCAAAAGGCUACCCAAUUUUUGAAGGAAAGAGUUACACAUUAGGGAAAGAAGUAAACAAGUUGGUGAGGCGUUGAAUACUACUCGGUAGUGACCUCAACUCCUCACAGAACCAAAUCCCUAAUUUUUGAAGAGAAGUCAUGUCUCCCAGCCAGUCAGGCAAUGAAGUAGACGUGCAAUAGGUUAUAUCCAAAGUUUGUAGAGAGGGGAUACUUUGUAAACCAUUUGGUAAUGUGGAGAAAUGGUCGAUUUCGAAAGUCCGAAGGGCAGUUAGUUGGAUCAUAUUACUUGACAAGAAGAGAUACUCAAAAUCUCCAAACAUGUCAGAUAUCGCACACCUUCGGAUAAUGAUUUUAAGUUCUCACAGUUGGAAAUACUCAAACUUUUAAGAGAUCUCAGACCUAGAUUAUACCAAUGUUCAAUGCGUAGUUUCUGGAGUGCACCCAACCCGCUGAGUUGGUCGGGUAAUACCACCACUCCUUCAAUCUCCAAGAUCUUUAGACAAGGCAUAUUCUCUACAACCCCUUCCAUCAAGGAAGCCGCUUCGUCAAUUCAUCCAGCAUAAAGUUUCUCAACAGAAGGAAGACGUGGGAAUUUAAGGUUGGAGACGUCAUAAAUAGUUAAUUCAGAAAGACAAGGGAGCAUCUCUACUCCUUCUUCCCUCAACAUCCUCUCCAAUUUUGGUAAAUUCUUCACCCACAAAUACUCCAACGUUGGAAAUGCCUUCUCCUCUACACCAUCAUACCUCUCACCAUCUAUACACUUCACAUUUUUUAUUCCUAGCACAUAUAGCCUUUUCAAGUGUGGUAGUUUACCAAGUGGAGGAAGCUCCUCACAGUUGUCACAGCCCCAGAGUGUAACUUCCACCAAGUCUCUCAGAACUGCAUCAUUUCUCAUCCAAUUGGAUAAUUGUCUACCCUUAUAUCUUCUCAUCAUAAAACUCUUCAGAGUUGAGGGAGGUUGCAGGGCUUCCAGUACUCUCUCAACGUUAACAUUACUACCUUUUGAAUUAGCUAGCACUACCACCCCAUGACAAGUCUAGGAUAUUCAAGUCCUUCUUACCAAUCAAAUUUGCUUGUUUAGCAUCCCAUUCAUUGGGGACGUUCUCAAGGCCUUUGAUUCUCAGCUUGCCUCCAAGCUUUAAGCUAUGCAACUCUGCUAACCCACACCCUGCCUUUGAUCCCACAACGUAAGUGCUCAGUGUUCUUAGAUGCCUUAACUUGCCAAUAUUCUGAGGCAUCUCAUUUACACCACAGUUAUCAAUCACAAUAUGUCUUAGAUCCUGUAAUAUCGUCAAUUCUUUGGGCAUCCUAAGUUGGCUCAUAUUUUGUAGUUUCUAUAUUUGCAAUUUGGGCAAUUGACAAAUUAAGUUAUUUAAGCUUGAUCCCGAACCAAGAUUCAAACUCAAGUAUCUCAAAUGUGCUAAAUCCUUAAGCGGAGACGACAGAGAAGACCUUGUGCAUAAUACUCGGAGACAAUGGGUUGAUGGCAAACUAUUACCAAAACUCAGAAAAGUCCGCAGGGAUUCAACUUUCUUGAAAGCAACCAUAUUGACAGAAACAUCAUGAUUUAACAAGUGCAAAUGGUGAACUCUAGUUGGCAACUGAGUCAACCUUCCUUUCUCAACAAUCACACAUUCUUCAUCCAUAAUAGACUGGGCAAGAUCAUGAAAUAGAUCAUGCAUCUUGCAACUUCUAAUCAUACCAAACUCAUCAGACUUUGCUUCUUGAAAAAAUGAUCUACGUUAUAAUUUGUUCCACACUUUAUUUCCAACAUCCUCCACUUCUACGUUUCCUUCAGAUUUAAUAAAUCCAUUAGCCAUCCAGAGAUGAAUUAGAUCCUCCUUAUCUAUUUCAAAAUCUUUGGGGAAAAUUGCACAAAAAGAAAAGCAUCUCCUCAAAGACAACUCCAAAUUAGAAUAGCUCAAUUUCAAAGUACGUAUGAUAGAAUUUUCUUCUCGUGUCAUAGAACUACUUUCCUCUCGUAUAUUCCAAAUCUCAUUUUCUUUUACAUUUUCCCACUGGCUUACCUCACUUUUAUCACGCAAAAGACUUCCCAGUGUUUUGAUUGCAAGUGGCGAACCAACGCAUCUUCUCACUAUCUCUCUGCCAAUUGCCACAAGCUCUUCUAUUUCUUCUCUGUUUUGUCCAAAUGCAUGGUGUUUGAACAAUGACCAACUGUCGUCUCCUGACAAUCCUGUCAAAUGGUAAGCAGAAUGCGUCUCCAUGGUGGAAGCAACUUCCUGGAGUCGAGUGGUGACCAAAAUGGUAGCUCCUUUUGCUGCCCUUGCACAGUGCAACUUCCCCUUCAACUGCUUCCAUUUCUCUUUGUCUUCAUUCCACACAUCAUCAAGAACAAGUAAAUACCUCUUGCUCUGCAAUACUUCUUCAACUUUUUUACGGACUGCUUCUAAGGUAUUGAGAUUGGGAUUUUGUCCAGUGCAACAUUCUAUGAUGGAUUGUAGUAUGGUCUUGGAGUUGAAAUCAUCAGAAACACAAACCCAAAUUGUCAAGUCAAAAUGGUUGCAUACCCUGUGAUCAUUGAAGACCAGCUUGGCAAGUGUUGUUUUGCCAAGUCCACCCAUACCAACUAUGGGAUAGACGGAGAGGUCUUCACUGUUACUGGCAUCUUCCAGAAGAAACUUCACAAUUUGCUCUCGAUCCUGGUCUCUGCCAUAGAGUGUAGGUUCUGUAAUGUCAGAGCUAGUUUGGCGCCAAUCAUCGUCCACUGUUUGCACCUCCGUGACCCCAAGUUCUAAAUGAAACCUGCUCUUUUCUUGAUGAAUGUCUUGAAAUCUUUGGGUGAUGUGUUUCAUCCUCUUGCCAAUAUUGAAACGAAAGAGAAUGUCCUUAGGAUGGAGAGGGGAUAGGCAUGAAGUAUGUCCAUCAUCAGAGUGGACCUUUGUGGAGUGAAUUGAACAUUCAUCCAAGAUAUCAUCUAGCACAUAUGCUGCAUCUGUGAGUUUAUGCAGCCAAUUCUUCAGGACCUCACUUGUUAUUUGCUUUUUCUCAGCAUCUCUGAGGACAGCACGGAUUGCAGUGAGAUUGGUGGAAAGGUUUUGAGUCUGUUGGUCAACACCCCAAAACGUUGCAAGUUGGUCUUGGACAAAAGAUUGCAAGUUGUGAAUUACAAUUCCCAGCAAAGCCUCAGCCAUUUGCAGAAAUGUGAUUUUUUUGGAUGAUUGUGGUUGUGGAGAAGGAAGUACGGGGAAAAGUGCUAACAGUGAUUGGAAGGUGAUCUUAGAAAAUGAUCAAUUGGCAAGAAAAAGUUGUUGUUUUCUUCCUUGGCAAGUGGCCCCUCUUUACUUUUGUUGACGAAGAGUGUUGAUAGUAUUGAAUUUCUUCAUGAACAGCAUAAGGAACUUCCAGAAAGAAGGAGAUGAAUCAGAGGCAUAACAUUGUGCGAGUGAGAGACACGUGUUAAGAAAGAAAUAUUUUUUGUAUAUUAUUGAAAAAGAACGUUGCAGCUUUACAUCAUAUAUUGGCAUGGUGUAUAUUCAGAACACCAAGCUUGGUAACAAGUUUAUGAAAAACUGCAUAGUUGAGAGACUUUGUAAGAAUGUCUGCUGGUUGUUCUUGAGAGCUUAUGGGAAGAAGGUGAAAAAGCCCAUGUUGUAAUUUCUCUCUUACUACAUGGCAGUCAAUAUCCAGAUGUUUGGUUCUCUCAUGAAAUCCGUUGUUGUGAGCUAUAUGCCUUGCCGACUGGCUGUCACAAAAGAGGCUUGCAGCAUUGUUGACUUUGAUGCAGAGAUCUUCGAGAAGGUAUACAAGCCAUUGUAUUUCACAACAUGUGGUGGCUAAAGCACGAUAUUCAGCUUCAGAGGAUGAUCUAGAAAUGGUACUUCGCUUCUUGGUUUUCCAGGAUAUCAAGGAGUCUCCAAGGAAGAUGCAAAAACCAGUGGUUGAGCGGCGUGUGGUGAUACAAGAAGCCCAGUCUGAGUCACUAAAAGCUUUAAGUUGAAUGUCAGUACUUUUAGGAAAGAAUAUACCUUGUGCUGGAGAGGACUUGAUGUAUCUCAAAAUUCUCUGAACAGCUUGGUGAUGAAGCUUUGAUGGAGCCUGGACAAACUGACUGAGGAAUUGAACAGAGAAGCUAAUAUCUGGUCUGGUGUUCACAAGAUAUAAUAACCUUCCAAUGAUUCUUCGGUAUAGAGUUAUGUUGUGNNNNNNNNNNNNNNNNNNNNNNNNNNNNNNNNNNNNNNNNNNNNNNNNNNNNNNNNNNNNNNNNNNNNNNNNNNNNNNNNNNNNNNNNNNNNNNNNNNNNUCGUUCUUCUGUGUCAUAGGAGUGUUUGCAGGUUUAGCACCAAGCAUACCUGCAUCAGUCAAAAUAUCGAGAGCAUACUUUCUUUGGCAUAUAUGUAUACCUUUAUGUGUUCUAGCAAUUUCCAGACCCAAGAAAAACUUGAGAUGCCCCAAAUCUUUUAUUUUGAAAGCAGAAUUUAAAGAAUUUUUUACAAUAUCUAUGUCUUUUAUAUCAUUUCCAGCAAUCAAUAUAUCAUCCACAUAUAUAAGUAAAGCAAUAAAUGAAGUCUCAGAUUUUCUGAUGAAAAGGGAAUUAUCAGCUCUGGAUUGAACAAAAUUGAUGUUGUAAAGAAAGGAACUUAACUUAUCAUACCAUUGUUUGCUGGCCUGUUUCAGACCAUACAAAGCUUUGGUUAACUUGCAAACCUGAUUACUUUUCACUGUGGUGAUACCAGGAGGCAAGCUCAUGUAAACUUCUUCUUGUAGAUCUCCAUGCAAGAAAGCAUUGUUCACAUCCAGCUGUUCCAAGUGCCAAUCCAUAACAGCAGCUACAGCCAAGAUGGUGCGUAUAGUUGUGAGUCUUGCUACAGGUGAGUAGGUGUCCAUGUAGUCAAUGCCUUCACGUUGUGUGUAGCCUUUUGCUACAAGUCUUGCUUUGUACCGUUCAAUUUCACCAUCUGCCUUGUGUUUGACUUUAUACACCCAUUUGCAGCCAAUGGGAAUCUUGUUGUGAGGAAGAUCUAUUAUAUCCCAGGUUUUAUUUACUUCUAGUGCCUCUAUUUAAGCUCUCAUAGCCUCCAUCCAUUCAGGGUAGCAUUUUGCCUCCUCAUAACAUUUUGGUUCAGUUUUAAAGGAGAUAGACAAGGUAUAUUUUAGUUGUUUUUCAGAUAAACUUUUAUAGGACAUAACCGAAUAAAGAGGAUAACGUACCUUUUCUUUCAAUUUUUCUUCACAUGGUGAUAUCAUGAGCUGAUGAUGAUAGUCUUCAAGAAAUGUUGGUGUUCUCCUGGUUCUGGUGGACCGCCUCAAUUGUUCUUGUUCUAUGGAAUUUCCAGCUUCAUUUUGUGUAGAGAGAUCACCAUGCAUCAUGUUUUCCCUUUGUGCAGUUCGGUUUUCUGUCUCCCUUUGUACAUGAGCAUCAUCAUAUGUUAUUCUUGUGAAGUCAUCUUCUUCUUGUAUGACAGCUUGAUCAAUUCUAUUUUGAAACUUGCCAAAAAAAGAUUCAUAGAAAAUAACAUUCCUAGAUAUAAAAACUUCUCUAGUUUGAAUAUCCAUAACAACAUAACCCUUUGUACCUUGUUUAAAACCAAGAAAAAUACACUUACGUGCCCUAGGGUCAAGCUUAUGUCUAUUUUGUUCAAGAGUAGAUGCAAAGCAAAGACAACCAAAGACUUUAAUAUCAGAAAGACAAGGUGCAAUAUUAUAUAAGAGUUCAUAAGGAGAUUUGUUAUGAAUAACAGGGGAAGGAAGGCGAUUAAUCAGAAAAACAGAAUGCAAAACAACAUAACACCAAAAGACUUUGGGUAAUCUGGACUGAAAAAUAAGGCAUCGAGUGAUAUUAAGAAUAUGUUGGUGUUUCCUCUCAACAAUAGAGUUUUGUUGAGGGGUUUCAUUACAAGAGGUUUGAUGAAUUAUGCCAUGCCUUUCAUAAAAAUCUUUCCAAUAGAACUCUUUACCGUUGUCAGUUCUAAUAAUUUUUACAUUCCUGUUGAACUGAUUUUUAACAUAAACAACAAAACUUUGUAAAAGCUCUCUAGUUUCGCUUUUAUUUUUCACCAGAUGAACCCAUGUAUGUCUGCUAAAAUCAUCCACAAUGGUUAAAAAAUAUUUAUGACCAUGCAAAGAAGGAGUACCUAGAGGUCCCCAUAUGUCUAUGUGAAUGAGAUCAAAAACAUUUUGACUAUUUGUUUUGCUAAGAGGGAAAGACAAUUUAUGUUGUUUUGCAAGAUGACAAGGAGCACAAACAUUCUUAUCAUUGUAAUGUAUAUCAGAAUAUUGCUUAGCUAAACAAUCUAAUAUUCUAUUUGAGGGAUGACCCAUCCUACAAUGCCAAACAUCCAGAUUAUUUACAGUAUCAAAAGAAUCAACAUGUAAAGUGUACACAGAGUUGUUUUCUUCAUCAGCAUACAAAUGAUAGAGCCCAUUUUGAAUCUCAGCUUGACCAAUCAUCUUCAAGGAAUUUUUCUCCUGAAUUUGACAAAUAUUGUGAGUAAAAACAAGUUGACAAUUUAAAGAAGAUAUAAGGCGUUGAACAGAUAUGAUAUUUAGGGUAAAAUUUGGAAUAUACAGAACAUUAUGCAGAGUAAUGUUUUUGGAAAGAAAAACAGUUCCAGCAUGAGUAGCAUACACAUAUUGAUUGUUAGGUAGCUUGACCCUUAAUGAUUUUAUUUUGUGAUAGCUUAUAAAUAGGGAAAUAGAGCAAGCUACGUGAUCAGUAGCACCCGUGUCAAGAAUCCAGAAAGACUUACCCUUUUUACCUGGAUUUUGUUUUGAAGUUUCACCCAUGGCAUUGAUUACGGUUUGUUCGUUGCCUUUUGAAUUUUGUAUCAUGUCAAUGAGCUGUUGCAGUUGCUCAGGAUUGAGGACUUCAAAGAUUUUCUCAUUAUGAAUCUUAGCUUGUGAAAACUCUUCAUUCUCACCAUUACAAUCCUCGUUUCUUUCAAUAGCAUUUGCAGUGUAGUUCGUUCUCUGCUUCAUCCAUGGUGGAAGACCGUGUUUCGAAUAACAUUCAUCAGCGGUGUGGUUCAUCUUGUUACAGAAAGAGCAUUGCUUCCCAUAGUUCUUUCCUCUUCCUCUUCCUUGGUUGCGCCAUCCAUGAUUAACCUUGUUGUUCGUUCUUUGACUCUGAUGAUUGACGCUAUUGAGCAAGAUCUUUGUAUCUAUGCCUAUAUUUUCAUUCAGAUGCCUUUCCUGCUGCAGAACAAGGGAGAAGACGCGAUUGAUAUUUGGUAGAGGUUCCAUGAGUAAGACUUGCGUUUUGACAGUGUUAUAAUUUUCUCCCAAUCCUUUUAAGAAACACAUAACCCGUUCGGAGUCUCUGUAACUCGCCAUUGUCUUCAUCACAUUACAACUGCAUUUUACUUUGCAAAUACAGGUUGGUAAUGGUCGCAAAGAAUCCAGUUCCUCCCACAAAAUCUUUGAGUCUGUGAAGUAAUCUGUGAUGUUCCGCUCUCCUUGUUUGAUAGAAUUGAUUUCUUGUAAGAGAUCAGAAGCGCGAAAAUGAUUGCUUUUUGAGAAUCGUUCUUUAAGGUCUUCCCACAACUCCUUUGCAUUGUCAAUAUACACGGUGCUUUGUGCUAUCUGAGUAGUCAGCGUGCGUGUGAUCCAUGAAACCACCAUGACGUUGCAUCUUUCCCGGGCUUCGUAUUUUUCGUCAUCACGGGUUGGUUCCAAGAUAUCACCAUUAACGAAUUUGAACUUGUUCUUUGAGAGUAGGGCUCGUUUCAUAGACCGGCUCCAGGAGUGAUAAUUGGAUCCGUCAAGUUGUGGCGUAACAAGAAUCACACCUGGGUUUUCUCCUGGAUGAAGAUAAUAUGCACUGAUAGGGUUUUGUUGAUCAUCUUGUUUGGUCGCAGCCAUGGAAAGGAACAAGGAAAAUCAAGAAGCAAAGAAAGAGAAAUUAAAGGGAUGAAAGGGAAGAAGAAAACCGGUGGCAGCAUAAGGAACUUCCAGAAAGAAGGAGAUGAAUCAGAGGCAUAACAUUGUGAGUGAGAGACACGUGUUAAGAAAGAAAUAUUUUUUUGUAUAUUAUUGAAAAAGAACGUUGCAGCUUUACAUCAUAUAUUGGCAUGGUGUGUGAAAAGAAAAAGGAUUAUUGGGCUGAACUAAAGCUAACUAAACCUUAGGCCCAACAAACCCAAAACAUCAAAAGAUAGAAUGAGUGAACAACUCAAAGCAACCAUAGAAUUGCAUAGCAACUUCCCUCUCUUCCUUCCACUGUUUCCACUUACUUUCUCUUUCAUUUGCCAUCAAAUUUCCCAACUCUUUCCACAACAUGUUUAUCUCUUUCCUCGAAAAUAUUUCAUAAAAUAAAAAUACAGAAUUAUUUAUAUGUUCUUAAAAUUAGGGGAAAAUAGUUUUUCAAAUUAUGUAUAAGUUUUGUUAUCUUUAUUCGUAUCAGCAUAUAAAACAUAUGAUACAAUUAUUGUUCAACUGUAUUAUAUUCAGAGAAUAUUUCUCACUAAUUUUCACCUAAACAUAUAUUACUUUCUAAAACCCAUAUAAAUUAAAAAUUUAUCUGAAAAAAUAUAAUAUAUAUUAAUAAUUUAUUUUAAAUUUUAUACAAAUAUUUUUUUCUAUUUAUAUAUAAAGUCUGAACAUUGAAAAUAAUUAAAACAUUUUUAAAAAUUAUUAUGAUUAAAUAAAAUAAAUAAAAAAAUAUAAUUAAGAAAUUAAUUAAUUAAUUAAAAAAAUAUAAUAUUUAAUUAUUAAAAAAUAAUUGUCUAAAAGAACUAUCUAAUGGAUAUGAAGUAAUAAACUAAAUAAAUAAAUAAAAUAUAAAAGAUAAUAAGGAAUGUUUUCAUUUAAUGAAAGUUAUCAUGAUUUUUAUAAAAUAAAAUUUUGAUUUAUAAAUAGGUGGAGUGGAAGAGAAGGUGAAGGAAAGACAAGGAGAAGUUAGGAGAGAGAGAAGGGAUAGGGAGAAAAAAAAGAGAAAGGAGAUUUGGAGGAAGUAAUUUUAAAUCUUCACAUUUGAAGUUUGAUUUUAUUUUGUCACUCCAAUAAGGAAUUAAUGUUAAACUUUUUUAUUUUAAUAUUAAUAAACUUUUUUUUAAAUUAUUUAUUUAUCUUUAAUUACAUAUUAAUUUUAUUUAUAUGUUUUAAUUAUCACCUGUUAGACACGUCUUAAAUUUUUUAUUUAUCUCUCGUUCUAUUUAUUUAUUUAUUUUAUUUAUCUUAUGUUACACAUUAGUUUUAUUUUAUUUAUUUCUAAUUAUUUAAUAGUCAUAUUUAUUUAUUUUAUUUAUAUUUAAUUACGUAUUAAUACUAUUUAUUAAUUUUAUCUAUCUCUAAUUACACAUUGGUUAUAUUUAUUUAUCUCAUUUAUUUUAAAUUACGCAUUAUACCUAUACCUAUUUAUUUGAUUUUACCUACCGUUCUGUAUUGGUCUUAGUUAUGAUUUUUAUAUCCAAUUAAACACUGGUUUUAUUUAUUUAUUUAUUUUAUCUAUACUUAAACAUUGAUUCUAGUUAUUUAUUUAUUUAUAUCUUCAAUUACGCAUUUAUCCUAUUUAUUUGUUUAUAUAUUUUUAUUAUUUUAUUUUUCUGUAAUAUAACUUUUUCAAUUCAAAGAUAUACAUAGUAAUAAUAAAAAUAAAUUAAAAGUAAUUAUUAUUUUUUAUUUAAUGUGUUUAGAUAAAAGAAAGUUGUUUGUAUGUUUUAUUAUUAUCUUUUAUAUUUGUUUGUAUUUGUUUGAAUGGUGCAUAUAGACUAUUGUUAAAAUAAAUAUGACAAUUUUUAACCGUCCUCAUCAUGUUAUGUGAUUCUUGAAAGUGUAAAAGAAUAUGUCAGUUGAGAACAUUGAGUUAAGAUCAUGUUAAUGUAUAAGUCUUUGUAUUUGAGAAGUCACAAUUUGGUAUAUGGUGGGAAGAAAGGUAGGAAUCAAGUGGGGUUUAAGGAAGUUACCAAGUAGGUGAAUAUAUGGAUAGUUCAGAAUAGCACCAUGAACUAUGACAUUCAUAGAGAAAACUUGGAAUUGUUCGAUCCAUGCUCAACAUCGUCAAGGUUAGGUAAUCCGUAUAUAAAGUAGAAACCUAAAAACGUUAUAUUUGUGUUGUUAUGGAACACCUUGGAUUACGUAUAAGGAUAAGAAAAAGCCUUGUUUAGUUAUAUGUCUCUGAUAACACUUGUUAACAUUUUCUUAGGCUAAUUUAUCUUCUAACAUUUGCUCUUAUUGUUUGUUUUUAGCAGAGAUUUAUGUUUUCUGUUAUAAAUAAGACUUGAAAAAUAAAUCGAAAAAUAUUAUGACUAAAAAAAAUGAUAAAAAAUUAUUUUUUAAAAAAUAAGUUAGUUAUUUAUUUAAUUACGAAAAUAUAAUAAUUAAUUACUAAAAAUAAUUAUUUAAUAAACCUUCCAAUAGAUAAGAAGGAAUAAAAAUAAAUAAAAUAUAAAGGAUAAGAUGAAAUAUAAUUAAUGAAGGAAUCUUCAUCGUGACUUUACAACAAAAAAUUAAAAUUAAAUUACUUUGUGACUUAUAAAUAAGUGGAAUGGGAGAGAAGGUGAAUGAAUGGCAGGUGAAGCAACUAGAGAAAAAAAAGAAAAAGAGAGAGAAAGGACAUUUGGCGUAAGUAAGUUUUAUUAUAUAGAGGAGAAUUGAGGUUAAACUUUUUUUAUAUUAAUCUUAAUAAAUUUAUGUGUAUUUUAUUAAUUUUAUUUAUUUAUUUUGAAUUCUAUAUUAUCAUAGUCUCUUUAUUUUAUUAUUUUUAUUAAUUUUCACUUAAUCAUUGCUCGUAUUUAUUUAUUUUCAGUGAUAUGGUACUAUUUAUUUAUUUUAUGUUAUUUAAUUAACAUUCAGUACUUAUUUUAUUUAUUUAUUUUAUUUAUCUUUACUUACAUUGUUCUAGUUAUUUUAUUUAUCUCAAUUGAUUCUACUUAUUUUAUUUAUUUAUUUUAUUUAUCUUUACUUACAUUAUUUUAGUUAUUUUAUUUAUCUUCAAUUACGUAUUGAUUUUAUUUAUUUAUCUUUAGUUAGACACUAGUUCUAUCACAAACAAGUCUAUAUUGUGCGUUAAGUUUAUUAAAAUUGAUAUUUAAGACUUAUAAAGACCUCACUCUUUCCUACUUGUUUUUAUAUAUACCUAUUGUAUGAGUAGAAACUACUUGUUUUUAUAUAUACAUAUUGUAUGAGUAGAAAGAGAACUUGUUGACUAAAAUAUGUUUAUAAAGAUUUUGGAAGUCUUCUAUAGAAGAUCGACUCAUGAAAAGUUUAGAAUAUUGAAAACAUAUAGAUUGAUCUCUAUAUUGAUGUAAAACUCUUAUUAUUCUAUAAAAUUUAUAUAAUUUUAUAAUAUAAUAAAUAAAUAUAAACAUGUAAAAUAUUGACAUACAUUAAUAUCUAGAUAUUAAUGAGAUUAUGUUAUGAUUAAUAUUCUCUAAACAAUUUUUAUUGAAGAAAUAAAAUCUACUAGUUGGAGUGUUAUAAUGAACCUAAACAAAAGGAACGACUCACUUUAAGUUUUGUUUCCGUAAAUGGAUUUGUGCCUAUGGAUAAAAAAAUAGAAAAAACAAAAAAAAAAUAAUAAUAAGAUAAAAGUUUCAUAGUAAUUUUAAUUUUUCUUUAUAUACGUAAAUGUUUUAUAUAGUAAAUAUUUUAUUAUAUUUAUAAAUAUAAUAAAAUUAAAACUAUUAACUAAUAAUAAAAUUAUAAUUUAUUAUUUAAUUAAAAUUAAUUUAUGAUGACAAAGGUAAUUUAGUCAUUAUAUAUAAAUAUUAUUUUAUUUUUCUUUGAUCUCUCGAUAUUUUUUUAUUAUAAAAAUCAAUAUGUUUUUUCCCAUCAUAUGUUUUAUGUUGAUACGAAUAAAGAAAGAAAAAUAAUAUAAAUAAUUUAUUAAACAUAAUAGUCAAUCUAAUAAACACGUUGACUCACCACUUGUGUUUACGUUGUUUUGAGCCUUUUGUUUAAGUUAAUUGAAGAGUGGGUGAGUAUAGUAAAAAAGUGGAUACAGAUUGUAAAAUGACUCACCACUUGACAUGGAAAGCAUGGAUGUGGCAUGAGAAGCAUGAACAUCCACAUGAAUCUUCCUUAAUGGAGAGAAUCCUCACUAAUUAAGAAGUGAUAUUUUUCAAUCUCUCAUUUGAGAGGAAUCUCUCAAAUAAGAGGAAGACACUUGUCAACCUCUCAUUUGAGAGGAUCAUAAGCACGAAACAUGUUAUAUCACGUGUCACCUUGCCAUUGGAGAGUUUUUAGGACAAGUCUCCUAUAAAUAGGAGUGUACCUCUAUUGUAAAGUUUAACUUGAAAUUAGUAAUGAAAUGCUACUCAUUUUUUGCCAUUCUACUUGUUCCUAAGUUCUCCAUAGGUUGGUCUCCUUCAAGACUUAGCAUAUACUCUUUCUGUUGGGUAUGAAGUCAGGACCAAUUGGGUUGGACUGAGUAGACACCAUGUUUUAGUGAGUGGGCUUAAUCAUUGUGUCCCUUUAUUAUAUCUAUUUAUCUUUAUUUAAAGAGAUCAUUGUACUUGUAAUUGGGGUGCAACAGGAUAGAAUGAAAACCUAAUAGUUGCCCGUGUGGAUGUAGGUUGCAGGUGACGACCGAACCACGUUAAAUCAUGUGUUGUUUAUUUUCUGCAGUUAAUUUGUGAUUAUGUAUGUUGCUUCCGCGUGCGCUUUUCCCAUCAAGGGGCAUUAGAGCUUAGGUUUGUUUACACACUAGAGAUCUGAUCAGCAGAAAUUAAUCAACUGAGACGUGAAAGUUACGAUUGCACCGGCAUCCAAAAGCUAGGGUUUCGCAGUGGCUAGAGCAGCAUCCCAAAACUAGGGUUUCGCAGGGGUUGCAGUAGCGUCCCAAAGUUAGGGUUUCGCAGAGGCUGCAACAGCGUUCCAAAGCUAGGGUUUCGUAGGGGCUGCAACAGCGUCCCAAGGCUUAGGGUUUCACAGCGGUGCAAGGAGGAGGCUCCUAGAUCUGCUUCACAACAGCGGUGACCAGCAACGGUGGUGGUGCGGAGCGCCAGUGUAGUGGGGACUGCGACCAAGUUUGUUGGUAAGUGAUUUUGGGUGGUGCAAUUUUUGAGGUCUUGAUUUAAAAAAAAAAUUGUCAAGAUCUGAAAUUAGUUGUACCGAGUAUCUCGACUAGUCGUUUGAGAUGGUAGAGGACGGGAAGUUCCGAAUUAAAAAUUCGAUGGUACAAAUUUCAGUUGGUGGAAAAUGCAAGAUGAGGAUUUGCGAGUUCAGUUACUGAGCACAUCAAUAUGAUCUUAGCCAGACUUACGUCAAUGGGCAUUAAGUUCGAUGAUGAAGUUCAAGCUUUACUAUUGCUAUUGUCUUUGCCUGACAGUUGGUCCGGAACGGGUACAGUAGUUACCAAUUCAGCAGGAUCCGAUGGAUUCACUUUUGAGAAGAUUCGUGAUCUCAUUCUUGGCAAGGAUGUCCGAAGAAGGAGUUCUGGGGAAUUAUCUAGUGAAUCGCUAUAUGUCAUUGGAGGUAAGAAUAAUACCAAAGAUAGUGGGAGCAAGAACAAAAGAAGGAGUCAGUCAAAGACUCGGGAUUGCUCAAGUGUAACAUGUUGGAACUGGAAGGAGGUGGGGGCAUUUCAGGAAUCAAUGCCCAAAUGAUAAACAAGUCAACAUUGCAGAAGACUCCGCGGACGAGGACCUUUUAGUCUGUUGCGCGGAUAGUAGUGUGGAUUCCUGGGUCAUGGAUUCUGAAGCAUUGCAGAAUCUAGUUAUUGGAGACUUUGGAAAGGUAAGACUAGCGGACAACAUAACUUUUGAUGUUACGGGCAUGGGUGACAUAGUGUUGAAGACACCAGUUGGUUUCUGGACUUUGAAGAAUGUCAGAGUUGUUCCAAGCUUGAGGAAAAGUUUGAUUUCUGUUAGGCAGUUGGACGGACAUGGACAUGAAGUGAAGUUCGGAAAUCAGCAGUGGAAGGUCGUCAAGGGAAAUCUUGUCAUGACCUGCAGAAGAAAGAGAGGUUCGUUGUAUAGAGCCAGAUUAUCGUGUCUGAGGGAGUGACCAUCCCAGUUCAGAAGAUAAACAAAGUCCGGUUCACAGAAUCUCAUGGGCAGAAGAGGGUUGUCUUUACAAGAGAGAAACCCAGAGCCACAGGUCAGAUUCAGGAUGAACGAGCAUGGAAAGGUUCAGGUAGACCGGUCAGAGGUACUUGUGGCAGUGGGAGCAUGGGUUGUGCUUCAGCUAAGGUUCCUAGACGAUAGUGGGUUAGGAGAACCAGUAUUCCAACGGUUGAAACUUCUCCAGAAAAUUUCUUGUUGAAUAUGGAGAGUGUUUGUUCUCAAGUUGUUCCAGGAUCCGGCGUUCCUGUAAGUGGGAGUCGGUAGGAAUAGAGAACGGGUCAGUGAAUGACGUGUUGAAACUCAGGGGAGUUUUAACGAACUCUUCAAAAUGAUUAAGAAGGCUGGUGGCAACUAGAGGUGGAACAUUGAGUUCCGUCGACAGAUUACAGAAGUACAUGUACACAGUUGAAACGCAGUUGAACAUUGUUCCGUGAAUUCAAGUGGGAGAUUGUUGGGUAUGAAGUCAAGACCAAUUGGGUUGGGCUGACAAGACACCAUGUACACAGUUGAAGCGCAGGUGAACAUUGUUCCGUGACUUCAAGUGGGAGAUUGUUGGGUAUGAAGUCAGGACCAAUUGGGUUGGACUGAGUAGACACCAUGUUUUAGUGAGUGGGCUUAAUCAUUGUGUCCCUUUAUUAUAUCUAUUUAUCUUUAUUUAAAGAGAUCAUUGUACUUGUAAUUGGGGUGCAACAGGAUAGAAUGAAAACCUAAUAGUUGUCCGUGUGGAUGUAGGUUGUAGUUGGCGACCGAACCACGUUAAAUCAUGUGUUGUUUAUUUUCUGCAGUUGAUUUGUGAUUAUGUGUGUUGUUUCCGCGUGCGUUUUUCCCAUCACUUUCCUGGUGAGUUUGUCUCACCUCUCACUUUCACAAAUUUCUAACUCCAUUUCAAUCCAUGAAAAUUUGUCUUGAGUUUCUUUAAUGCUUUCACUCCUCAAAUAUUCUUUAUCAUUCAUCCAAAAAAGAAAUUACAAAGAUCACUAUUAGAAAAAUAACGUUUUUCCAUCAGAAUCUAUGAAGAAGAAAUGAUAAACAAACAUGAAAAAGGUCUUAAGAUAAAAAUGUUGUAUAGAAAUAGUAAUAGACUAAUAUUUGUUUGUAAUUAUCAAAAUUAAAUUAAAAGUUUUUAACUUAAAUUUAACAAAUUACUUAUUAUAAGCUUACAAUUUAAAAUUUCAUUAUAGUUUUAAUUUAAAUUUUUUAAAGUGGACAAGUAAAUAAAUUAAUCGAUUUUGUCUUGUUAGUGACCCACUAUGUUAGCGAGCUAAAUGGAACAAGUCAUGACAGGUUAAUAAGUGGAACCACUUAGUUUGAUCCAAUACGUUCAAUCCACUUUCUCACCUCUACUUACAAAAUCAUCAUCUUUAUGAUAACAAACGUCACAACUUUUAUGUUUGUAACACCUCAGCUAUAUUAUAGAUAUAAUUGUUAUUUAAUUAUAAAUUGAGAGUAGAUUUUUUUUAUUUUUAUUUUUUUGCAAUAAGAUUUUCUUAAAGAAAACAUUAAUCAUAAUAUAAUCUCAUAGAUAUAAAUGUAUGUCAAUAUUUUACAUUUUUAUAAUUAUUCAUAGUAUAUUACAAAACCAUAUAUGUUUCACACAAUAAUAAGAGUUCUACAUCAUAAAAUAAAACUAUUUGUAUAUUUAAAUACUUUAAAUUCUUCAUGAGAUUCUAGAGGAUACCUCCUAAAACAUUUCUUAAUAAUUCUUACUGAGCAGGUUUGUUUUGCUUAUAUUCGUAUAACAAAUCCAUAUCAGAAAAUAUUACAAAAUAGAACAGAGAUGAACAAAAGGGGAACAGAGAUGAACAAAAGAGUAAACUGAAGACAAAGGAUAUGAGAAUGAAUAUCUCUUCUUUCUUAUUAUUCAAAUGAAAAAAUGGUCUGAAUAUAUACAAGUAGUACACUCAUUUUAGGGUUUAACUAAAGAAGGAAAUAAUCAAUAUUAAAUACUAGAAUCAUAACACACAAAGAUAAAAAAAUAAAGGUUAUUCUCUUCUAUAAAGAGAAAUAACUGAUAAUUAGAAAAGACACUCAAUUAUUCUUUUUCUAUAAAGAGAAACAACUGAUAAUUAGAAAAGACUCCCAUAGAACAGAGAUGAACAAAAGAGUAAACUGAAGACAAAGGAUAUGAGAAUGAAUAUCUCUUCUUUCUUAUUUUUCAAAUCAAAAAAUGGUCUGAAUAUAUACAAGCAGUACACUCAUUUUAGGGUUUAACUAAAGAAGGAAAUAAUCAAUAUUAAAUACUAGAAUCAUAACACACAAAGAUAAAAUAAAGGUUAUUCUCUUCUAUAAAGAGAAAUAACUGAUAAUUAGAAAAGACACUCAAUUAUUCUUUUCUAUAAAGAGAAACAACUGAUAAUUAGAAAAGACUCCCAAUUAAUAUUAGGAUCCUUCUGUAAAUCUGGUAUCUGUAUCCUUUAAUAUCCCGCCACAAGAUGGAGAGCAAAUAUUGAUGAGACCCAGCUUGGAACAAAUAUUCUUAAAAGAUUGAGGACUUAAAGCUUUGGUAUAAAUAUCAGCCAGUUGCUCUGUGGUGGAUAUGGGAAUCAAAUGGAUGAGACCCUUCUUUAAUUUUUCUCUGACCACGUGACAAUCUAUUUCUAUAUGUUUUGUACGCUUGUGAAAUACUAGAUUUGCUGCAAUGUAUCUUGCUGAGUCAUUGUCACAGUAUAAAAGAGAUGGUUGCUCAAAAGGAACUUUGAAAUCUUGAAGAAGAUAAGUUAGCCAUUGAAUUUCACAUGUAACAGUGGUCAUUGCCCUAUAUGCAGCUUCACAAGAACUCUUUGAUAUUGUUCCUUACUUCUUUGAUUUCCAAGAUAUGAGACAAUUCCCAAGAUACACACUAAAACCAGUCACUGAUUGUCUUGAAUCACUGCAGGUGCCCCAAUCACUAUCACAAAAGGCUUUGAGAUGAACAGAAGUAGUGGAAGAGAAAAAUAGACCAAGACUUGGAGCCACUUUGAUAUAUCUGAGAAUUCUAAUCGCUGCAUUAUAGUGAACAAUUGUAGGCUUAGCAAGAAACUGAGAAAGUUGUUGCACAGAAAAUGUUAUGUCAGGUCGGGUAUUAGUGAGAUACAUAAGCCUUCCAAUCAAUCUUCUGUAGGCUUGAAUAUCUGUGAAAGGAAUACUUCCAGUAGAAGAGAAUUUCUCAUGAUUAUCAAUAGGAGUGGGUGCAGGUUUGCAGGCUAAAAGACCUGCAUCGGUUAAUAAUUCCAAUGCAUAUUUCCUUUGAUUUACCAUUAUUCCUGUCUUACUUCUUGCUACUUCUAGACCAAGAAAGUAUCUUAAAUUCCCAAGAUCUUUAAUCUUGAAUGUCUGAUUCAAGGCUUGUUUGAUUCGAACAAUCUCUUCUUUAUCAUUUGCUGCCAAUAUUAUAUCAUCCACAUAUACCAAUAAUGCUGUAAAAGAUCCUUCAGAAGAAUUAAUGAACAAGGAAUGAUCAUUCAUAGAUUGAGUAUAUCUCAUAGAAAGAAAAAAUGAUGACAGUUUGACAAACCAUUCUCUGCUGGCUUAUUUAAGGCCAUAUAAAGCCUUUUUUAGUUUACAAACUUUUCCUGGUGGAAUAGAAGUCAAUCCAGGAGGAGCAACCAUGUAUACAUCUUCUUUCAAAUCUCCAUGUAAAAAGGCAUUGUUUAUGUCUAAUUGUUUCAAUUCCCAAUUAUAAAUAGAAGCUAAAGAAAGAAGCAACCUUAUGGUGGUCAUCUUUGCUACUGGAGAGAAAGUAUCGAGGUAGUCAAUGCCUUCUGUUUGUGUAUAUCCCUUUGCCACUAACCUUGCUUUAUACCUUUCAAUUGUUCCAUCAGCCUUAUAUUUUAUUUUGAAUACCCAUUUGCAACCUAUGGCAGCUUUGUUCUGAGGCAAAAGAGCAGUCUCCCAAGUUUGAUUUGACUCUAAAGCAGAUAUCUCACAUUGUAUAGCUUUUCUCCAACAGUCAUGUUUCACAGCUUCAGAAUAAGUGUUUGGCUCAACAUGUGAAGAAAGAGACAUAACAAAAGAUUUGUAAGAAGGUGAUAAAUUGCUAUAAGACAAAACAGAAUUCAAAGGAUAUUUAACGCUUGAAGAUGUACUGGAAACAUUAAGAUUACAAUGAUAAUCCUUUAAAUACUCAGGUGAUUUGUUUAUUCUUGUGCUCAUUCGGACAGAUGGAUCUGAUUCAGAACUUUGUUCUAUAUCAUGAUUUUCAUUGAGGUUUUGGUCUAUAUGGGAACAAUCUUCUUCUGAAACCUCAAUUUGUGACUCACAAUUAUUAUCACUGCUAUUUUCAACAUUAUCACAAGGUGUAUUAUCACAAGAUGCAAGAAUGGCUUGUGAUGGCUGACUUAAGACAAAUUGAUCUUCAGCAAACAAAGUUUGAUCAUUAAUGUCGGGAUUGUUAGUUUCAUUGCUAGUAUCUUGAACCCUUUGGUAUGGAAAAACAUGUUCAUAAAAGACAACAUCCCUAGACACAAAAAUUUCUCUUGAUUGAAUAUUCAACAAAAUAUACCCUUUUGUCCCCCGUUGAAAACCAAUAAAAACACAUUUUGAUGCUCUUGGAUCAAAUUUUCUUCUAUUUGUUGACAAGGUGCUAGCAUAACAUAAAGAACCAAACACCUUUAAUCCAUUAAAAUUUGCAUCAGUUUUGAAAAGCAUUUCAUGAGGAGAAGAAUAGUUUAAAACAGGUGUGGGAAGCAUGUUUAUAAUAUGCGCAGCAUGUAUCACAGAAUAUGACCAAUAAAUUUUGGGUAAAUGAGAUUGUAUCAUAAGAGCUCUUGCUACAUCUAAUAAAUGACCAUGUUUCCUUUCAACUAUACUAUUUUGUUGUGGAGUAUUGACACAUGAUGUUUGAUGUAUUAUUCCUUUACUGACAAAAAAAUUAGUCAUGAAAAAUUCAGUUCCAUUAUCACUUCUUAUUAUUUUAAUUGUUGUCUCAAACUGUGUUUGAACUAAAAUAACAAAAUCUUCCAAAACCUUAACAACUUCAGAUUUUUGUUUCAAAAGAAAAAUCCAUGUGUACCUCGAAUAGUCAUCAACUAUGGUCAAAAAAUAUUUAUGACCAUGAAUUGAUGGUAUUGAGUAUGGUCCCCAAACAUCUACAUGAAUCAAAUCAAAACAUUUUUUUGAUUUAGAUGUACUAAUAGUGAUGGAAGAGGGCCAAGCACAACCUUUCAUGAAAAGCAAGAGCCAAGUCAAGAACGUCCAAGAUCAAGCUAGGAGCGUCUAAGACCAAGCUAGGAGCGUCUAGGACCAAGCUAGGAGCGUCUAGGACAAGAAGACCAAGCUAGGGGCGUCUAAGACAAGCUAGGAGCGUCUAGGACAAGAAGACUUGGAUCAAAGCUAUGAAUGGGAGAGUGGCUUACUAGCACAAAUUCCGUGAAGGCCCAACAAGUGUAGUUUAGCUUUAAUUGGGGUGUAAAUAGCAUAGCCAUNNNNNNNNNNNNNNNNNNNNNNNNNNNNNNNNNNNNNNNNNNNNNNNNNNNNNNNNNNNNNNNNNNNNNNNNNNNNNNNNNNNNNNNNNNNNNNNNNNNNNNNNNNNNNNNNNNNNNNNNNCACCCAUGUGCUCCAUGUGCCCAUGUGCCUCACAUUUACAUUUCAUUUUGCUCACAUUUCAUGUGGAAUUAGCUUAGGAUUUACGGCCUCCUUAGCCUAUAAAAGGAGAUGCCUAGCUCUUGUAUUUUCAAGAUUAAUGAGAGUAAAGUUAUGUUGCCAACAUUGUGCCAUACUUUGCUUUUGCCUAGUUUCUAGGACCUAAUCUUCAUCUUCAUCACCUACCAUAAGGCUGGCCGAACCUCCCUCUUUCCAUACACAUCAUGCACCUUCAAGAUCACCAUAGCUCCUAGGAAGAUCUUGCACAUUUCAAUCCAUAGCUUCCGCACCCUUGAUCAUGAUUCCGAGAAGAGCUCCAUGAAUUUGCCAUCAAAUAGGAAAAUAAAGUCUUUUUUGCUUUGCAAAAUGACAAACAUCACAAACAAAAGAUUUGUUAUAUUUAACAAAAGAAAAUUUAUUCUUGAUAACAUCAAUACAUUUAUUUGAAAUAUGACCUAAUCGAAAAUGCCAAAGGGUUUCUAGAUCACUAGCACUGACAUUAACAUUAUUGAUGGUGUGUGUACAUUCAAGGGGUUUAAUUUGAAAUUUAUGGUAAGAUGGGAUCCUGAGUAUAUAAAGUCUAUCUUGCGUCUUAGCGAUUCCAAUCAUCUUCAUUGUUAUUUUGUCAUGAAUGUGACAACCAUUAGAGUCAAAGGUAAGAACACAAGAUAGUUUAUCAAUCAAUUUUGCUACGGAAAGAAGAUUAAAAUUGAAGCAAGGAAUGUACAAAACAUUGUCUAUGACAUGACUUUGAUUGAGAAAAACACUUCCAGAAUAAUUGGCAAUGACUUGAUUUCUAUUUGGUAAUUUGACAUAAAUAGGAUCAAUUUGAUGAUAUGAAGUGAAAUAAGUUAAAGAUGAACAAAUGUGAUCAGUAGCACCAUUAUCAAUAAUCCAAGAACUAAAAGAAGAAAUAAAAUUAUUACCUGUUUGAUUGGAGGGAUUGGAGGGAGUAAUAGAGACUUGAUUAGAAGCAUUGCCACUGGAUUUGGUCUGUUGUAUACUGCUCAGGAGUAAAACCAAUUUGUUGAAACUCCACUUCUGACUUUGAACCUUCAUGAUUAUGCUCAUUAUUAUUGAAAUUUGUAUUAUGAAAAACUGCAUUAGUAUGACUCUGAUCAUGAUUCUGAUUUUUGAACUUGAAAUGAGGUGGAAAGCCAUGCUUUUUAUAGCAUGUAUCAAUGGUAUGCCAUGUCCUUCCACAAUGACUACAAAUUUUGGAAGUAUAUCCUCUUCCAUUGCUUCCUCUUCCGUAUCCAACACCUCUGCCAUAGGUUGUAGCAUUGUUUUUAUAACCUCCUUUGCUAGUAGCAAUCAUUGCCUUGGAUUGAUCACCAAAUAUUUGCCUCUCUUGUUGUGUAACAAGAGAGAAAACUUUAUUCAAGGAUGGCAAAGGGUCCAUCAAUAAAAUUUGAGUUCUCACAGUCGAAUAAUUAUCAUUUAGCCCCCUUAGAAAUUUGAUAAUCUGGUCUUGUGUUUUAUAUUUAGAAACAUUCACAAGAGUAUUGCAUUUAGAGGCACAUGAAGAAGCGGAUAACGGGUGGAAAAGAUCAAGUUCAUCCCAAAGAAUUUUUAAUUGAGUGAAAUAGUUUGUAACAGUCAACUCACCUUGUUUAAAAGAAGAAAUCAUCUCCUGGAUAUCAGAAAUACGAAUCAUGUCUCCUUGUGAGAACCUUUCCUUUAAAUCAUUCCAUAUGUCAAAGGCAUUGUCCAUACAGAUGAUGCUCUACACGAUGGAUUGAGAAACAACCUUGAGAAUCCACGAAACUGUUGGGAAAAACGGGUAAUUUUCCCACUAAAACAAAACCCUAACAGAGCUACCCGACCAAUAAUAUUGAAUAAAUAAAGCGGAAUAAUAAAAGAGAUAAAGAGGAAAAAAACACACCAGAAAAUUGUUAACGGAGUUCGGCCUGUUUAGCCUAAUCUCCGAGCACACCUGAAAUAGCCUGCUUUUAUUAUUAUGGGAGAAGAUAUUACAACUUGGGAUAUUUAACAGUGAAGGAUGAGCGUUUAAUUUAUAACCCUCAAACCUCCUUCCCAAACAAUGAACCCACCGAUGUGGGACUCGGGAUUAAGCCAAAAUCAACAAAUCUCCACCUUGGCUUAAUUUCAACUCUCACCUAAUACAAAUCUUCUCAAAACAUAACAAAAACAAACUUUGUAGUGCUUUAAAUUUGCGCCUCCGGGCGCCAACUUCAAAUGUGCAAGAUAUUAACCAAGUCUAAACAAUGUUCAAAUUUGGCCCUUGUAACCACCUUGGUGAGCAUAUCUACAGGAUUCUCCGUAGUAUGAAUCUUCUGGAGAACAAUCUCCUCUUCUUCGAGAAUCUCACGCACAAAGUGAUAGCGAACAUCAAUGUGCUUCGUCCGUGCAUGAAAGACUUGAUUCUUUGCUAAAUGAAUAGCACUCUGACUGUCAGAAUAUAACUCAAGUUGUUUCUGACCAACUCCCAAGUCUUUAAGCAACCCAUGAAGCCAAAUUGCUUCCUUCACAGCCUCUGUAAUCGCCAUAUACUCUGCCACUGUCGUAGACAAAGCCACCAUAGACUGCAAGGUAGACUUCCAACUAACUGGCGCUUUUGCUAAAGUAAACAAAUAGCCAGUUGUAGACCGUCGCUUAUCCAAAUCACCUGCAUAAUCAGAAUCACAAUAUCCAACUAUGCAUUGACCAAGUGAUUCAUCUUGCUCAAAUGUCAAUCCAACAUCUAAGGUAUNNNNNNNNNNNNNNNNNNNNNNNNNNNNNNNNNNNNNNNNNNNNNNNNNNNNNNNNNNNNNNNNNNNNNNNNNNNNNNNNNNNNNNNNNNNNNNNNNNNNNNNNNNNNNNNNNNNNNNNNNNNNNNNNNNNNNNNNNNNNNNNNNNNNNNNNNNNNNNNNNNNNNNNNNNNNNNNNNNNNNNNNNNNNNNNNNNNNNNNNNNNNNNNNNNNNNNNNNNNNNNNNNNNNNNNNNNNNNNNNNNNNNNNNNNNNNNNNNNNNNNNNNNNNNNNNNNNNNNNNNNNNNNNNNNNNNNNNNNNNNNNNNNNNNNNNNNNNNNNNNNNNNNNNNNNNNNNNNNNNNNNNNNNNNNNNNNNNNNNNNNNNNNNNNNNNNNNNNNNNNNNNNNNNNNNNNNNNNNNGAGCCUUUAACCUGUCAAUCUCAACUUGGCUCUUUGCUGCAAUCAGCAUAUCAUCAACAUAUAAGAGUAUGUAAAUGUAGGAACCAUCUUCAAGUUUGCGCAAAUACACACAGUGAUCAUAUUUGCUUCUCUUGUACUUCUGAUCCUUCAUGAACUUAUCAAAUCGUUUGUACCACUGUCUCGGAGAUUGUUUCAGUCCGUACAAUGAUUUGCUAAGUUUACAAACCCAAUCUUCUUUACCAUCAACCUUGUAUCCUUCUGGUUGAGUCAUAUAGAUUUCCUCCUUCAAAUCACCGUGUAGGAACGCGGUCUUUACGUCAAGUUGAGCUAGCUCCAAAUUCAACUGUGCUACCAAGGCCAACAAAAUUCGAAUGGAGGAAUGUUUAACAACUGGAGAAAAUACCUCAUUAUAAUCAAUUCUCUCCCUCUGAGCAAAGCCUUUAGCAACCAACCUUGCCUUGUAGCGAACAUCUUCUUUAUUAGGAAAUCCUUCUUUCUUUGCAAAUACCCAUUUGCACCCAAUUGCCUUCUUACCUUUUAGUAAUUGUGCCAGCUUCCACGUCUUGUUCUUCUUCAAAGACUGCAUCUCCUCUUCCAUCUCACCUGCCCAAUUACCACUCUCUGAACUCAGAAUGGCUUCUGGGUAAGUGGAUGGAAUGUCAUCAACAACUGGAAGUGCAUAAGCAACCAUAUCCAUGAAACGAGCAGGCUUCUGAAUAUCUCGUUUCUGUCUUCUAACUGCAAUUGGCGCUGAUUGCUGUUGAGAUUCUUGGGUAGGAACCUCUUCCUCAUCCGACUCUUCUUCUGCCAUAGGAGAGUCACUUGUGGUAUUUCGUGUUGGGAUCACCACUGUCGGCUCAAACUCCACCUGCUUCCGGGUACACUCCACCUAUUGUGGAGUACUAUCAGCUCCUUCUGGAUUUACCUUCUUUAACAUGGAAGAUUCAUCAAAGGUAACAUCCCUGCUGAUAAUCGUCUUCUUUGCCUCUAGACACCACAAACGGUAUCCCUUCACUCCAGGACUAAAGCCCAUGAAAAGAGCCUUCUUUGCCCGUGGAUCCAACUUUGAUUCAAUCACAUGAUAAUAUGCAAUAGAACCAAAAACAUGCAAAGAAUCAUAAUCAGUUGCAGGUUUUCCAGACCAUACCUCUAACGGGGUUUUGCCAUCUAUAACAGAUGAUGGCAAACGAUUGAUGAGAUGUUGAGCGUAUGUCACAGCCUCAGCCCAAAACUCUCUACCUAACUCAGCAUUAGACAACAUACAACGAACUUUCUCCACAAGUGUCUUGUUCAUACGCUCCGACACCCCAUUUUGCUGUGGUGUUUUUCUAACAGUGAAGUGCCGAACUAUGCCACAAUCUUGGCAUACCUUCAGGAAGGGAUCACUCUUAUAUUCUCCUCCAUUGUCUGUUCGGAGAACCUUAAUCUUCCUUCCUGUCUGGUUUUCAACUUGAGCUUUCCACUCCAGGAGAGUUUGGGUGUUUACUAUGAAGAACAAAAAUGAUGUGCUCUUCGUUGUUUUCCCAGAACACAAUGCUCACAAAAUUCAAGUUUGCAAGCCUUCGUACCUUUCAACAAUCCCUGCUUGGUAAGAAUUUGCAAGGAUUUCUCUUCAGCAUGUCCCAACCUCAUAUGCCACAACUUCGUUGCCUCAGCAUCCUUCUUAGUGCUAGAAGUUGAUGUCGCUACUGUCUCCACCACUGUACUACCUUGAUAGUAAUACAGAUUGUUCUUCCUCACGCCUUUCAACAUCAUCAGUGCUCCUGAAGUUGUUUUAAGAAUUCCAUCUCGCAUCGUCACAACUAGACCUUUAGAUUCUAAAGCCCCCAAUGAGAUGAGAUUCUUCUUCAACUUUGGCACGUACCGUACAUCCCGCAAAAUUCUGGUGGCCACCCAUCUGGAUACGAUGAUGCUGAAAGCGAGACAAUUAAAGAGAUAUCUGAUUCCACGUCACUUUUGCAUUCUGCAACAUUUGCAUCUUGUGGAGUCUUCCCUUUCUUCUGCAGUUUUGGACAGUCUUUCUUCCAGUGUCCUUUCUCAUGACAGAAAGCACACUCAUCUUUGGCAACGGCUCGACCUUUAGACUUAGACCUCCCUCUUCUCCCCUUUGUUUGGCUUUGCUGACGACCUCUUGCCACCAAUGCUUCUUCUGAUGUCGUUGAUUUGGUUUUCAUUUUAUCCUGCUUUCUCAAUUCAUGACUAUAUAAAGCAGAACAAACAGCAUCUAACGACACAUUCUCCUUCCCGUGAAGGAGCGUAGUCUCCAAAUGUUCAAAUUCAUCAGGAAGAGAUGAUAACAACAACAAAGCCAAAUCCUCAUCCUCAAACUUCACAUCUAAAUUCAACAGGUCUGCUACUAAUUGAUUAAACAUAGUGAUGUGUGCAUUCAUAGUUGUACCUUGUUGGUAGUCAAAUCGGAACAACCUUUUCUUCAUCAGGAGCUUGUUCUGACCACUUUUCUUCAGAAACUUGUCCUCCAAUGCCUUCCACAGUUUGUGUGUAGAAGUCUCGUUUUUUACAGCAUACUUCUGCUCUCUGGACAGGCAGGAUCGAAUAGUUCCGCAUGCCAACCGGUUGAUGAUGCUCCAGACUUUCUCCUCUACCUCUUCUGGUUUCUCUCCUUCAAUAGCAAUAUCAAGACCCUGCUGAAAAAGAGAGUCCAAGACCUCUCCUUGCCACAUGCCAAAAUGCCCAGUGCCAUCAAAUAUUUCCACCGCCAAUUUCAAAGUGGACUCCGGGAACCUCGACCAUGAUGACGAGGAGCCCGAAACUCUGGAUACAUCCUUCGCUUCUUCUUCUUGAUUUGCCAUUACAAACUCAAAAUAUAAUAUUCAAUAUUACAAAUAAUUUCAAACAACCCAAGGGCGAACCUUCGGCUCUUGAUACCACUUGUUGGGAAAAACGGGUAAUUUUCCCACUAAAACAAAACCCUAACAGAGCUACCCGACAAAUAAUAUUGAAUAAAUAAAGCGGAAUAAUAAAAGAGAUAAAGAGGAAAAAAACACACCAGAAAAUUGUUAACGGAGUUCGGCCUGUUUAGCCUAAUCUCCGAGCACACCUGAAAUAGCCUGCUUUUAUUAUUAUGGGAGAAGAUAUUACAACUUGGGAUAUUUAACAGUGAAGGAGGAGCGUUUAAUUUAUAACCCUCAAACCUCCUUCCCAAACAAUGAACCCACCGAUGUGGGACUCGGGAUUAAGCCAAAAUCAACAGAAACAACCAACAUAUUGGCUCUUUGCCAUGUUGGAAACAAUGAUUUGGUACGAUUGGGAGCUUCUAUAGUUCCAUCAAUGAAACCUAUUUUGUUCUUUGAAAUUAGGCUAAUUUGAAAUGAACGAGACCAAUGAUGAUAAUUUGGUCCCUCAAGAAUAAUAGGAACAAUAAGAAAGGAAGGAUUAUCUAAUGAACUAACAUGGUAAGGUGAACUAAGAUCUUGUGAGGGAUCAUCAACUUCACCCAUGAAUAAAUGUAGCAAGCAGAGCUCUGAUACCAUAUUACAAAAUAGAACAGAGAUGAACAAAAGAGUAAACCGAAGACAAAGGAUAUGAGAAUGAAUAUCUCUUCUUUCUUAUUAUUCAAAUCAAAAAAUGGUCUGAAUAUAUACAAGUAGUAUACUCAUUUUAGGGUUUAACUAAAGAAGGAAAUAAUCAAUAUUAAAUAUUAUAAUCAUAACACACAAAGAUAAAAUAAAGGUUAUUCCCUUCUAUAAAGAGAAAUAACUGAUAAUUAGAAAAGACACUCAAUUAUUAUUUUUUUAUAAAGAGAAACAACUGAUAAUUAGAAAAGACUCUCAAUUAAUAUUAGGAUCCUUCUGUAACUCUCUCUCAAUUAAUAUUAGGAUCCUUCUGUAACUCUGGUAUCCGUAUACUUUAAUAGAAAAAAAAAAAACACAGAAAGGAGUGAGGUUUGUAUAUCUUAAAUAUCAAUCUUAAUAAAUUUAACAUACAAUAAGGGUUUAUGACUAGACCUAUAACCAUAAUAAUGGGGGUCUAUGAUUUGACUUAUAACCAUAAGACUUAAUCUCACUUUAUCAUACAUAUGGAUUCAUAUUCCACUUUUGAUUAUCUACUUUGAAUAUCAAAAGUUACUUGGAAAGUGAUUAGGUAAUUGAGUAUUUCUCAUCAAAAACAUUGGUACAAUAAUAAUUAUUUUUCUCAAAAAUUAUGGCCAUCUACUAAUAAAAAAAAUAUUUCCGUCAUUCUCUAGACAAUAAGUGUCAUAAUUGAAAUCAACACUUUAUCUUAAUUUUCUCCUCAUGCAAGAACACAAUGUCAAAACAAGAUAGAAAACACCCACUAUUACAUUAUGGAGAGGCACAGCACCGUAAAGAAAAAGAGCAUUUAUGUCCAUUAUCCAAUCCAGAGCAAAACCAAAAUUAAUAUCCUAAAAUUACUUCUGCCUCUCCAUCUUCAUAUUCUUUAGGCAAGAUUCAUUAUUGUGGAACACUUAUAAAAAAUAGAUAAUAUAAACCCUAAAUAAAAGUAAAUAAUAUUAUUCAUAUCACCUUCAUUAUUUCUCCUAUCUAAUUGACUUAAUUAUUUAACAAAAAAUUUAUAAAGAAAUACUUACAAUUUUUUGGAUUGUCUAACAUAGAAAAACGCUAGUCAAUAAUGAAAAAACUGUAAACAUAGAUAAAAGGUAAGCAGAAUUUACAUAUUUCGACUAAAGCUCAGUUUAUGUUCACAGUUAUAAAUCUAUAUUAAGAAUGAAAAUAAAAUUACAAUACAAAAUUUAUCUCAAAGUAAACUCUUACUCUAACUUAAAAAGAUAACUUUUUUUACAAGGUCAUAUUUAUAUAAGUGAAACUGCUUAACCAACUUUAAAAAUGGAACACACAAAUAAUUGUUAAGUCAUAUACACAAUGAUUAAUGAGAAGUUUGGAUUAAGACUAUUACAAAGUGGACUUUAAGUCUAACUCAACAGUUCGUGCGUGGGAUAAACAUAUUAUGGGUGGUCCGAUAACGGGUGGCACGAUAAGCCUAACAAACACUUGCUAGGAUAAGAUUGAAAUGACUCUGAUACCAUAUUAUGAAAUAGAACAGAGAUGACUAAAAGAGUAAAAGGAAGGUAAAGGAUAUGAGAAUGAAUAUCUCAUUUUCUUGUUAUUCAAAUAAAAACAAAUGGUCUGAAUAUAUACCAAGUAGUACACACUCAUUCUAGGUUUAACUAAAGAGGGAAAAAAUCAAUAAUUAAAUACUAGAAUCAUAACACACAAAGACAAAAUAAAGGUUAUUCAUAUCUAUAAAGAGAAACAACUGAUAAUUAGAAAAGACACCAAAUUAUUCUCUUCCAUAUUACAAAGUGGACUUUAAGCCUAACUCAACCCCAUAAAACCAGCUCAUAAGGUUGAGGUUUGCACCCACUUAUAUACAAUGAAAUGUUCUCAUCUCUAGUCGAUGUGAGAUCUCCAACAAAGGCAAAAAAUCUUGAAUCACUAAACAUUUGAACCUCUCUAAAAGUUCUAAUAUUUCUAGACAAUCUAAAAACAUUUAAACAUAAGUUGUACGACAAUCUAAAAAGUUUUAAACAUAAGUUUUACUGAACCAAAAUUCACACAAGUUAUAAUUUAAAAGGAUACCAACAAAUAAUAGUGAUAAAAAUAAAAUAUUUUUUUUAUAAAAGACUAAAAUAAAUAAAAAGUAGAACUAAGUAUAAAAAUAUACUUAUUAUUAGUCUUUUUUAAAUGACGACGUAUUGCUAAUAAUAAGAAAAUAUUCAUCAAAGACCAGUAGGAACAAAAAUAUUUAUAAAAAGAAUAAUAUAAAAUGUGAUAAUUUAUUAGCGAAUAGAAAAGCUAUUUAAAGUUUUUUAAAUGAAUAAUGCUAAUGACUUAGUGAUUGUUGAGAUUAUAACGGAAAAGAAAGGAAGAAAAUAUUGUAUUAUGAAGGUGGCCAUUCCAGAAUUCAAUUUUUUAUUUAUUUGAAUAUAAGCUUGUAUAGUAGUUGAAAUUGAAUCCGGAUUAUACAAAUCGGUUUGUAAAUGAUAAAACGAAAUCAGUUUGUACAAUCUGAUAUAAAAUCUCGAAUCUAGUUUCAACUAUCAGAUUGCAUAAGCUGUAUUUAAAAUAAAAAAGAAUGGAGCAAUUUAUUUGAACAACUCUACUUGGACAUAUUCACGCAAGCGAGCAUUGUAUCUUCUCAUCUUAUUUUGAGUCAUGUAUUGCAAAGGGUAUCACGUUUGUUUUUGUGGCAAAUUCGUCCUGUCCCAUAUCAAUUUCUGCACCCGAUUUACAAAAAUGUUUUUGUAAAAUAAUAAAAAUAUUCUUAAAUGAAAUAAGAGUGUGGAUAAAAAAUUAUUUUCAAAACCUCUUUUCUGAAAUACAUAUUCAGAUUUUAAUUUCUGGAACAUAUUUCUGAAUUUCUGAAUUUUUUUUCUUUUUCAAAAUGCAUUUCCAGGAACUUAUUUUCCUGUAUUUUUUGCAUUUCAAUUUUUUUUUAAUUUUAUUUUUUGAAUUCCAAAUUUUCAAUUCCGGAAUAAAAGAUAAUUUUAGAAACGUUAGAAAGAUUAAAUGAUCCAAAUUCAAAUUGAUACGGUGCGUGAAGAAUUUGCAUUGUUUUGUUUGUGAAAGAAUUGUAAAAGAAUGAGAGUGGGUAAAUAAAUUGAAUGAAAGAAAAAGAGACGGCCAAGAAAGAGAGAAGAGGUUAAGAGGUAAAAAGGUUUUGUCUUUCCUAUUUGUAUGUGUGAAACUUGAACAGAGAGAAACAAACCUGAAAAACCCACAUACCUUGGUGAAAAUUUUUGUUCUUCUGAAAUACGAGAGAUGAAGAUGAAAUUGUUUUUGGGUGAAAGAGAGAAACAAGGGUAUUGAAUAUAGAUAGAUGCAUGGAUUAGAGGCUAGAGGAAAGGUAGAUGAUGGGAUGGUGUUGUUUCUCUGGUAGGCUAAAAUUUGUUGUUGGUUGCAACCUUAUAUUAAGUUUAUUUCAUACUUGAAGUCUAUGUGUAUUGUAAAAAAUGGUUUGGGUGAAUUGAUUGUUUCUUUAUUGCGUGAUUGAUGAUCCAUAAGGUCUGUCAUGUUGGCUAAAGCCAGGAAAUAUGGGAAGCCGGAAAAGUUGGUGAGUCAUUGUAUAAAAAAAACCUAUAUGAAUCAACUUUUUCUUUAAAUGAGUAUUCCAAAAAUUCUUCAUCUCAUAGAGUCAUCAUAGGAAGGUCAAUGGUCAAAUUAAUAAAAUAAUAAAUAUUUCUCAUAUUACAAAUUGUUCUCACUGGUUGAUUGUCGGUUCAGGCUCCUUUGGUCUCUUCUGGAAUUUGUACUUCCCUUGGUUAAUGAAUGUUUUACCUGCAGAGACAAAAGGGCGCCCUUACGGUCGUUUGUACUUCGACGCUCAAGUCAGUAAGGAUUAAAGAACAAUAAGUAUGUAAAACAAUUUCAGUCUUAGAAACGGCGUAUCUUUACCAGGGAUCUCAACUCCCUUUCAUAGACUGCUUAGGUUACCUCAUUGUAACAACUCUUCUCUCACCAGAGCCUUAUCUCUAGUAAAAUUAGGUUUGCUCGAGGACAUUCUGUUGUUACACAAUCUUAGCGCAACAACCGCACAGAAUCUUCCUUUUUGGAGUGCAAAUCUUAACAGCAUGGCCGCCAGGGUACUAACUCAUGUACCAGCAUUACGGGGCCCAUCUAUUAUUGUAGGUGCCCUAGUCCUUACGUAUCAUGCAUGCAACUUUCCCCUGAAAACCCUAGCGCUCUUGGGCCUUGUCGUCUUAAGGGAUAUUUAUUUGUGUUAGACCCAAAUGUACUAUACACACCAGAUGCACUUUCUUGCGGACUAGGCUUUUCAUUUAUACACAGGUUUCAACACACAUAUCUCUGGGGACCACUUACGUGGUCCACUAUCUCGACCAGACCAUCGAGCCGACCUGUUCCACAGGUAUCGAUGUCCGAUGCCUAAUGUCUGGUCCAGUACACAAAUUAUCAAUUAACUUUAAUCCAAUAACAUAAAACUUUGAAGUUUAAUAAUUAUGAUUAUUAAAAAUAACUAAAUUUGAUUUGAUUAAGUUAAUAAGAAUGAUAUGACUUUCUUAUAUAAUAAAACUUUUAUUCAAAUAUGGAGAAGUUAGAUCAUUGUAUGAAAAAAGAAAACAAAUUGAUCAAAUAACAUAUAUCAUUUCCAAUUUGUGAUUAUUGAUUGGAAAUGGAAAAUAGGUUAAUUCACCAUUUGUAUAUAUGAGAUUGAAAUUUAUAGAGAUUAAAAAUUAUAUGAAUUGAAGUUAAGAAAUGUGUAAAUAUGAUUAUGUAGAAGGCAGGCCAAGUUGAUAUUUUGAGAGAUUGUAGAAUACAGGGCAGUGUUAAACUCAACACCAAUAUAUACAAUUCAUCCACCAAUAUCAGUCAAAGCUAUAAAGAGCAACAGUAACAGGUGAUUAAUUGAAGAAAACAGUAACACAUUUGUGAACCACAUUAAUAUAAGGAAAAUUUCAAAUCUGCAUUUUAUAAAUUUAUCUAGCUCGACUACUGGCACGUGGAAUCAAUCAUUUACUCAUCUACUUUGAAGGCAGGCUUGAAGCAAUUAUGAUACAGAAAAGGUCGGAUGGUCUCUGCACGCAAUUACGAACAUUAAUGUAUGCAGGACACAGUAAGGAGAAAUUAAAGAAAAUGAAACAAUCAUUCACUUACCACAAAAUCUUUAGUACAGUUGUAUUUCUGGAAUGUGGUUUAUGUAUUGCCAAUCCUCUCCCAUUUCCCUCUUGCACCGCUUCUUCAGAUAAGGACAUCCGCAUAUAAUUAAAGAAGACAAGUUGGUGAGGCGUUGAAUGCUACUCGGUAGUGACCUCAACUCCCCACAGUUCCAAAUCUGUAAUUCUUGAAGAGAAGUCAUGUCUCCCAACCAGUCCGGCAAUGAAGUAGUCGUGCAAUCCCUUAUAUCCAAAGUUCGUAAAGAGGGGACACAAUGUAAGCCAUACGGUAAUGUGGAGAAACCCCCGAUUGUGACCGUCUGAAGGGCAGUUAGUUGGCUCAUAUUGCUUGGUAGAGCCACCAGCUCUGGACAAGACCAGAUACUUAAAUCCUCCAAACAUGUUAAAUGUCGCACACCUUCGAAAAGUGAUUUUAAUUUCUCACACUAGUAAAUACUCAAACUUUUAAGAGAGCUCAGACCUUCCAACACAUGGUCUGAAAAAUACUCCAAAUCAUCACAAGAUUCAAUAAAUAGUUCCUGUAGUGAACCCAACCCUCUGAGUUGGUCGGGUAAUACCACCAGUUCUUUAAUCCUUUCAAUCUCCAAGGUCUUUAGACAAGGCAUAUUCUCCACAACCCCUUCCAUCAAGGAAGCCCCUUUGUCAAUGUCUGCAGCAUAAAAUUUAUCAACAGAAGGAAGACGUGGAAAUUUAAGGUUGGAGACGCCAACAAUUGUUAAUUGAGAAAGACGAGGGAGCAUUUCUACUCCUUCUUCCCUCAACAUCCUCUCCAAUUUUGGUAAAUUCUUCACAAUCAAUUCCUUCAACGAUGGAAAUGCCUUCUCCACACCAUCAUACCACUCACCAUCUAUCCACUUCACAUUUUUCAUUUCACGCACGUCUAGCCUUUUCAACUGUGGUAGUUUGCCAAGUGGAGGAAGCUCCUCACAGUUGUCACAGUCCAAGAGUAUAACUUCCACCAAGUCUCUCAGAACUGCACCAUUUCUCAUCCAACUCGAUAACUGUCUCCCCUUAUACCCUUUCAUCAUAAAACUCUUCAGAGUUGAGGGAGGUUGUAGGGCUUCCAGUACUCUCUUAACGUUAACAUUACUACCUUCUGAAUUAGUACUACCACCCCAUGACAAGCGUAGGAUAUUUAAGUCCUUCUUACCAAUCAAAUUUGCUUGUUUAACAUCCCAUUCAUUGGGGACGUUCUCAAGGCCUUUGAUUCUCAGCUUGCCUCCAAGCUUUAAGCUAUGCAACUCUGCUAACCCACACCCUGCCUUUGAUCCCACAACAUAAGUGCUCAGUGUUCUUAGAUGCCUUAACUUGCCAAUAUUCUGAGGCAUCUCUUUUACAUCACACUUAUCAAUCACAAUAUGUCUUAGAUCCUGUAAUAUCGUCAAUUUUUUGGGCAGCCUAAGGUCAAAGACAUCUUUCAAUUUCAAUAUUUGCAAUUUCGGCAACUGACAAAUUGAAUUAAGCAACCUUGCCUCUAAAUCCCCACACAAUGUCAAGUAUCUCAAAUGUGCUAAAUCAUUCAGUGGAGACAACACAGAAAAACUUGUACGUAAUGCUCGAAGACAAUGGGUUGAUGGCACCAGGCGUCUAUAACUAAAAUUCACAAAAGUCCGCAAGGACUCAACUUUCUUGAAAGCAGCCAUAUCGAUAGAGCCAUUCAAAUUUAAGCAUACAUAGUGAACUCUAGUUGGCAACUGAGUCAACCUUCCUUUCUCAAUAAUCACACAUUCUUCACCCAUAAUAGUCUGGGCAAGAUCAUGAAAUAGAUCAUGCAUCUUGCAACUUCUAAUCAUACCAAGCUUAUCAUACUUUGCUUCUUGAAAAAAUGAUCUACGGUAUAAUUUUUUCCACACUUUAUUUCCAACAUCCUCCACUUCUACGUUUCCUUCAGAUUUAAUAAAUCCAUUAGCCAUCCAAAGAUGAAUUAGAUCUUCCUUAUCUAUUUCAAAAUCUUUGGGGAAAAUUGCACAAAAAGAAAAGCAUCUUCUCAGAGACAACUCCAAAUUAGAAUAGCUCAGUUUCAAAAAACGCAUAAUAGAAUUUUCCUCACGUAUUUUCCAAAUCUCACUUUCCUUUAGAUUUUCCCAUUGGCUUACCUCACUUUCAUCACGCAAAAGGCUUCCCAGUGUUUUGAUUGCAAGUGGUGAACCAACGCAUUUUCUCACUAUCUCUCUGCCAAUUGUCACGAGCUCUUCUAUUUCUUCUCUGUUUUGUCCAAACGCAUGGUGUUUGAACAAUGACCAACUGUCGUCUCCUGACAAUUCUUUCAAAUAGUAAGCAGGAUGUGUCCCCAUGAUGGAGGCAACUUCCUGCAGUCGAGUGGUGACCAAAAUGGCAUCUCCUUUUGCUCCCCUUGCACAUUGCAACAUCCCCUUUAACUCCUUCCACUUCUCUUGGUCUUCAUUCCACACAUCAUCAAGAACAAGUAAAUACCUCUUGCUCUGCAAUGCUUCUUCAACCUUUUUCCGCAUUGCUUCUAAAGUAUGGAGAUUGGGGUUUUGACCAUUGACAUAUUCUAGGAUGGAUUGCAAUAUUCUCUUCGCAUUGAAAUCAUCUGAAACACAGAUCCAAAUUCUCAAGUUAAAAUGUUUACUUAUCUCGUGAUCGUUGAAGACCUGCUUGGCAAGAGUUGUUUUGCCAAGUCCACCCAUACCAACUAUGGGAUAGAUGGAGAGGUCUUCACUGUUACUAGCAUCUUCCAGGAGAAACUUCACAAUUUUCUCUUGAUCUUUGUCUCUGCCACAGAAUAUAGGUUCGGUAAUCACAGAGCUAGUUUGGCGCCAAUCAUCAUCAUCAUCCACUGCUUGCUUCUCAGUGACACCCACACGUAAUUCAAACCUGAGCCUUUCUUGAUGAAUGUCAUGAAAUCUUUGAGUGAUGUCUUUCAUCCGCUUUUCAAUAUGAAAACGAAAGAGAAUGUCCAUAGGAUGGAGAGGGGAUAGGCAUGAAGUAUGUCGAUCAUGAGAGUGCAUCUUUGUGGAGUGAAUUGAACAUUCAUCCAAGAUAUCAUCCAGCACAUAUGCUGCAUCUGUGAGUUUUUGCAGCCAAUCCUUCACAGCAUGCUUUCUUAGUUGCUCUCUCUCAGCGUCUUUGAGGACAGCACGGAUUGCGGUGAGAUUGCUGGAAAGGUUCAGCGUCUGCUGGUCAACACCCCAAUAAGUUGCAAGUUGGUUUUGAAGAAAAGAUCCCAAAUUUUCAAUAAUGAUUUCCAGUAAAGCCUCGGCCAUUAGCAGAAAGGAGAGGUUUUUGGAUGAUUGUAGUUGUGGAGAAAGAAGUACGGGGAAGAGUACUAACAAUGAGUGGAUAAGAUUUUGUGAUCAUUUAUUGAAUUGAGAAUUGGUGGCCAUGGCAAUAAAAGUUUUGUCUCUGCUUGUGUUGACGAAGAGUGUUCAUUCGAUGAGUGAACUCAAACCAACCAUAUUAAUUGCAUAGCAAUCACACCGACAUGUCCACUUACUUUCUCUAUUAUUUCAGCUCAAAUUUUCUUCUUCUUCUUCUUCUUAUUAUUACUUUUAUUAUUUAUUUUUACUUUUAUUAUUUAUUAUUUUGUUUACAAUUAUUUUAUUAUUAUAAUCAUUUUAUAAAUUUAUUAUUAAUAAUUUAAAUUUUAUUAAUAUUUUAUUGUUAUUAUUAUUAUUUUAAUAAUCAAAUUAUUAUUUUAACAUUUCUUAUUAUUAUAUUUUUAUUAUGUUAUAUUAUAUAAUUAAUUUUAUUUAUUUUAUUAUACCAAAAAUAUAAAUAUUAAUAAAAUUUAUUAUAAUAAAAAUAUAUAUUAUAUAUUUAAUGUAAUAAUUAUAUUUAUAAAUAUCAUCAAAAUUUUAUUAUAUAAUCAAUUAUGUAUUUAUAUAAUUGGUUAUGUAAAAAUAUAAAAUAUUCAUAUACAUAUAUAGAUAACUAUUAUUCUUUGUAAAUUUUAGCAAUUAUACAAAGAGUAACGUAAAUUUUUUUAUCUCAUUUUUUAUUUUUAAUUAUUUUAUUUUAUUUUAUUUUUGUUAUCUAUCAUGAAAUCCAUUUAUCGAAACAAAGGAACCUUUAAAGUUUUUAAAGUGAGUUUUUCCUUUGGGUUCAUAGUUAGUGAAGUGUACACAUUCAAACAUUAUUGACUUAUCCUUCAAGUUUUAGCAUGACACGACUCGAGUGAUCUAAUUUAUCAAGAAUUUGUCUCCUCGAAAUUCAUGUAUCCUACAACUGUUUGGCUUAAACACAGACAUACAAAAAUAAUCAAUCAACUACAUUUCAAUCAUACUAUAUCAAACAAAAUCUUAACUACACAUAUUUUAACUACAAAUUAUUUAAAUUCUAAAUUUGGUAGCAAAAAAUUUGAUAGUUAAUUAGAUACGAAUUUAAAAACUAUUUAUCAAUAAUAGAAACUAAUUUAGAAAUCAAUAAUUUUUUUAAUCUCUAAAAUAGUUUCUAAUUUAAUCAAUGUAGCAACUAAUUAUAUUUUUGGUCUCUAAAAUUGGUUUUUAUUUAAUGAUUUUGUUGUAGUGUUUGAACAAACUCUUUCUUACCUUUGUUGGGUUGUUCCAAUAGUGUUUUGUAAUUCUUGUUAUUGUUGGAGUGUUUCCAAUAUUGUAUUUGAGAUUGGCUUUGUUAUAGUAUUUGUUUGUGGUUGUAACAAGAGUUGAUAAGACUACCUUCCUAGGUGAAUAAAGAGUGGAUAAUGCUAAGAUCCUCUUAAAAUGGUUACAAGUAGAUAGGACACAUAUCCUCUUUGUUAUCCAUAGUUGAUUGAGGUUUAUAUUAUUUUAGUGUUUGAUAACCUUUUGAGGAGUGUUAAAGCAUUUAUUGUUGUCUUUGUGUUUUCACUCUUGUGUUCUUGUGUUAGUUUUGUACAAACAUUGGAUUGAUAAUGAAACCAUUUUUUCAAAGGUGAAAAAUUGAGGACUAGAUGUAGAAUUGGUUGAAUAUCCUAAAAAAUACUUGAGUCUGUCCAUCUUCAUAUUCUUUAGGUUCCAGGGUUGAUUAUUUUGGAAGACUUAGAGAAAAUAAUAACAUAAACCCUAAAUAAAAGUAAACUACAACAUUAUUUAUAUCCCACUGAUUAUAUAUAUAAAAGAAAAUAUGUUACUUUUACUCUCUAGUUAACUUAAUUAUUUAACAAAUAAUUUGUAAGGAAAAAUACUUACAAUUUAUUGGUCAGUCUAACACAGACAAACGUUAGAUAAUAAUGAAGAAACUGUAAAAACAUAUAAAAGGUAAACAAGGAAAAGUAAAUGAAUCAACAGAAAAAUUUAUAUAGUUUGAUUGAAACUCAAUCUACAUUUACAAUUAAAAAUUUAUUAAGAAAGAAUAUAAGAUUACAAUACAAAAUCUAUUCUAAAGUGAAUUUUCAAUUUUAAGUUGUUAAUUUUUCUUUUAACAAGAUCAAUCAUACUUAUAUAGAUAAAACUAUCAAACUAACUUUUAAAGGGAAUGCGUCAAAUAAUUGUUAUGUACACAGUGAUUCAAUUUGGAAUGAGAAACGCCAUGCUAAAAGUUAACUUGACACAGUAAAUUGUCUUAUUAGAAGUUCUGAUUAUGAUAGGAAAUCUUAAAUACAUUUUAACCUCUAAAUGGUCUAAUGUGUCUAGACAGUCUUUAAAACUUUUGAAUAUAGAUUUUAGUCAACCAAAUCUUUACACAAGUUAUAACUUAAAUAAUAGCAAUGAAAAUACAAAUAUUUUUUAUAAAAAAAAAUAAUAAUAAGUAGGACUAAAUAUAAAAAUAUACUUAUUAUUAAUCUUAUAGGGAUUGCAUUAUCGCAUAACUAAUGAAAGAUAAUAAAAAAGAUUAAGUAAGAAAAUAAUUUAUCAAAGACCACUAAGAACAAAAAUAUUUAUAAAAGAAUAAAUAUAUGAUAAUUUCCUUAGAUUCUAAAUUUGGUAGCGAAAAUCUCGGUAACUAAUUAGAUAAUAAUUUAGAAACUAUUUAAUCAUCCUAAUAUUAAUUGGGAGUCUCUUUUCUAAUUAUCAGUUGUUUCUCUGUAUAGAAAAGAAGAAUAAUUGGGUGUCUUUUCUAAUGAUCAGUUAUUUCUCUUUAUAGAAGGGAAUAACCUUUAUUUUUAUGUUUGUGUGUUAUGAUUCUAGUAUUUAAUAUUGAUUAUUUCCUUCUUUAGUUAAACCCUAGAAUGACUGUACUACUUGUAUAUAUUCAGACCCAUUUGUUUUGAUUUGAAUAAUAAGAAAGAAGAGAUAUUCAUUCUCAUAUCCUUUGUCUUCAGUUUACUCUUUUGUUCAUCUCUGUUCCCCUUUUGUUCAUCUCUGUUCUAUUUUGUAAUAUGGUAUCAGAGCUCUGAUCAUCAGAGCUCUGCUUGCUACAUUUAUUCAUGGGUGAAGUUGAUGAUCCCUCACAAGAUCUUAGUUCACCUUACCAUGUUAGUUCAUCAGAUAAUCCUUCCGUUCUUAUUGUCCCUAUUAUUCUUGAUGGACCAAAUUAUCAUCAUUGGUCUCGUUCGUUUCAAAUUAGCUUAAUUUCAAAGAACAAAAUAGGUUUCAUUGAUGGAACUAUAGAAGCUCCCAAUCGUACCAAAUCAUUGUUUCCAACAUGGCAGAGAGCCAAUAUGUUGGUUGUUUUGUGGAUUCUCAAGGCUGUUUCUCAAUCCAUCGCACAGAGCAUCAUCUGUAUGGACAAUGCCUUUGACAUAUGGAAUGAUUUAAAGGAAAGGUUCUCACAAGGAGACAUGAUUCGUAUUUCUGAUAUCCAAGAGAUGAUUUCUUCUUUUAAACAAGGUGAGUUGACUGUUACAAACUAUUUCACUCAGUUAAAAAUUCUUUGGGAUGAACUUGGUCUUUUCUGCCCGCUAUCCGCUUCUUCAUGUGCCUCUAAAUGCAAUACUCUUGUGAAUGUUUCUAAAUAUAAAACACAAGACCAGAUUAUCAAAUUUCUAAAGGGGCUUAAUGAUAAUUAUUCGACUGUGAGAACUCAAAUUUUAUUGAUGGACCCUUUGCCAUCCUUGAAUAAAGUUUGCUCUCUUGUUACACAACAAGAGAGGCAAAUAUUUGGUGAUCAAUCCAAGGCAAUGAUUGCUACUAGCAAAGGAGGUUAUANNNNNNNNNNNNNNNNNNNNNNNNNNNNNNNNNNNNNNNNNNNNNNNNNNNNNNNNNNNNNNNNNNNNNNNNNNNNNNNNNNNNNNNNNNNNNNNNNNNNAUGGAAGAGGAUAUACUUCCAAAAUUUGUAGUCAUUGUGGAAGGACAGGGCAUACCAUUGAUACAUGCUAUAAAAAGCAUGGCUUUCCACCUCAUUUCAAGUUCAAAAAUCAGAAUCAUGAAGGUUCAAAGUCAGAAGUGGAGUCUCAACAAAUUGGUUUUACUCCUGAGCAGUAUCAAACAUUGUUAGCUCUUUUACAACAGACCAAAUCCAGUGGCAAUGCUUCUAAUCAAGUCUCUAUUAUUCCCUCCAAUCAAACAGGUAAUAAUUUUAUUUCUUCUUUUAGUUCUUGGAUUAUUGAUAGUGGUGCUACUGAUCACAUUUGUUCAUCUUUAACUUAUUUCACUUCAUAUCAUCAAAUUGAUCCUAUUUAUGUCAAAUUACCAAAUGGAAAUCAAGUCAUUGCCAAUUAUUCUGGAAGUGUUUUUCUCAAUCAAAAUCAUGUCACAAACAAUGUUUUGUACAUUCCUUGCUUCAAUUUUAAUCUUCUUUCCGUAGCAAAAUUGAUUGAUAAACUAUCUUGUGUUCUUACCUUUGACUCUAAUGGUUGUCACAUUCAUGACAAAAUAACAAUGAAGAUGAUUGGAAUCGCUAAGACGCAAGAUAGACUUUAUAUACUCAGGAUCCCAUUUGGUAAUUGUUUAGGGUUUAGGGUUUAGGGCAACAUGAUCGUCGAUUGAUAGUCGGUGGUCGUCGCCAUGCGUGCGUAGUCGGUGGUCGUCGAAGGUAUGUAAAGUCAAAGAUGAUCACCGGUCGGUGAAGCGGCGCUGUCAACAUGAUCGCCGUUUGAGGAACGACGACCCCCACUGUGUAGUCGGUGGUCGUUGAAUAUGCAAAGGGCAACAUGAUCGCCGGUCGAGGAAACGGCGAUCACCAUGCGUGCGUAGUCGGUGGUCGCCAAAGGUAUGUAAAGUCAAAGAUGAUCACCGGUCGGUGAAGCGGCGCUGUCAACAUGAUCGCCGUUUGAGGAACGACGACCCCCACUGUGUAGUCGGUGGUCGUCGAAUAUGCAAAGGGCAACAUGAUCGCCGGUCGAGGAAACGACGUUCACCUUAGGUCUCCAUGAUCGCGAUCGAUGAAGUGGCGUUCUCCAUGUGUGUAGUCGGUGGUCGCCGAAGUAUUGUAGAGGUCAACAAGAUCGCUGGUCGAGGGAGCGGCGUUCUCCAUAUGUGGGUAGUCGCGUGGCGAGGUGAAAGUAUGCGACUUGGGUCCUGGGAGGUUCGGUAUAGUUGAGUGUUGCUUUGAGGUAACCUGAUGGUUAUAUUUUUUGGGUAUGGUUUCUCUCUUUAAGGUUGUUCUGCUGCAACCAUAAAGGAGAGCUUCUUUUGUGGAUGAUGUAGGAAGUCCACUACUGGUUACAGUAUAUGGGUUGGGAUACCCCUGAAGUAUCCCCUUAAUUCUAUUUAUUCAUUGCUGAUAAAAAAAAAAAAAUACUCAGGAUCCCAUCUUACCAGAAAUUUCAAAUUAAACCCCUUGAAUGUACACACACCAUCAAUACUGUUAAUGUCAUUGCUAGUGAUCUAGAAACCCUUUGGCAUUUUCGAUUAGGUCAUAUUUCNNNNNNNNNNNNNNNNNNNNNNNNNNNNNNNNNNNNNNNNNNNNNNNNNNNNNNNNNNNNNNNNNNNNNNNNNNNNNNNNNNNNNNNNNNNNNNNNNNNNNNNNNNNNNNNNNNNNNNNNNNNNNNNNNNNNNNNNNUUGAUUUGAUUCAUGUAGAUGUUUGGGGACCAUACUCAAUACCAUCAAUUCAUGGUCAUAAAUAUUUUUUGACCAUAGUUGAUGACUAUUCGAGGUACACAUGGAUUUUUCUUUUGAAACAAAAAUCUGAAGUUGUUAAGGUUUUGGAAGAUUUUGUUAUUUUUGUUCAAACACAGUUUGAGACAACAAUAAAAAUAAUAAGAAGUGACAAUGGAACUGAAUUUUUCAUGACUAAUUUUUUUGUCAGUAAAGGAAUAAUACAUCAAACAUCAUGUGUCAAUACUCCACAACAAAAUAGUAUAGUUGAAAGGAAACAUGGUCAUUUAUUAGAUGUAGCAAGAGCUUUUAUGAUACAAUCUCAUUUACCCAAAAUUUAUUGGUCAUAUUCUGUGAUACAUGCUGCGCAUAUUAUAAACAUGCUUCCCACNNNNNNNNNNNNNNNNNNNNNNNNNNNNNNNNNNNNNNNNNNNNNNNNNNNNNNNNNNNNNNNNNNNNNNNNNNNNNNNNNNNNNNNNNNNNNNNNNNNNCUUUAUGUUAUGCUAGCACCUUGUCAACAAAUAGAAGAAAAUUUGAUCCAAGAGCAUCAAAAUGUGUUUUUAUUGGCUUUCAACGGGGGACAAAAGGAUAUAUUUUGUUGAAUAUUCAAUCAAGAGAAAUUUUUGUGUCUAGGGAUGUUGUCUUUUAUGAACAUGUUUUUCCAUACCAAAGGGUUCAAGAUACUAGCAAUGAAACUAACAAUCCCGACGUUAAUGAUCAAAUUUUGUUUGCUGAAGAUCAAUUUGUCUUAAGUCAGCCAUCACAAGCCAUUCUUGCACCUUGUGAUAAUACACCUUGUGAUAAUGUUGAAAAUAGUAGUGAUAAUAAUUGUGAGUCACAAAUUGAGGUUUCAGAAGAAGAUUGUUCCCAUAUAGACCAAAACCUCAAUGAAAAUCAUGAUAUAGAACAAAAUUCUGAAUCAGAUCCAUCUAUCCGAAUGAGCACAAGAAUAAAAAAAUCACCUGAGUAUUUAAAGGAUUAUCAUUGUAAUCUUAAUGUUUCCAGUACAUCUUCAAGUGUUAAAUAUCCUUUGAAUUUUGUUUUGUCUUAUAGCAAUUUAUCACCUUCUUACAAAUCUUUUGUUAUGUCUAUUUCUUCACAUGUUGAGCCAAACACUUAUUCUGAAGCUGUGAAACAUGACUGUUGGAGAAAAGCUAUACAAUGUGAGAUAUCUGCUUUAGAGUCAAAUCAAACUUGGGAGACUGCUCUUCUGCCUCAGAACAAAGCUGCCAUAGGUUGCAAAUGGGUAUUCAAAAUAAAAUAUAAGGCUGAUGGAAUAAUUGAAAGGUAUAAAGCAAGGUUAGUGGCAAAGGGAUAUACACAAACAGAAGGCAUUGACUACCUCGAUACUUUCUCUCCAGUAGCAAAGAUGACCACCAUAAGGUUGCUUCUUUCUUUAGCUUCUAUUUAUAAUUGGGAAUUUAAACAAUUAGACAUAAACAAUGCCUUUUUACAUGGAGAUUUGAAAGAAGAUGUAUACAUGGUUGAUCCUCCUGGAUUGACUUCUAUUCCACUAGGAAAAGUUUGUAAACUAAAAAAAGGCUUUAUAUGGCCUUAAACAAGCCAGCAGAGAAUGGUUUGCCAAACUGUCGUCAUUUUUGCUUUCUAUGGGAUAUACUCACUCUAUGAAUGAUCAUUCCUUGUUCAUUAAUUCUUCUGAAGGAUCUUUUACAGCAUUAUUGGUAUAUGUGGAUGAUAUAAUAUUGGCAGGAAAUGAUAAAGAAGAGAUUGUUCGAAUUAAACAAGCCUUGAAUCAGACAUUCAAGAUUAAAGAUCUUGGGAAUUUAAGAUACUUUCUUGGUCUAGAAGUAGCCAGAAGUAAGACAGGAAUAAUGGUAAAUCAAAGGAAAUAUGCAUUGGAAUUAUUAACCGAUGCAGGUCUUUUAGCCUGCAAACCUGCACCCACUCCUAUUGAUAAUCAUGAGCAAUUCUCUUCUACUGGAAGUAUUCCUUUCACAGAUAUUCAAGCCUGCAGAAGAUUGAUUGGAAGGCUUAUGUAUCUCACUAAUACCCGACCUGACAUAACAUUUUCUGUGCAACAACUUUCUCAGUUUCUUGCUAAGCCUACAAUUAUUCACUAUAAUGCAGCAAUUAGAAUUCUCAGAUAUAUCAAAGGGGCUCCAAGUCUUGGUCUAUUUUUCUCUUCCACUACUUCUGUUCAUCUCAAAGCCUUUUGUGAUAGUGAUUGGGGCACGUGCAGUGAUUCAAGACAAUCAGUGACUGGUUUUAGUGUGUAUCUUGGGAAUUCUCUCAUAUCUUGGAAAUCAAAUAUUAACACAAUAAAAUGAAUAAUGAUAAUGAUCUAGUGAUUAUUGAGUUCACAUAGCAAUUAUAACGGAAAAUCAAUAAAGAAAAUAUAUGUAUUAUGAAAAGUUUUAUACACAUUUACAUAUUCAAAGUUGAUUAAGAUUGAUAUCAUUAAAGUGUUUGAUAUCCUCUUGACGAGUACUCAACAAUUUAUUCUUAUCCUGGUGUUUGUAAUUGUUGUGUUGUUUUGAAUAAACAUUUGAUUGAUAAUGGAACCAUUUUUUCAAGGGUGAAAAAUUAAGAAUUAAAUGUAGGAUUGGUUGAAUUCGAAUCAAAAUAAAUAUAUUAUGUGAUAUUUCUCUUACUUUAUCCAUCUCUUUAUAUUGUUAUAUUGUUAUCUAAUUCUUGUAUGAAUUACAUUAUCAAAUUAAUUGCAUUCUCAUUUUAUUGUUAUCAUCAUUUCUUAUAUCAAUUUUGUUUCCACUAAUAAUUUAUUAAUUGUUUAUAUCUUAAAGAAGUUUUAAAAGAAUUAUAAGAAAAGAGAUUAUUAAACAAAAAAAUUUGAAAAUCAAUUCACUCACCCUCUUGGUUUAAUCAAGUCAUUCCUUUUUUCUAAUAAAAAACACUCACUUUGAACCUAGCUAAUAAAAUUGAAUUUUCAAGAAACUCAAAGCUUAUUUCAUAAUUUUUAAAUAUAAAGAAUACAAUAGAAAAUUCUUUUAUUUAUAGGAUGUGAACGUGAGUUCAAGAAGUUAUCUAAGGUAUGAAAGAGAUGGAAGUAGUUGGCUAAAAUUUGAAGUUAAAAUACAUUCAAAGUACAACUCUCUUGGUUCAUGUAAUAAUGAAUACUUAUGUGCAUCAACUAACUUUAAUUACUACUAAUCAAGUUAAUUACAAGGCAAUAUUUUACAAAGUCUCUAGUUUCAAUGUAUAAAGUUUCAUUGUAUUUAUUGAUAAAAAAAUUUAAAUUAAAACUAUCUCAAGUUCAAUUAACAAGAUAUGUAACAUGAAUUUUCUAUCCCUCAUCUCAUAUUUUAAUAUUUUUCUUCAACAUAUCUUCAUUAACCAUAUUGAAAAAAACAAAAAAGAAGUUAUCACUUUAUAAAAUAAAGAAUUCCGAAAUGAAUAUCUAUUUUUAUGGCUUAUGUCACUUUUGGAUUUUGUUUCUUUCCAUUAGAGUUUCUCUUAGAUUUCUAUGAUUUCUAUUAUGAUUAAAAAUUAUAUGUAUGACAUAUAACAUGCUUAUAAGAAAUUGUGAUCAAUUAAAAAUUUAUUUUCCUAUCUACAACUUUAUUUAAAGUAAUUAUCAAUCACGUUAAAGAGUAAUUAUAAUCGUCCAUGUCAUUUAUUGUUCUACCAAAGUCAUUGAAAAAAUAAAGAUUCUUUUAUGUAAACAACACAGUAGCUCUUAAUUUUUAAUAGAACCUAAACAAGCAAUUAGGAACGUACGCCAAUAACAUAAAUAAAUCCAGCUUAGUAUGUAAAUUUUAAACACAAUGGAGAUCUAAUAACUUCUCUGCAGUACAAGGUAGGGAUUCCUCUGCUUUAGUUGCAUGGUACCGAUGGAAGUAUUAUUAUCUUCUAUUUUAAAAAAUUUCAGAUGUAGAAAUAACAUGAAAAGGAGUAAAAAGAAAUCAAUAAUAUUGAAUGCAAUGCGUUCGGGUGUUUAAGGGUAAGUAGAAAACAACAACUAGACAAUGCGUUCGGGUGUUUAAGGGUAAGUAGAAAACAACAACUAGACAAAUAUUGGCUUAUGUGAUUAAGUAGCUAAAACCAACACUUCCCUGGUGCUAUUAUGUACCAAAAUAUCAGUAUAUAAUGGGUUUUUGAUUAUGAUGGGGUUAUUUUUUUUUUUUACCAAAAUAGGGUUCGUUUAAAAAAAAUUACAAAUUUAGGUAAGUGGUGCCAAUUUGGCAUGACUUCAUACACAGAAAUUGUUCCAAUUUGACACGACUCUGUCAUGUCAUACUAAAGUCGUACCAACUUGGCACGACUUUUGCCCUAUCAUACUGAAGUCGUGUCAACUUGACACGACUUCUGCCACGUUAUACGGAAGUCGUGCCAACUUGGCACGACUUCUGCCAUGUCAUAAUUUUUUUUUUAAUUUUAUUGUUUAUAUAUUGGGUAGUAAGUUAUGUAAUGUUAAAAAUUAAUUUGAUACAUAAUUUUCUAAGGGUGUUAGUUUUAAGGAAAACAAAACUGGAUAUAUAAUUAUUUUUAAAUUAUUUAAUUAUUUCAAAAUAAUUACAAAUUAUUUAUAUUAUUUGACUUAUUUAAAAUUUAUAUAAUUAUUUUUAAAUUAUUUAAUUAUUUCAAAAUAAUUACAGUAAUUAUACCUUUUUAUAUUUUAAUAUAAAUGACAUUAAAAAAAUUAACAAGUUUAAAAAAUGUAUUAUUUGAAUUGUGAUAAAAAAAAUUAUUACUUCAUAACAAAAUGAAUAAUUGUGAUACACGAUUAUCCAAUUUUUUGUUCCUUAAAACUAUGACUCUUAGAAAAUUAUGUAUCAAAUUAAUUUUUAACAUUACAUAACUUACUACCCAAUAUAUAAAUAAUAAAAUAUAAAAAAAAAAUGACGUGGCAGAAAUUGUGUCAAGUUGGCACGACUUCAGUAUGACAUGACAAAGUCGUGUCAAAUUGGGACGAUUUGUACAUAUGAAAUCGUGCCAAAUUGACACGACUUGCCUAAAUUUGUAAUUUUUUUAAACGGACCAUAUUUUAAUAAAAAAAAAAAAACCUCAUUAUGGCCAAAAACCCGUAUAUAACAGCAGCCCACAAAUAUAAUGAAAAUGCAAAUACCAUAAACAUUCUUUGACUAAGAAUAAUCAACCUGUAUCAAAUGCUACAGAAAAACUAAGAUAAGCUAAGUUCACCUAUUAAAUGGCUAUAGUGGGACCACCAAUUGAAGAAGCAACGUUGCUAUGCUAUAUUUCGCAGGCAAAGGCAAAGAUUAUGUUGCAGGGAAGGGUGAGUAUGGGAUACUUGCUGCUGCUUCAACAGUUGAAGCCAACAAAGAAUUGGUAUAAGCCUGCCAAGAAACAGCACUAUUUUAAUUUGUCAAGAUUAUUGUCAGAUCUUAAACAUUUUAAUUUGGUUUUCAUUUCAUUUUUUAUUGUCAGUUCUUAUACAACUUGUUAUUUCCCAACAACACCACUCUACAUAAGAGCAUCUUUACCGGGUAUUAAAACAACAAACUACCACCGAAAUCAUUUAUUAAAUUGCAAAUAUCUUCUACUCAUAGCACCGUGUCCAUACAUAACUUAGUAACUAACCAUUUCUUAUCGAUAUGCUCUGUUUCUCAAAUGAUAUCUUGCAGCCUAGUAGAUAUAUUUUGUAGAAUUGCAAACACAAACAAUUGAAUCCAAACUUUAAGCCUACACAGUUAUUUUGAAUCAAAUUAAUGAGUUUCCACAGUAGUGUUAGUAAACAUUUUUUUCAAAAUCAAUUUUUAUACAUGUCAAAGAAACAAUUCAAAAUAAUUUUUUAUACAUGUUAAGCAAACAAUCACAAAUCUCUCUUACCACUUACACUUUCAAAACAAUUUAGUAAACAAUAUUUGAUCCUAAACAAAUUCAAAACCAAAUUUUAUACCAAUUUGAGGCACAUAGAACACUACAUAGCAGAUAAAAAUCUGAAAUCACUUUGGAAAGUACCAUCAAUGACUACAUAGAGAACAAAAGCACACAAAAAUUAAAAGAAUGAUGCAUACCAGAGGAUUGAUCUUCUUAGAAUCACUGUUAAGCUUAUUCAUAGCAUCAUGCAUGCAAUCCAGAACAGUCACAGCAAAGACUUCAGCAAAAUCCUGAGGUGAGGAGAAAAAAAAAGGUUAAAGAAAGAAUAGAAAUAAUUUUAUAUCAGGCAUUAUAUCAACUGCAAAUUGCAUAUAAAAAAACUGAUUUCCUUUUAUUAGUUUAUCUGGACAAAAGCAUAGUGACUAAGCUUAAUCAUAAGAUACAUUGUAUGAAAUGAGAAGCUGGUACAGUAUAUGCCAAACAUCAACCAUAAAAGAGGGGAAUACUGAAACCUUGUUUUAUUAUUCAAUAUAUACACUACGCAAAAGGCUACCCAAUUUUUGAAAAACAGAGUGACACAUUAGGGAGAGAAGUAAACAAAACACUCUUGAAUUUACCACAAAAAGUCGGUUUCAUUUGGAAAAACAGUUGUAUUUCUGGAAUAUGCUUUAUGUAUUGCCAAUCCUCUCCCGUUUCCCUCUUGCACCGCUUCUUCAGAUAUGGACAUUCGCGUAUAUUUAAAGAAGACAAGUUGGUGAGGCGUUGAAUACUACUCGGUAUUGACCUCAGCUCCUCACAAUACCCAAUCUCUAAUUUUUGAAGAGAAGUCAUGUCUCCCACCCAGUCCGGCAAUGAAGUAGAUCGGGUAACUGAAUAUAUCCAAAGUUCGUAGGGAGGGGCACAUUGUAAGCCAUAGGGUAACGUGGAGCAAUGGUGGAUUCUGACCGUUCGAAGGGCAGUUAGUUGGGUCAUAUUGCUUGGUAGAGUCACCAGCUCUGGACAAUUCAUGAUACUCAAACUCUCCAAACAUGUCAAAUGUCGCACACCUUCAGAUAAUGAUUUCAAUUUCUCACCGUUGGUAAUAAUCAAACUUCUAAGUGAGGUCAGACCUUCCAACCCGUGUUCUGAAAAAUACUCCAGACUAUCACAAGAAAUAAUGUGUAGUUCCUGUAGUGCACCCAACCCGCUGAGUUGGUCGGGUAAUACCACCACUCCUCUAAUAAUAUGCAAGGUCUUUAGACAAGGCAUAUUCUCCACAACCCCUUCCAUCAAGGAAGCAGCUUCGAAAAUAGAUACCUUCUCAACAGAAGGAAGACGUGGAAAUUUAAGGUUGGAGAUGCCACCAAUACGUAAUAGGGAAAGACGAGGGAGCAUCUCUACUCCUUCUUCCCUCAACAUCCUCUCCAUUUUUGGUAAGUUCUCCAAACUCAAUUCCACCAACGAUGGAAAUGCCUUCUCCUCCACACCAUCAUACGACUCAUCAUCUAUCCACUUCACAUUUUUCAUUCCACCCACUUUUAGCCUUUUCAACUGUUGUAGUUUACCAAGUGGAGGAAGCUCCUCACAGUUGUCACAGUUCAAGAGUGUAACUUCCCCCAAGUCUCUCAGAACUGGACCACUUCUCAUCCAACUUGAUAACUGUCUCCCCUGAUAUCCUCUCAUCCCAAAACUCUUUAAACUUGAGGGAGGUUGCAGGGUUCUAGUACUCUUUCAACGUUAACAUUACUACCUUUUGAAUUAGCACUACCACCCCAUGACAAGUCUAGGAUAUUCAAGUCCUUCUUACCAAUCAAAUUUGCUUGUUUAGCAUCCCAUUCAUUGGGGACCUUCUCAAGGCCUUCGAUUCUCAGCGUGCCUCCCAGCUUUAAGCUAUGCAACUCUGAUAACCCACACCCUAACUUUGAACCCACAACAAAAGUGCUCAGUGUUCUUAGAUGCCUUAACUUGCCAAUAUUCGGAGGCAUCUCUGAUAUUGAAUAACAGUUAUUAAUCACAAUAUGUCUUAGAUCCUGUAAUUGCGUCAAUUCUUUGGGCAGCCUAAGGUGGUAGAGAUGUUGUAGUUUCAAUAUUUGCAAUUUCGGCAACUGACAAAUUAAUUUAUGUAAGCCUUUUCCAGAACCCCAAUUCCAACUCAAGUAUCUCAAAUGUGCUAAAUCCUUGACUGGGAACACUGAAUAAGAAGUUGUGCAUAGUGCUCGGAGACAAUGGGUUGAUGGCACCAGGCCAAUAUCACCCAAAUCUAGAAAAGUCCGAAGGGAUUCAACUUUCUUGAAAGCAGUUUUCUUGAAAGCAGUUUUCUUGAAAGCAGUCAUAUCAACAACCAUCUUAGAAUUGAACAAGCUUGCAUAGUGAACUCUAGUUGACAACGGAGUCAACCUUCCUUUCUCAAUAAUCACACAUUCUUCACCCAUAAUAGACUGGGCAAGAUCAUGAAAUAGAUCAUGCAUCUUGCAACUUCUAAUCAUACCAAGCUUAUCAAACUUUGCUUCUUGAAAAAAUGAUCUACGGUAUAAUUUGUUCCACACUUUAUUUCCAACAUCCUCCACUUCUAUGUUUCCUUCAGAUUUAAUAAAUCCAUUAGCCAUCCAGAGAUGAAUUAGAUCUUCCUUGACUAUUUCAAAAUCUUUGGGAAAAAUUGCACAGAAAGAAAAGCAUAUCCUCAGAGACAACUCCAAAUUAGAAUAACUUAGUUUCAAAGCACGCAUAAUAGAAUUUUCCUCACAUAUAUUCCAAAUCUCACUUUCCUUUACAUUUUCCCAUUGGCUUACCUCACUUUCAUCACGCAAAAGGCUGCCCAGUGUUUUGAUUGCAAGCGGCGAACCAACGCAUUUUUUCACUAUCUCUUUGCCAAUUGCCACAAGCUCUUCCCGCCCUUUUCUGUUUGGUCCAAACGCAUGGCUUGUGAACAAUGACCAACUGUCGUCUCUUGAUAAUUCUUUCAAAUGGUAAGCGCCAUGCGUUCUAAUGGCUAAUGAAGUGGUAGAGGACAUCAGACGACGAGGGCAAAGUGGGCUAUGCCUAAAGGUCGACUUCGAAAAAGCGUACGACUCGGUUAGAUGGGAGUUUUUGUACGAUAUGAUGGGAAAGAUGGGGUUUCAUAGAAAGUGGAUCAGAUGGAUCCAGGGCUGUCUGGAAAGUGCCUCUAUCUCUGUGCUGGUGAAUGGAAGCCCGACAGACGAAUUUAAACCUGAGAGAGGGUUGAGGCAGGGAUACCCACUUGCCCCCUUUCUUUUUUUGAUAGCAGCGGAAGGCUUGUCAGGGUUGGUAAGGCAAGCUGUGAAGGCUAACUUACUAUCUGGUUUGAGGGUCGGGAGAAAAGAGGUUGAGAUAAGUAUCUUACAGUUUGUUGAUGACACUCUUUUCUUCUGUGAGGACUCUCUUAGUAAUGUGGUGACUUUAAAGGCUAUCCUUAGAGGGUUUGAGGUAGCGUCAGGCCUCAAGAUAAACUUCCACAAGUCCAGGAUUACAGGUAUUAAUGUGCAUAGGAACAACAUCCGCUGUUAUUUGAGGACCUUGAAUUGUGCGGAGAUGACAGUACCUUUCAAGUAUUUAGGGCUUGAGGUGGGAGGCAACCCGAGGAGGAAGAAGUUCUGGGAGCCAGUCAUUGAUAAGUUGGAGAGCAGGCUAAGCACGUGGAGAGGGAGGUUCUUAUCAAUGGCAGGUAGAAUCUGUGUUAUUAAAUCGGUGCUUACAGCAGUACCCCUGCACUACCUUUCCAUGUUCAAAGCACCUGUUUCGGUUUGUAAGAACAUCAAGCGUAUUCAAAGAAGGUUCCUAUGGGGCUGGGGGAAGGAAAAGAAAACCGAUCUCAUGGGUCAGGUGGGAAAAUGUGUGCAAACCAAAACAGGAAGGAGGGCUGGGGAUCAUAGAUAUACGUGAUUUCAAUUAUGCUCUGAUGGCAAAAUGGAAGUGGAGGUGGCUCUCAGAUGAAAAAGGAAGAUGGAAGGAUGUCUUGGAGUCGAAAUAUGGAGGAGGUGGUGAGGGGACUAACCAACCAUUAAAGCUGCAGUCUUGGUGGUGGAGGGACCUACAUAAAGUUUGUAUGGAGGGAGGAGGAGAGGGAUGGUUCCAAGCUGAAAUGGGUUGGAGGAUAGGGUGCAGUGACAGAGUGAAAUUCUGGGAUGACGUGUGGGUUGGGAAUACCAAUCUCAAAUCCGCGUUCCCCAGAUUUUACACCAUAUUAUGUAAUCAGUGUCAAACAGUGGAAGAGGUAGUCAUGUGGGAAGGGGACGUCUGGCGAUGGAACUUAAGAUGGAGGCGGGCCAGGUUCGAGUGGGAGUCGGUGAUGGAAACAGACCUAGUCUCAUAUAUUUCUAGGGCUGUUAUUACACGGCAGGAGCAAGACACUCGGGUAUGGGGGAUCAAUGAUAAGGGGUGUUUCUCAGUGAAAUCAGCUUAUGCGAGCAUAAGAGGAGAUGGCACCUGCAAUGCUGUUUUUGACCUCCUUUGGAAGGCCAAGGCUUUUCCCUCUGUUCUGACCACUGCGUGGGGGUCCUUACUGGAUAGACUACCAACUAGAGAAUGCCUGAGUAGGAGGGGGGUGACGAUGGAAUCCACUUUAUGCGAGUUUUGCCAUUCUAAAAUUGAAACCAGCCAUCACUUAUUUUUUGAGUGUCAAGUGGUAGUGCGUGUUUGGGACUUAUGUCAUAGAUGGCUAGGCAUCCUUUCUGUUCAACACAAUGGUCUGAGUAAUCACUUUGAAAGUUUCACUUUGAUUCAGGCCAGUAACAAACAAGACGAUUUGGAAAGGUAUCUGGACUGCUAUAGUACGAGUGUAUGGGAACAUAGGAACUUGGUCGCGUUCAAGCAAGGAGUUGUAGAUGCUGAAGAGAUGUUACAACAAGCUCAACUGAAAUCAUGGCUGUGGAUGAAGCAUAAGGUAUGCAGGUUCAAUUACUCUUUUGUGGAUUGGGUUUUAAACCCAAUCUUAUGUAUCAAGAGCUAUAAGUAAUGGACCUCCAAAGUAAAGUCCGGUCCAGGAAAGGCAGAAGGGUUUGUGGAAGAUUGGAAGAUCUGUAGGCCUGUUAGCAUUUGUGGUAAGAUCGUUGGGUUGUAGGUGCUGUGUUCAAUAGGCGCAAGCUAAGGCGCGACUGGGAUGGAUGGAGGCUAUGGUUCUGUUCGCUCGGCGGAAUGGCUAGGGCAUGCUCGAAGAGAUUGUUGCCUUGGCCUGGGGAGCUCUAUAAUUAACGGGGUAUAUGACUGUUACGUAACAUGGUGCAUGUAUGGACUGGUAUGGAGUAAGGAUUGUAGGGGAUGUCUGUGGUCGAUCGAAGUUAUGCAAAGGUCAACAUGAUCGUCGGUCGACGAAGCGGCGUUCUCCAUACGUGUGUAAUCGGUGGUCGCCGGUCGUUAUACAAGGAUAACAUGAUCGCCGGUCGAUGACACGACGAUCUCCAUGCGUGUGGAGUCAGUGGUCGUCGAAGUUAUGCAAAGGUCAUCGCGGGUCGACGAAGCGGCGUUCUCCAUAUGUGUGUAGUCGGUGAUCGCCGAAGUUAUACAAGGUUAACAUGAUCGCCGGUCGAUGAAACGGCGAUCUCCAUGCGUGUGUAGCUGGUGGUCGUCGAAAUUAUGCAAAGGUAAACAUGACCUCCAUGGUCGAUGAAAUGGCGAUCUCCAUGCGCUAGUCGGUGGUCGCCGAAGGCAAAGGUAAACAUGAUCGCCGGUCGAUGAAGCGGCGAUCUCCAUGAGCGCGUAGUCGGUGGUCGGUGAAGUUGUGUAUCAUUGCCGUAUUCGAAGAACGGAAGAUCAGGUACUGAAAAUCACUGAGGUAGACACAUCGCCGGGUUUGUGCUGGUUCGAUAAAGAUGUCUGUUAACCUUAAUAAGAGCAAUGAGAUGGGGAUUUCCCGAGUGGAUCCUCCUCGAGAGCAGGGUUUACUUAGGUCAAAGCAUACAUGGCGAGAAGCAUUGGCGACAGGCGAUCUUGCUUGGGUAUAUUUUUGGGUAUGUUUUUCUCACUUUAAGGUUGUUUUGUUCCAACCAUAAAGGAGAGAUAGGAAGUCCUUUUGUGGUUUUUGUAUAUGGGUUGGGAUACCCCUGAAGUAUCCCCUUUAAUUUUAUUUAUUCAUUGCUGAUAAAAAAAAAAAAAGUAAUAUCAACAGACACCUUAGAAUUUGACAAGCUUACAUAGUGAACUCUAGUUGGCAACUGAGUCAACCUUCCAUUCUCAAUAAUCACACAUUCUUCACCCAUAAUAGAUUGGGCAAGAUCAUGAAAUAGAUCAUGCAUCUUGCAACUUCUAAUCAUACCAAGCUUAGCAUACUUUGCUUCUUGAAAAAUUGAUCUACGGUAUAAUUUUUUCCACACUUUAUUUCCAACAUCCUCCACUUCUACGUUUCCUUUAGAUUUAAUAAAUCCAUUAGCCAUCCAGAGAUGAAUUAGAUCUUCCUUGUCAAUUUCAAAAUCUUUGGGAAAAAUUGCACAAAAAGAAAAGCAUAUCCUCAGAGACAACUCCAAAUUAGAAUAACUUAGUUUCAAAGCACGCAUAAUAGAAUUUUCCUCACAUAUAUUCCAAAUCUCACUUUCCUUUACAUUUUCCCAUUGGCUUACCUCACUUUCAUCACGCAAAAGGCUGCCCAGUGUUUUGAUUGCAAGCGGCGAACCAACGCAUUUUUUCACUAUCUCUUUGCCAAUUGCCACAAGCUCUUCCCGCCCUUUUCUGUUUGGUCCAAACGCAUGGCUUGUGAACAAUGACCAACUGUCGUCUCUUGAUAAUUCUUUCAAAUGGUAAGCGCCAUGCGUCUCCAUGGUGGAAACAACUUCCUGGAGUCGAGUGGUGACCAAAAUGGUAGCUCCUUUUGCUGCCCUUGCACACUGCAACUUCCCCUUCAACUGCUUCCAUUUCUCUUGGUCUUCAUUCCACACAUCAUCAAGAACAAGUAAAUACCUCUUGCUCUGCAACACUUCUUCAACCUUUUUCCGCACUGCUUCUAAGGUAUUGAGAUUGGGAUUUUGUCCAAUGCAACAUUCUAUGAUGGAUUGUAGUAUUGUCAUUGUGUUGAAAUCAUCAGAAACACAAACCCAAAUUGUCAAGUCAAAAUGGUUGCAUACCCUGUGAUCAUUGAAGACCUGCUUGGCAAGUGUUGUUUUGCCAAGUCCACCCAUACCAACUAUAGGAUACGGAGAGGUCUUCACUGUUACUGGCAUCUUCCAAAAGAAAUUUCACAAUUUGCUCUCGAUCUUCGUCUCUGCCAUAGACUCUAGGUUCUGUAAUGUCAGAGCUAGUUGGGCGCCAAUAACCAUCAUCAUCAUCAUCCAGUGCUUGCUUCUCUGUGACACCAUCAUCACGUAACUCAAACAUGCGUCUUUCUUCAUUAAUGUCGUGAAAUCUUUGGGUGAUGUCUUUCAUCCUCUUUCCAAUAUGAAAACGAAAGAGAAUGUCCCUGAAAUGCACACGGGCCAAGCAUGAACUUCGUCCAUCAUCAGAGAGCACCUUUUUGGAUUGAAGUGAACAUUCAUCCAAGAUAUCAUCAAGCACAUAUGUUGCAUCUGUGAGUUUCUGCAGCCAAUUCUUCACAGUAUGGCUUGUUAUUUACUUUCUCUCAGCGUCUGUGAGGACAGCACGGAUUGCGGUGAGAUUGCUGGAAAGCUUUUGAGUCUGUUGAUCAACACCCAAUAAGUUGUAAGUUGGUCUUUAACAGCAGAUUGCAAGUUUUGAAUCACAGUUCCCAGCAAAGCGUCAGCCAUUGGAAGGAAGGAGAAUUUGAAUGAAGAAAAGGUUGGUGAUUGAUUAUGGAGAAGAGAGGCAACGAUGAGUCAAUAAUAUUUUGGUUAGAAAGAAUUUCUUAUAUAAUUUAAUUUUCUUGGGCAGAAUGAUUGGAAUAUAAUUAUGCAUCAUUUACACGACUAUAUUCAUUAUAUAAGCAAAGUAUAUCUUAUUUUGAAGUUUACAUGAUUACAAUGAAAAGUAUAUAAAUAUAUUCAUACUGUGAAAAAAAAGAGAGAGAAUAAAAGUAGAUGAACAUCUUAAAAUAAAAUUCCAACCCUAUGCAAUCCUUCUUAUUGCACGUCAAGAAUAAUUUGUGAUCCCAAAAUAUAUUGAAUUCAUUACGGAAGUUAAUCAUUUCUUGAAUAUAUCAUUUAUUGAAUAUAUGUAUACCUCCAACUUCAAAAUUGUUUGAGUUACUAAAACAUAAUUACAAAGUCAUAGUUAAGCUAUUCGUACUUAAGAUUUGUUUAUUUAAAAAAAACAAUUAAAAAUAGACAAAAAAAAUCAUCUCCUAGCAUUAUUUAUUUGAGAAAUAGAUGAAAAAUAAUUUUAAAAUACUAAAUGUAACAAAGAAAAAAAUGUAGAGAAUAGAAAUUUUAAAUCAACACCCACUGAAUCAAUAUCCUAAUUUCCUUAUACUUAACCACAAAAUGACUUUCUUAUGAUAAAUUAUUAAUAAAAUAAAUUUGUAAUGUAUCUGGUAAGUAAAAAAAUUAGAAUAUGAAAAUUGAUUGUGAAUUACAACCUAACAUUAGAGCCCUUUCAGAGAAAAAGCAACAUGUUUCAUAUUUUCUUUAUUUCUCAAUGCGUACCUAAAAAUAUUAUAUCUUAAAACUUUUACAGGUUUUUUUGAGUUUUAGUUUUACAAAUUUUCUACUUUACACAAAUUAUUCAUAUUUUAUUAUUUUAAAUUAUCACCGUAUUUUUCUUAACUUUUGUAUUUUAACUCAUUUUAAAGUUUACAAUACUUUAUAAAAUAUGUUAUAAUAUAAAAAUGUUUUACAAGUUUUUUAAAGUUUAAGUUUUUUUGUUUAUUUUGUUUUUCAAAAAGAUAGUCUUAUUUCUUUAUCCUUGACUAUAUGUUUAAAAUUAAAAAAUGAAUUAAAUUUUGUAUUUGAUAAUUAAUCUUUCUAAUAUGUUAUUUUUAGAUAUUAAAUUCUAAAUUCAUAACGAUACCUAUGUUAUAUGUUAUUUUAUCUAUGUUUAGAGAUUCAACCUUGACUUAAAAUAAGACUAAAUUAUAUUUUUAAUAUAUAUAAAAUGAGAGUGUAAAUUUUAUCUUACAGAUUUGUUUGUGAUAUUAAAUUUUAUCUUCCUUUUUAAAAUGAUAAAGUACAUAAAAAAAUAUAUCUUAUUAGAUUUGAUGAAACUAUUAUAUCAUUUAUUAUUUAACUUCUAUUACAUCACUCAUAAAAAAUUUAUUCUUGAAAAAUUUAUUCUCACGUUCAAGUUGAUCAAUCCUGGAUACGAGAGAUUGUGAUGAAGAUUUCACCUUAAUUAAGGAUAACAAAAUAUUGGAUGAUGUUAUAAGUAUUAAGUAACAUGUUAUUUAUAAAAAGUGAUCAUAUUAUAAUUAUCACUACAAGAAAAUCAUCAAAUAGAAACCAAUUUUUAGAAACCAAAAUAAUUAGUUGCAAUAGUAACUAAAUUAGAAACCAUAUUUUAGAAACUAAAACAAAAAUUGGUUUCUAAAUUAGUUUAUAUUAUUUUCUAUUAUUGUUAAAUAGUUUCUAAAUUGGUCUUUAAUUAGCAACCAAGGUUUUAGAGACUAAAUAUCUAAUUAGCAACCAAUGUUUUAUCUACACGCCGGUCGACGCAAAGAUGUNNNNNNNNNNNNNNNNNNNNNNNNNNNNNNNNNNNNNNNNNNNNNNNNNNNNNNNNNNNNNNNNNNNNNNNNNNNNNNNNNNNNNNNNNNNNNNNNNNNNGGGUUUUAGAGACUAAAUAUCUAAUUAGCAACCAAUGUUUUAUCUACCAAUUAUUUAGUUUCUAAAUUUAGUCUCUAAAACCUUGGUUGCUAAUUAAAGACCAAUUUAGAAACUAUUUAACAAUAAUAGAAAAUAAUAUAAACUAAUUUAGAAACCAAUUUUUGUUUUAGUUUCUAAAAUGGUCUCUAAUUUAGUUACUAUUGCAACUAAUUAUUUUGGUCUCUAAAAAUUGGUUUCUAUGUCGUGAUUUUCUUGUAGUGUAUCAUGCAACUUAAUUCUAAAAGUAUUAAGCAUCAUGUUAAAAAAACAUCAAUAUCUUAAAAAUUAUAUCAAUAAAUAAAUAAAUAUGUUAGAUGUUAUAUAUAAAUCUUAAUAUACGGACUAAUUCAAUCACAAUUAAUUUUAAUGAUCACUACACGAAAAAUUCAAUUUAUGUACGGAAAAAAUCCGUAGGUAACAGAACCCUGGUAAAACUUGAAGCCAAGUUCCUUGAACAAGGUCCAUAAAAGCUUUAAUCAUUACACCACUCAAGUUUUAUUGUCAUGUUAAGAUUAUUAUUACUUAUGAGUAUAAUUAUCAAUAUUAAUAUUAUUAAUAUUAUUAAAUAUUAUUAAUUUUAUUAAAUAUUAUUAUUACUAAUAUUAAUAAUUUUGUUAUAUUAUUAAUAUCAUUAAUAUUAUUAUUAUUAUUAAUAUUAUUCAUAUUAUUAAUAUAAUACUAAUUAUAUUAUUUAAAUUAUUAUAUUAAUAUUAUUAAUUUUAUAAUAUUAAUAAUAUGUACACUUAUUAGUUAUGGUUAUUAUUAUUUAUGAAUAUUAAUUAUGAUUUUAUAAUUCUUCAUAUUAUAAUAAUAUUUUUAAUAUUAUAUAUAUAAUUAUUAUGAUAAUAGUUUGUAGAUAAUAGAAAUUCGUGGGUGAUAGUUCGUAAGUAAUAUUGAUUCGUGGGUAAUAGUUGGUAACAGAGAUCCGUAGGUAAAAGUUGGUAGGUAAUAAGAUUUGUGGGUAAUAGUUGGUUGGUAAUGUUGAAUUUACCUACGAAUUCAGAAUUUGUGGGUAAUGUCUUGAAUUUACCUACGGACUCAGAUUCGUGGAUUAAAAUUUGUAGAUAAUAUUAAUUUUUUUUUGUAAUGAUGUUUGUAUCAGUUCAAGUUUCAAAAUUUCUAAUAAUUUACUAUCUCGAGAUGGUUUUAACCAAUAACUAAUUUUAAAUAUAGUGAUUGCUUCUUCACGGUAUAUUUUAUUUUGAAGCUUACCAAAGUAGGAUGAAAAAUAUAUAAAUGUAUUAAAAAAUAUAUUAACAUCUUCAAAAAAAAUUCCAUCACCUUAAUGAUGAAAUCCCUUCUUGUUGUAGCUCAAGAAUAAGUUGUCAUUAAGGAAAUCCAUAACCCAUUAGUAAAUUAAUCUUUGAAACAAUGCAACAUUCUAUCCUUUUCUUUUAUCUUUUAGAUAUGUCAAUCAAAGUUACAAAUUUGUUGAACCUAAAGUUAUUCAUUUAGGAGGGAGAAACACCAAUCCAAUAUGAAGCUAAAUUGUCUUAUUAAAAAUACAUGAACUAGGUUAUAACCUCUAAAUGAUAUAAUGUGUUUCUGCUUGUAUUGUUCCAGCAUUGUCUUCUUCCACUGAACGAGACUACUGCCGAGUUCUUGGUGUGUUCUUGGUGUUCCUGAAUAUGCCAGUUAGGACGAGAUGAAGAAGACAUUUCUUGUUUUGUAUGGCUUAGACAAAUAUUGAUUGAUGAAAUCUAUGCAUGUUAGGCUAGGUAAAGCGAAGGUGAAGUCUAUUGGAAGAUUGUCAUGUGUUUUUUGGGCAAUGAGAGGAUGAUUCAAUUUCAUUUAGAACACUUUUUGUCGGAGAGAUGAAAUUUCAUUUCAAUUGCUUUGUACUUGGUAACAUCAAUGUCAAAUUACUCUAUUCUCGAUCAGAGGAAUAUUUUAUUUCGAUUACUUUGUACUUGUUAGGAGUGACAACAAUGGCAAAUUAGAUGAUCUAUUAUCAGUCACGACAAUAAUUUAAUGUUACCGAACCAGGUUUAGCUAUAAGGAUAGGGAAAUCUUAUAAUUAAUAAGGUUUAACCGUUCAUAUGCUUGUUAACCUAUAAAAAACAUGUAUGGAGGAAUAUUUUUUUUGUUUGAGAACUCGUGAAGGCAAGACGGGGACUUUCUUAUAAGGAUAGGUUUCCAUUAAGACUCAUCUUUGAGUUCAUGUUUAAUUUGGUCCUCGAUGUGCGUUCAAGAGACAAAAACUAUUUUUAAAUGAUAUUUUCUGUGGACAUUAUAGUUUUGAUGGAGGAAACAAGGUAGAUGUUAACUAUAAAUUUGGGUUUUGGAGAUUGGCAUCAAAACCAAAGGUUUUUCCUUGAGAAGGGGUACUACGCAUGCAAUAUAUGCAAUUUUUUAGCAAAAAAACAAUAGAAAAAUUACUUGAAAGUAGAAAUUGGAAAUGUCUAACAUAUUACAGAAUUUUUAGGAAAUUAAUGAAGAUGUCAUCAAAGGAGAAAACAUUGAGAGUUGUAUGAGAGCACAAAUCUCCUACCAAGCUAAAAGAGAAGUUUUUUCGUAUUGCAGUAUGAUAGUAGGAUUAAUUAUACUCUAUUGUGAAUCUUGAGCUUUUAAGAAAUAGUGAGAGAGAGAAAUUAGAGAAGAAAAAAUGAGUUUGUUAAGAUGAAUGUGUUGUUGUAAAAAAAAGGACAUAAUAGAGGAUGAUUGGUUAAGAAAAGAUAUUGGUGGUAACUUAAGUGUGACAAUGAUUGAGGAAAAGAUAAUAUAAAAUCAGUUUUUAUGGUUUCGAUAUGUGCAAAGGCAGCCACUGGUGUGAGGAGAGUGGAUCUCAUGGUUUUUACUUUGAAAAGAAGGGACAUAGGGAGGCUAGAAUUGCAUUGUAGGAAAUUAUUAAAAGGGAUCUCAUGCUGAAUAAUGUUCCUAAGAAUUUGCAUUUCAACUGAGCCUAAUUAUAUUGUGUUAACCAUGUAGCUGAACUCUUGUGAAAUAAAGCUAAUUUUGCUGAGCACUACAUUUUCUCUAGUUCUUACUUCAUUUUUAUCUAAUUUAGGAGAGGAAAAAUUUCAUACCAAGCACAGGUUAGUUCAGACUUAUCAGUCUUCUAUAGGUGCAGCUAAAAAGAUAUCUAUAACACAUAACAUUAUAAUAAAUUGUGGUCCACAGUGAGACUGAUCAAAUCAUUUCUUUUCCUGCCUACAAUCAUGUCAAGAGUAAUUGUUAAUGGUCCAAGUCAUUCAUUGUUCUACCAAAGUCAUUUAGAAAAUAGAGAUUCUUCUAUGUAAACAACACACUAGCUCUUAGUUUUUAAUAGAACACUAAGCAACCAUUUAGGAACAUACGCCAAUAACAUAAAUAAAUCCAGCUUAGUAUGUAAAUUUUAAACACAAUGGAGAUCUAAUAACUUCUCUGCACAAAACCAAACAGUACAAGGUAGGGAUUCCUUUCGAUUCCAAAAUACAUACAAGUCUCUUGAGAUAACAUCACUAGCGUCUAUCACUGCAUCUGAUGUAUUGUCCAUUCUAAAAUUCGGAGUUUCAUUUCGGUUUUGUCUUUAAAAGAAUUUUCGGUUUUGUUCUUACAUCACAAUCAAAUGCAUGUAUCUGAUGGUUUGAAUAUAGUACAUUGUAUCUAAGAAACGAAUAUAUGGUACUAAACAAUUAAUUCAACAAAAAAGUGACAAACUUUCAAUUUGGCAUUACAUAAGUGUAUGAACCCUCUAAGUAAUUCAACCUCAAAAAUCAAAUAGAUCAGACAUAUAUAAGAGAAGCAUCAAGGUAGCCAAAAAGCAUUUGUUUACUGUAUCAAUAAUUUUUGAAGGACUAAUGUUUAUGCGUGGCAGCAGUGAAGUUUAUACAUGGAAUCCUCGGAAGCAAAUUUGCCACUUUUCUCUACUUUUCUUAGUAGCAACCAUGGCAAAUUAAAAGGGUUCUGACUACUGCUUAGGCUUUUUUUUUUUGUGGAAAAUUCUGCAGCAACCAUGGCAAAUCAAAAUCUAUGGGUUGGUUUUGUUAUGUCUUCUUUUCAUGUGAUUGCCGAUUCUUAUAUAAGGAUUGAGAUCCUGAAGUAUUCCUCUUAAUUUUAUUUUAUUUUUUAUUGAUAAAAACAAAUAAUUUUUUAAAAUUUCAUUUAACAUGUACUUCACAUUCGCCAUUACACUAGGAACAUAGUCCAAAAAAGAAAUCACAAACACUCUCACCGUUCCCUUGGCAAAGCAUGGUGUAGGCAUGCAUUGAUAGGAAAGAGUUAUAAUAUUCUUUUAUUUAUUUUGUUGGAAAAAGUAGUAUUCAUUGUAUGUUAGUUUUUCUUGGUAGUUUUAGUCUUAUAGCCCCAGCAUAACUUUCAAACAUGUAUAGUUGUAUAAUAUUUUAAUUUUACUUUUUAAAGACUUAUUUGGCAAUGGAAGCUGGUUACACAGAGAAAGUCGAUGAACCAUGUCAAUGGUACUCCCUAGACAGGUUUCUGGACAUCGAAGGUAAGUAUAUAAUGAACAUGUAAAUACCAGUACACAUUCUUUGACUAAGAAUAAUCAACCUGUCUCAAAUGCUAUAGAAAAACUAAGAUAAGCUAAGUUCACCUAUUAAAUGGCUAUAGUGGGACCACCAAUUGAAGAAGCAAUGUUGCUAUAGUUCUUGUUUCUUCUCUCAGGGUAGAUCCUUUUAAGGCAUGCUUUCUUGUGACAAUGAAAACAUUAAAACUUGAUUUGAGAUUGAUUUAAGGAUUUAGAUUUAUGCUUGUUUAGUUUGGAAUUUCUUUUCUCUGAUCUGCCCCACAUAAUAUUCAAAUAUUCUGCAUUAUUUUUAGUUUUCAUCUCUUCCGCUUUUGAGAUUUCUUUAUUUGAAUUGAGCACUGCACAUGAAAAGUGAUUGUUUGAUCUCUUCCAAACGAAAUAACAUCCUAGAAGUGCUCAUAUGAAUUUGGUAGAGUAUUAAAAAGAAUACGAGCCUUAUCUUCAUUCUAGAGUUUCAUUUCAAGAUUAGGCACUGAAAAAUGAAAAAGGACAGUGGCAGAAGAAAGACAUAAGUGCAUCUUUACAGGGUUUUAAAACAACAAACUACCACCGAAACCAUUUAUUAAAUUGCAAAUAUCUUCUGCUACUUGUAGCACCGUGACCAUACAAAACUUAGUAACUAACCAUUUCUUAUCAAUAUGCUGUUUCUUAAAUGAUAUCUUGCAGCCUAAUAGAUAUAUCCUUGCAGAAAUGCAAACACAAAGAAUUGAAUCUAAACUUUAAGCCAACACAGUUAUUUUGAAUCAAAUUCAUGAGUGUCUACACUGGUGUUAGUAAGCAAUUUUUUCAAAAUCAAUUUUUAUAAUGUUAAAUAAACAAUUCAAAAUAAAAUUUUGUACAUGUUAAGCAAACAAUCACAAAUCUCUCUUACCACUUACACUUUCAAAACAGUUCAGUCAACAAUAUUUGAUCCUAAACAAAUUCAAAACCAAAUACUAUACCAAUUUGAGGCACAUGGAACACUAUAUAGCAGAUAACAAUUUGAAAUCACUUUGGAAAGUACCAUCACUGACUACAUGGAGAACAAAAGCAAAGAAAUAUUAAAAGAAUGAUGCAUGCAUGAGGAUUGAUCUUCUUAGAAUCACUGUUAAGCUUAUUCAUAGCAUCAUGCAUGUAAUCCAGAUCAGCCACAACAAAGACUUCAGCAUAAUCCUGAGAUGAGGAGAAAAAAACAUUAGAAAUGAUUUUAUAUCAGGCAUUAUAUCUCCUAGAAAUUGCACAUAAAAAAAACGGAUUUCCUUUUACUACUUUAUCUGGACAAAAACAUUACUGACUAAGCUGAAUCAUAAGAUACAUUGUAUGAAAUGAGAAGACAUCAAACAUAAAGUGGGGAUACAGAAACCUUAUUUUAUUAUUCAAUAUAUACACUACGCAAAAGGCUACCCAAUUUUUGAAGGACAGAGUGACACACUAGGGAGAGAAGUAAACAAAACACUCUUGAAUUUACCACAAAAAGUUUUAGGAUGACGUGAAUCGAGUGGUCUAAUUUAUCAAGAGUUUCUUUAUAGACAUUCGGAAUUCGCGUAUCAUAAACUGAUUGUUUUAGACACAAACAUGUAGGAAUAGGCAUUUGACUACAUUUCAAUCAUACUAUAUCAACACAAAUCUUAAGUACACAACCGUAAGUCAAUGAGCCAAAAACUAAUAGACGAUUAUAGGUGUAAAACUCGUAUCAAUAUGAAAAUUCAAUAGUUUCUUAAUAGGGAAUAUAUGAUAGUACACUACCUUGAGCUAAGAGAGUUGAUUCGAUAAAAAACUACUAAUGUAUUAAUCAUUGUACACAGUCACUCAGUCUGAAGUCGAUGCAAUGAAGAGAUUGAUCAUAUUUUUAAGAAGUAGAAUCUAGAGAUGGAGUGCAUGUGAUGCAAUCACAAACAAUGAAAGAUGCAGGUGUGAGAAUAGAAAAGGAGUUCUGGCCACUUGGACAUGACUCACUCAUACUCAACCAUAUAGUCAAACAAACUAAAUUUACCCAUGCUUUCCCCGUUUCCCUCUUGUACAGCUUCUUCAGACAUUGAAAGCUACUUGGUAGUGAUCUCAAUUCCUCACAUUCCAAUAUCUUUAGUUCCUAUAGUGCACCCACCCUACUAAUUAAGUUGCUCCGGCAGUACCUUCAGAUUUUUCAUGGAUGCAAUUACCAACUUCUUUAGACAACCCAUAUUCUCCCCAACCCUUUCCAUGAAACAAGUCGUUGCCUCACCUAUGAUGGUGAACAUAAUAAUAACAAUGAUAAUAAUAAUAAUAAGAUUUUUUUUUUUAUCAGCAAUAAAUAGAUAAAAUUAAGAGGGAUACUUCAGGGUAUCCCAACCCGUAUACAUCAACCACAUAGUUACACUCCCCUUUAUGGCUUAGGGGAGACAACCGUUGUGUGGCAAAACCUGCUUAAAAAACUGUAAUCACAGAACAACAAACCAAUUUGCAUCAUCAUGACAGAGGACCUACACGGUUAUGACAGCAACCUAAAUAAUUGCUACACAAAAGCAGCAGUACAUUAUACACCUUGGCAUCCAAACACCGCUACACCACCUUGGCCUCACCUACACCCUUACCUACAUCCACACCUAUACUUCCUACCUUUCACCUUUAUCCCAUUACCCUUCACAAAAAGACCUCCACGCCUCACUUUAUCAACUAAUAUACUUGUCAACAAAGAGAGCACCAAAGAAUGACCAGCAAAGGACCACUAAACAACAUAGAGUCUUCCACUUAUAACUCCAGCUCUAAGUAACCUCUCUAUCCAUCUCCAACCAGCAGCCACACAAGCCCUUAUGUUCAUAGCCAUCCACUUCAAACCAGCCAAGAGCAUGAUGUAGCACUAGGUUAAACGCCACACUUCCACACUAAUAGCAGGACCGUGUCUUGCACUCACUGCACGACAGCAUCGCUCUACUGCUUCAAACUGUUUUUGUACAUCCUGCUAGAAGUCUUACUUCCAAUCUGUUUUUGUACACCCUACUAAAAGCCUUACUUCAGCUGCUGCCACACCUGGUGUGCGUGACACGACUCCAGCAGCAGCUGCCACCUCCACAACACUUUCAUCGACCAUAUCUGAACAUCUCCAGCUAGAGCUGACUGGGUCUAAGAAUAAGCAGCUACUACCCUGGACUACACUGCAGCAUUGUACAUCUUCUUUGACUGCUGGGGCACCACAACCAUACCAACAUACUUGCUUUCCUUACCUAGAUGCUCUCCAUUUCCAGCAAGCAACAUGUUCCUGCAUUCACCACAAUAAAAACCACCCCGAAACGGGUUACAACACUACAUAUUCCCGCUGUCCAGACAUACUCUCUCAUACCCCCAAGGAACUCAAUCCUGCUCCAUAACAGGGUCCUACCAAACCAAAUACUUCACAUGGAGAGCCUAACAGUCUAGGUUUUCCAAAUCCAUCACCUCUGAACAGAACAAGAAAAAAGAGUGCGUCCUCCUUCCAAUUAGCAGCUUUUAAUGCAGAUUGUUGGAUUGAGAACCCAAUCAACAAAGGAAUAAGAAAACGAAUGCGCUUUAUGCUUCAUCCACAGCCAAGACUUGAGUUGAGCCCUCUGAAAAAUCUCCUCUGCAUCUACUACCCCUUGCUGGAAGGUAAUCAGGUUCCUUUGAUCCCAGAUGCAUCUAAUGAUGUUUGCCCAUACCCCUUUCCAGAUUUUAUUUUGCUUGUUGCUAUCUUGAAACAAGUGGAAACUUUGGAAAUGCAGCCUUAAAUCAUUAUGCUGGACGAAGGAGACCAGACCCGUUGGGCAUGAUGACACUCCAAAAAGAGAUGUUGACAAGUCUCCUCCUCUAACUGACACAAAGGGCACACCGUUGAGUUCAACAUCACCCCUCUCCUACUCAAACUCGCUCUUGUAGGAAGUUUACCCAUCAAAACCCUCCAGGCUGUCACUACCACGUUUGGGAACGCCUUCACCUUCCACAAGAGCUUAUACACUUCACUUUGGUUGCCUCUAUCAUGCUUAGCUAAACACUCAUAAGCAGAGUUCACCGAAAACAACCCCGGUACCUCCUUCCCCCACACUUGGAUGUCCUGGNNNNNNNNNNNNNNNNNNNNNNNNNNNNNNNNNNNNNNNNNNNNNNNNNNNNNNNNNNNNNNNNNNNNNNNNNNNNNNNNNNNNNNNNNNNNNNNNNNNNNNNNNNNNNNNNNNNNNNNNNNNNNNNNNNNNNNNNNNNNNNNNNNNNNNNNNNNNNNNNNNNNNNNNNNNNNNNNNNNNNNNNNNNNNNNNNNNNNNNNNNNNNNNNNNNNNNNNNNNNNNNNNNNNNNNNNNNNNNNNNNNNNNNNNNNNNNNNNNNNNNNNNNNNNNNNNNNNNNNNNNNNNNNNNNNNNNNNNNNNNNNNNNNNNNNNNNNNNNNNNNNNNNNNNNNNNNNNNNNNNNNNNNNNNNNNNNNNNNNNNNNNNNNNNNNNNNNNNNNNNNNNNNNNNNNNNNNNNNNNNNNNNNNNNNNNNNNNNNNNNNNNNNNNNNNNNNNNNNNNNNNNNNNNNNNNNNNNNNNNNNNNNNNNNNNNNNNNNNNNNNNNNNNNNNNNNNNNNNNNNNNNNNNNNNNNNNNNNNNNNNNNNNNNNNNNNNNNNNNNNNNNNNNNNNNNNNNNNNNNNNNNNNNNNNNNNNNNNNNNNNNNNNNNNNNNNNNNNNNNNNNNNNNNNNNNNNNNNNNNNNNNNNNNNNNNNNNNNNNNNNNNNNNNNNNAGGUAUUGUUCCAUUGGAAAUUUGUCUGGACGAGCACCUGUGAGUCCCGUAUCCUGCAAAAUAUCAAGCGCAUAUUUUAUCUGGGACAAGUAAAUACCAGCUUUGGAACGGGAAAAUUCAAUCCCUAGAAAAUAUUUUAGGUCUCCAAGAUCUUUAAUGCGAAAUUGUUGUAAUAAACAAUCUUUAACACGCUGAAUUUCUGUCAAAUCAUUUCCUGUCAGAAGAAUAUCAUCCACAUAAAUCAAAAGGGUAGUAAAUGAUGAGUUAUUUUGUCUUGUGAAUAGAGAGUAAUCUGCAUUGGACUGUUGAAAUCCUACAGAUUUAAUCACAUGAGAAAAUGUUGAAAACCAUGUUCGAGAUGCUUGUUUGAGACCAUAAAGGGAUUUGUUGAGUCGACAUACAAUGUUCUCCCCCUGUCGAUGAUGUCCGGGUGGCAAGUCCAUGUAAAUAAUUUCAUGCAAUGUGCCAUGUAAGAAGGCAUUUUGCACAUCUAGCUGGUGAGUAAACCAAUUUCUGGUUGCUGCAAUGGUGAGGAGUCACCUCAAAUUUGUUAAUUUUGCUGUUGGUGAAAAAGUUUCAGAAUAGUCGACACCUUCAAUCUGAGUGUACCCCUUUGCGACAAGGCGCGCCUUAUAUCUGUCGACGCUACCAUCUGAGUUGUACUUUAUUUUAUAGACCCAUUUGCAUCUGAUGGGUUUCUGUCCAGCAGGUAAUGAUGUCAAGGUCCACGUUUGAUUUAGCUGCAAGGCGGAAAGCUCUUCGUCCAUUUCUUUUUUGCCAAUUUGGAUCAAGGAUAGCUUGAGCAUAAGUGUGAGGUUCUUUGGUGNNNNNNNNNNNNNNNNNNNNNNNNNNNNNNNNNNNNNNNNNNNNNNNNNNNNNNNNNNNNNNNNNNNNNNNNNNNNNNNNNNNNNNNNNNNNNNNNNNNNAAAGAAAAUGAUGCAUAGGAUACCUGGUUCCAUUCGAUCGGUCUUGGGCAGUGGUCGAAUGAUUGGCUUGGGAUCCCGUUACGUAGUCUUGAGCCAGGAAGGUUGGGUUGAUGUGCGACUGGAUCGUCGAACUUGAAGGUCGGUUGGAGAAGGUUUGGUAAUGGGUGCUAAACUUCUUGGCAUGGGAGAAGAAGGUUGGUCUACUGGAGGUUCAGGUGUAUUAUGACGAGUAGGAGAAGAAGGUUGGUUUGAUGGAGGUUCAGGUGCAUUGUGACGAGUAGGAGAAGAGAGUUGGUUUGAUGGAGGUUCAAGUGUAUUGUGACGAGUAGGAGAAAAAGGUUGGUUUGAUGGAGGUUCAGGUGCAUUGUGAUGAGUAAGAGAAGAAGGUUGAUCGAGUGAAUGUUGGACAGGAGUGGGUAAGUCAAUGUCAAUAGUGGGCAAAAUACCUUGUAGUGGAGGUGAGGAUUGUGUCUGUGACUGUUGGCAGAAUGGGAAAACACUUUCAUGGAAGAUGACAUCCCGACUUGUAAAAAAAGUGUCUGCAUCUAUAUCAAAUAAUUUGUAUGCUUUUUUACUGUGAGGAUAACCAAUGAAGAUGCAUUGUCGGGCACGCGGAUCAAAUUUUUGCUUAGGUGAAACAACAGUUGCGUAACAGAGGCAACCUAAAGUUUUUAGGUGAGAAAGUGAAGGUGGUUGAUUAUAUAGUAGCUCAGAAGGUGAUUUAUUUUUUAGUAAAGGUGAUGACAAGCGAUUAAUAAUAUAUGUGGCGGUUAAAACGCAUUCUCCCCAAAAUUCUAAUGGUAAAUUGGACUGAAAUAGGAGGGCUCGUGCUGUGUUUAAAACACGUCUAUGUUUGCGUUCUACUACCCCAUUUUGUUGAGGAGUGUAAACGCAAGUGCGUUGACAUUCAAUACCUUUUUGAGAAAAAAAUCAUACAUUGAAAUAAAUUCCAGUCCGUUGUCAACGCGGAUGGUUUUAAUAGAUGCCUGAAAUUGAUUUUGUGCAAAUGUAAUGAAUGACUCUAAGAGAUGUUGGGUUUCAGAUUUUUGAUUCAUAAGAAAUAGCCAAGUACAUCUAGUAUAGUCAUCUAUUAUAGUGAGAAAAAAACGUUUUCCAAAAUGAGUUGGGGUUUUAUUAGGACCUCAAAGAUCACAAUGCAAUAGAUUAAAUGGAGAAUGAGAUUUUAUUGUGCUUAAAGGAAAGGGUAGCCUUGUCUGUUUAGCUUUGGGACAAAUACUACAAUGAUUAUGAAUGGGAAUAAGAUUUUUACUGAUAGGGAUAGGUAGUAGGGAAGAUACAAGUUGUAGACACGCUGGAGAAGGAUGUCCAAGGCGCUUAUGCCAUAAAUCAGGAUCGGUCGAUAUUUGAGAUGCGUGGGCUUGGUUUGGAAGAGGGGACAUGUAGUAUAAGCCUGCGUGUUGUUUACCCGAGCCAAUCAUCCUCCCCGUAGCCAAGUCCUGUAAAACACAACCAUGUGGAGUAAAAACGACACAACAAUUUAGUGAACUGGUUAUCUUGUGAUGGGUUGCUCCGCUAUCCAAAAUCCAUGGUUUUGUAAAAGCAGAAUUAGAAGAGGAGUUAUGGGCAAGCAGACCUGCAGAGCUAACAAACGUGGAGAGACUGUCAGGGCACCAAGAUCGGUGCUCUGAUACCAUGUUAAGAAGUGGGCUUUAAGCCUAACUCAACCCCAUAAAACCGGCUCAUAGGGGUGAGGUUUGCACCCAUUUAUAUAUUAUGAAAUGUCCUUAUCUCUAGUCGAUGUGGGAUUUCCAACACACCCCUCACGCCGAGGCUACCAACUCAUGCGUGGAGAUAUAUGUUAUGGGUGGUCCGAUAACGGCCCGAUAGCGGGUGGACUGAUAAACCCAACAAAUAUUCGCUAGGAUAGGCUCGAAAUGGAUCUGAUACCAUAUAAAAAAAUGAUAAAAAAUGGUAAGAAGAAAAGACGUUUCUUAUUCUCUUAUGUGUAUAUUACAUCACUCAUGUAUAGGAAAUAUAUAGGAGUUUCUCUCUCCCAAAUUACAAUCUAAUUAGGUAGGAUACUAAUCAUGAGAUUCUAUAAUUAUUAAAUUAAUUGCAUAUAAUUGGGUACAAUAUCGUCAAAUAUUGCAUACAAUAAUUGCAUAUAAUUUUAUAAUUAUUAUUUCCUUAAUAGAGAGCUUGAUUAAACAAGCGUAUAUCCUUACACCCGAACCCUCCCUCCUCUUUUGGUCUGCAUACGUCUUUCCAACUAGCCCAAGCAAUUGGCUUAAACAGUUUCCCCCAACCCCACAAGAAUCUUGUUUGAAUGCUUAUAAUCCUUUUACACACCGAAACCGGUGCUCUGAACAAGGAGAGGUAGUACAAUGGGACGGCAGUUAGAACAGAGUUAAUUAGACAAAUCCUCCCUGCCAAGGAUAAGAACCUCCCCUUCCAAGCACUGAGCCUUGCUUUAAGCUUGUUUAGAACUGGUUCCCAGAACUGCUUCUUCCUUGGGUUCCCUCCCACCUCCAGUCCCAAGUACUUGAAGGGUACCUCCAUCUGAANNNNNNNNNNNNNNNNNNNNNNNNNNNNNNNNNNNNNNNNNNNNNNNNNNNNNNNNNNNNNNNNNNNNNNNNNNNNNNNNNNNNNNNNNNNNNNNNNNNNNNNNNNNNNNNNNNNNNNNNNNNNNNNNNNNNNNNNNNNNNNNNNNNNNNNNNNNNNNNNNNNNNNNNNNNNNNNNNNNNNNNNNNNNNNNNNNNNNNNNNNNNNNNNNNNNNNNNNNNNNNNNNNNNNNNNNNNNNNNNNNNNNNNNNNNNNNNNNNNNNNNNNNNNNNNNNNNNNNNNNNNNNNNNNNNNNNNNNNNNNNNNNNNNNNNNNNNNNNNNNNNNNNNNNNNNNNNNNNNNNNNNNNNNNNNNNNNNNNNNNNNNNNNNNNNNNNNNNNNNNNNNNNNNNNNNNNNNNNNNNNNNNNNNNNNNNNNNNNNNNNNNNNNNNNNNNNNNNNNNNNNNNNNNNNNNNNNNNNNNNNNNNNNNNNNNNNNNNNNNNNNNNNNNNNNNNNNNNNNNNNNNNNNNNNNNNNNNNNNNNNNNNNNNNNNNNNNNNNNNNNNNNNNNNNNNNNNNNNNNNNNNNNNNNNNNNNNNNNNNNNNNNNNNNNNNNNNNNNNNNNNNNNNNNNNNNNNNNNNNNNNNNNNNNNNNNNNNNNNUUCUACCUGACAACCCAUUUCCGGUAUUUCGGUUUCUAACCGCCUGGUGGGUUCGGUCUAUAUUGCUCAAGCUUAGAGGGGUCCCUCACCUUCGGGAUUAGCGCAAUAAACGAAGCGUUACAGCCCUUCGGGAUGUUCCCAGUCGCAUGAAACAAAACCAUUGCUUCCAUUAACUCCUCUUUAAUUAGGUCCCAGCUUUUCCUGAUAAAGUUGAAAUUGAAUCCAUCUGGACCAGGACUCUUAGAACCUUCGCAUUGCCACACAGCGUCCUUAAUCUCUUUCUCAGUGAAACCAGCCACCAGCCCCUCAUUAUCCAUUGUGGUUAGGGUCUUAAACUCUACCUCAUCCAACCUUACCCCUAAAUCUUUCGUAGCAUUGAACCUAGCUUCAAACAACUUCUUUGCCUCUAAUCGAACAGUGCCUGGUUCCUCACACCACCGGUCCCCCACCUGAACACCCUUCACUUCAUUCCUGAGUCUUCUCCAUCUCAAAGAUGAAUGAAAGAACCUAGUACACGCGUCCCCAAUCUUAAACCAACUUGCUCUAGCCUUUUGGCAUAUGAGAGAUUCAAGUUUCUUAUCGUUUUCUACCAAACGGCUAGUCAGCUCCAUUCUGGUUAACCUUUCACUUUCCUCAAGGUCCCCAUUACAAUCUCUGUUGUCAAGAUCCUCCAAUUCCUGUAGGAUCCUUCUCUUUGUGGUAUGAAGGUUGCCAAACACCUCCCUGUUCCACACUUUCAGAUCUGACUUGAGAAGUUUCAUUUUCUCUUUCAGUUUUGCUAUUCCGUUCCCCUGGACUGAGAAAGACUUCCAUUUAUCCUUAACCAUGAUGUUGAACCCCUUCUCCUGGAACCAAGCAUCAAUCGAUCUAAAGGGUUUGGGUCCCCAAUCCUUCUCCACGGAUUUAAUCACCAGUGCGCAGUGAUCAGAAACCUCCCUUCGAAGAACAUACUGUUUGCACAUAGGCCACUUCUGCAACCAUUCUUCCGUGACUAACGCUCUAUCAAUUCUGCUCUUAGCUGUUCCAUCAGGUUUAAACCACGUAAACUUCUUACCAACCAAAGGCAGGUCAAACAAGGAAUUGGAUUCAAUGAAAUUGUUGAAGCCAGAUAUCUCUCUUGACUGAUCUCUCUUAUCCCUGAUACCUUUCCUUUCACUUCUACUUCUCACAGCAUUAAAGUCACCAUAAAAGAACCCGACUGAAUCUUGUGAAGCCAGUUUGACAUUGGAGAGCUCCUCCCAUAGGGUCUUCUUUGCAUUCAAUGCACAGGGGGAGUAAACAUUGGCCACAACACACCUAGAAGACGAUUUUAGAUGUAGACCGAUGACCACAAUAAAACCUUUCCCCAUCAGGUGAUUUUCAUAGCUAAAGACUUCUUUAUGCCACAAGGACAACAAGCUUCCACUCCCCUCUUCUCCUUUAUUGUGAAUCCAACCUACUUUAUUAUCACCCCACCAAGAGAAGCACCUAGCAUCCGAGAUUUAUAAUAAUAAUAAUAAUAAGAUGGUGGUGUAGUAACUAGAGGUAAGAUAGUGGAUUGGAAUUAAUGGACCAAACUCACAAGAAAAAAUAGAUUAAUUUAUUUACUCGUCCACUUUAAAAAAUUAUUAUGAAACUUUAAAUUUUAAGUUUCUAAUAUGUAAUUUGUUAAAUUUAAGUUAAACAUUUUCAUUUUAAUUAUGAUUAGUAUGAAGAAAUAUUAGUUUGUAAUUAUAUUUAUACAACUUUUUUUUUCUUAGGACCUCUUUUCAUGCAUAUUUGUUUGUGCAUAUGUCUAUUUAGCAACCUAUUGCAUGUGAUAAGUGUUCCAACUUAUCAAAGUAUUCAUUUUCUUGUAUCAUGUGUCUAGCAGGAAAACAUAAUCAAAUAAGAUUUUUCACACCCAAAUUUACAUUGUGUUUGUGUUCGAGGAGUAGUGUUUUUGCGAAAAGAGAGGUAAGUUACUCUCAUGUUUGUAUGAGCGAUUGUGCGAAGAAAAGGAGACACAAAUUUGAGAGUGAAUACAUUUGGUUUUCCUUACAUUGUGUGAAGAAAGUUGUGCAAAGACAUCUUGAGGAGAUGACAUUAGAAAUAUACCUUUGCCAUAAUAACCCCUUCUUGUUGUAUUGAUGUAAAUAUCAACAAGUAAACUCAAACACUUUUAUUUUCAUACAUGUUUUUACUUUGCAUCAUCUAUGGUUGCAAUGUGUAAAUCAUUUAACAUUGUAUGAUUGAUAAUGGUAAUAUGGUAGCAAUUUUUUUAUUUCAACAUUGUAUGGUUGAUAGUGGUAACAUUGACACAUUUAGUUUAGCAUACAUAGUUUAGCGUACAUGUGACUUAUGAUUGAUUAUGAAUUUUUUAUUUAUUUAUUUCAGUUCUUUGCAUGACAAUUUUCUUGGCUGGAAAAUGAUUGCAGUGAAAUUUUCAAAUUUAGAAAACUAAAAUCAGAGUGGUGGUUUAUAUGAAGAUCAAAGUCGUAGUUUAAUUUGUUACACUCACUUUCAUACCUGUUCCUCAUCAUUUAUAACCAAGGAGUAAUAUACCAGAAGUUUAUGUUCUCGUUGUAGUCAAAUUAAUAAAAUAAAAAAUAAUUCUCAUAUUAUAAAUUAUCGAUUACCUUCAAUCCAAUAACACAAGAAACCUUUGAAGUUUAAAAAUUAUGAUUAUUAAAAAUACCUAAAUUUGAUUUGAUUAGGUUAAUAAGAAUUAUAUGAUUUUUUUAUAACAAUAAAAAUUUUAUUCAAAUAUAGAGAAGUUAAAUCAUUGUAUUAAGUAAACCAAUAAAUAUAAUAUGACACUUUUAUAGAAUUUAAAGUUAUCUUUUUAAUCUAAAAAUUAUAUUUUCAGUUUUCUUAACAAUAAUUUGUAUGAAAUAUGUACAUAUUUUCUAUAAAAAUCAACUGUUUUAUGGUAUUGAUUUAACAGUGUUUAGUUAAAAAAACAUAAUCAAAUAUGGUUUCAAUAGAAUAUGUUGUUUCUAUAUGUCUUUGAUUUUUUUUUAUCAAAUAACAUAUAUCAUUUCCAAUUUAUUGAUUAUGUGCUUGUAUAGACAAAGUAGACCUAGAUAGAACCUAAAAUUAGUUGUACAAAUUGUUGACGUCUUGUUCGUUUGGUUGCUUCCUUAUUUCUCACUUCAAGUCUCUUUCUUUAAUUGUUGGUGCUCAGUCGAGGUAGACUUGAAAAAGUUAUUCCGACAAUCAAGUAAGUAUUCAAUAUACAGAGUGUAUAUUAAAAACUGACUGAUUCAAAGCGUCUCUUACACCUAUGUGGAGGGUUUAUUUAUAAUAUUUAGUUAUGGGCAUCUGUUGUGAUGGUGUUGAAUUUAUCAUAUAUCAACGUUAACUUGAUUCUAAGGAAGUUCCCUAAUUUCUUAAGGCUAAGGCGUUACUCGAAUUUUAUAAUAUAUGUUCCAUAUAUCAUAAUUGUUUUAAAUGUGUUUUCGACCUGUCGAGGCUUGUCCGAUUACUAAGCGGUACAUAUCCAAAAUGGAAAUUAGGUUAAUUCAUAUGAGAUUGAAAUUUAUAGAGAUUAAAAUUUAUAUGAAUUUAAGUUAAGAAAUCUGCAUAUGAUUAUGUAAAUAUUUUGAAAUUAAUAUACACUUAUUUAGAUUACGGUUUUAACUUUAAUUUUUUUAUGUUAUUUAAUCUUCAAUUUUAUUUUUUAAAUAUAUAUUUUCUACAUUUUUAUACGUAAGCACAGUAUCAAAUAAUUUAUAAUUAUUUUUCGACCGAAAUCUCAUAUCAUAACGGGAGUUAUAUUUUAACUAAAGUCGUAAUAUAUAUAUAUAAAUAAUCAACUCUCAUUCUAAUAUUUUAACACAAUGAAAAAAUAAUAAUUUUACAAAAUUUAUUAAUUAAAAAAAUAAUUUUAACUUGUUAUAAUUAAUUAAAUCAAUCACAAAUUUUUAUAAUUUUUUUCUUAAUUCUGUUUUAAUUUAUAAUACAACGAUAAACAAUUGACUGAAUAAUAAAACAUACAUUUGAGCACCACUACAUAGAAAUAAAAAAGUAACAUUUUAGUUAUUUAUACCUGUACAUAUGACUUUUAAAGAUUACUUUUAACUAAACAAAUUCUUUAAAUAUAAAAAUUAUUACAGUCAAAUAAUUUAUUAUAAAGACCCUUUAUUUUAGAACUGAAAUAGCUGAGUCAUAUUUGUUCAACUAUAUUCUAAUUACUCUAUAAUUACUCUAUAUUUUACGUACAGAUGAGUCUCUCUUCUUAAGUCCACAAGUCCCUAUCCCCAAAAAUUUGCAUGAUAAAAAUUUGUGUCUCUAUAUUUUAAAUGGGUUUUAAUUUUUACAAACUGUAUUUCUCCCACAAAAUCUGUAGGUUAUUCAAUCCGUUAAAGAAUACGCAUGCAAUCAAUCAAAUAAAAAAAAAUAAUUUUUUUGAUUGAAUUAAUCUUGAUAAUAAAGCUUAGCCCUAAAAUUCAUGUAACCUAUAUAUCGAAGAGGUUGGGUGUAGAAAACUUAGACCAAAAAUUUUCCAAAAAAACAAAACUCAUUGCCCACGUAAAGUAAGUUGUGGGUUACAAAUGAUCAAAUGCACAUGUAAGUAAAUAACAAACAAACAUAUCUGCACCAUUUUGGUACUAAAAGAUGUACAUGAUGAAUGCACCUUUGCUUACAGGCACUUACGUAGAAGGCAGUUCCAUGAGCGAGAUGAUCCUCGCCGGAUGCUCUCUGCACGCAAUUACGAACAUACAUUAAUGCACAGACUCACAGUAAGGAGAAAUUAAAGAAAAUGAUACAAUCAUUUACUUACCACAAAAUCUUGAAGUCUUUUCCUCUCGGAGUGGGAAUGGGUCGAGUAAUAUUUUUGGAAUGUGGUUUAUGUAUUGCCAAUCCUCUCCCGUAUCCCUCUUGCACCGCUUCGUCAGAUAAGGACAUCCGCGUAUACUUAAAGAAGACAAGUUGGUGAGGCGUUGAAUGCUACUUGGUAGUGAUCUCAACUUUACACAAUAAUGAAUCUUUAAUUCUUGAAGAGAAGUGAUGUCUCCUAGCCAAUCAGGCAAUGAACUAAACAUGCAAACAUCUAUAUUCAAAGUUCGUAGGCAGGGGACACAUUGUAAGCCAUAGGGUAAUGUGGAGCAAUUAUUGAUUGAGACAGUCCAAAGGGCAGUUAGUUGGGUCAUAUUGCUUGGUAGAGUCACCAGCUCAAAACAACAUUCGAUACUCAAACUCUCUAGACAUAUCAAAUAUUGCACACCUUCAGAUAAGGAUUUUAAGUUAUAACAUUUGUAAAUACUCAAAUAUCGAAGAGAGGUUAGACCUUCCAACGCAUGUUCUGAAAAAUACUCCAACUCAUCACAAGAUUCAAUGAUUAGUCUCUGUAGUGAACCCAACCCGCUGAGUUGGUCGGUUAAUACCACCAUUCCAUUAAUCCAUUCAAUGUCCAAGGCCUUUAGACAAGGCAUAUUCUCCACAAUCCCUUCCAUGAAGGAAGUCGCAUCGCAAAUACUAAGGUGCUGAACAGAAGGAAGACGUGGAAAUUUAAUGUUGGAGGAGAUGCCAAUAAUUGUUAAAUGAGAAAGACUAGGGAGCAUCUCUACCCCUUCUUCCCUCAAUAUCCUCUCCAAUUUUGGUAAAUUCCUCACCAACAAAUUCUCCAACAAAGGAAAUGCCUUCUCCUCCACACCAUCAUACGACUCACCAUCUAUCCACUUCACAUAUUUCAUUCCACUCACAUGUAGCCUUUUCAACUGUCUUAGUUUACCAAGUGGAGGAAGCUCCUCACAGUUGUCACAGUCCAACAGUCUAACUUCCACCAAGUCUCUCAGAACUGCACCAUUUCUCAUCCAACUCGAUAAUUGUCUCCCCUGAUAUCCUUUCAUCUCAAAACUCUUCAGAGUUGAGGGAGGUUGCAAGGCUUCCAGUACUCUCUCAACGUUAAUAUUAUUACCUUCUGAAUUAGCAUUACCACCCCAUGACAAUUCUAGGAUAUUCAAGUCCUUCUUACCAGUUAAAUUUGCCUGUUUCGCAUCCCAUUCAUUGGGGACGUUCUCAAGGCCUUUGAUUCUCAGCGUGCCUCCAAGCUUUAAGCUAUGCAACUCUGCUAACCCACACCCUGCCUUUGAUCCCACAAAGAAAGUGCUCAGUGUUCUUAGAUGCCUUAACUUGCCAAUAUGCGGAGGCGUCUCUUGUAUUGAAUAACAAUUAUCAAUCACAAUAUGCCUUAGAUCCUGUAAUUGCGUCAAUUCUUUCGGCAGCCUAAAUUGCCUAAUAUUUUGUAGUUUCAAUAUUUGCAAUUUCGGCAACUGACAAAUUAAUUUAUGUAAGCCUUUUCCAGAACCCCAAUUCCAACUCAAGUAUCUCAAAUGUCUUAAAUCCUUGAGUGGGAACAAAAAAGAAGAACAUGUGCGCAAUACUCGGAGACAAUGGUUUGAUGGCAACAGGCCAAUAUGACCCAAAUCCAGAAAUGUCCGCAGGGAUUGAACUUUCUUGAAAGCAGUCAUAUCAACCUUAGAAUUUAACAAGCUUGAAUAGUGAACUCUAGUUGACAACGGAGUCAACCUUCCUUUCUCAAUAAUCACACAUUCUUCACCAUAAUAGACUGGGCAAGAUCAUGAAAUAGAUCAUGCAUCUUGCAACUUCUAAUCAUACCAAGCCUAUCAAACUUUGCUUCUUGAAAAAAUGAUCUACGGUAUAAUUUUUUCCACAAUUUAUUUCCAACAUCCUCCACUUCUACAUUUCCUUCAGAUUUAAUAAAUCCAUUAGCCAUCCAGAGAUGAAUUAGAUCUUCCUUGUCUAUCUCAAAAUCUUUGGGGAAAAUUGCACAAAAAGAAAAGCAUCUCCUCAGAGACAACUCCAAAUUAGAGUAGCUCAGUCUCAAAGCACGCAUGAUAGAAUUUUCCUCACAUGUCAUAGAACUACUUUCCUCUCGUAUAUUCCAAAUCUCACUUUCUUUUACAUUUUCCCAUUGGCUUACCUCACUUUUAUCACGCAAAAGACUUCCCAUUGUUUUGAUUGCAAGUGGUGAACCAAUGCAUUUUCUCACUAUCUCUCUGCCAAUUGCCACAAGCUCUUCUAUUUCUUCUCUGUUUUGAGCAAACGCAUGGUGUUUGAACAAUGACCAACUGUCGUCUCCUGACAAUUCUUUCAAAUGGUAAGCAGGAUGCGUCUCCAUGGUGGAAGCAACUUCCUCGAGUCGAGUGGUAACCAAAAUGGUAGCUCCUUUUGCUGCCCUUGCACACAACAACUUUCCCUUCAACUGCUUCCAUUUCUCUUGGUCUUCAUUCCACACAUCAUCAAGAACAAGUAAAUACCUUUUGCUGUCCAACACUUCUUCAACCUUUUUCCGCACUGCUUCUAUGGUUUUGAGAUUGGGAUUUUUUCCAGUGCAACACUCUAUUAUGGAUUCUAGAAUCGUCUUCGCAUUGAAAUCAUCAGAAACACAAACCCAAAUUGUCAAGUCAAAAUGGUUGCAUACCUUGUGAUCAUUGAAGACCUGCUUGGCAAGUGUUGUUUUUCCAAGUCCACCCAUACCAACUAUGGGAUAUACGGAAAGUUCUUCACUGUUACUGACAUCUUCCAGGAGAAACUUCACAAUUUCCUCUCGAUCCCGGUCUCGGCCAUAGGCUAUAGGUUCUGUAAUGUCAGAGCUAGUUUGGCGCCAAUUAUCAUCAUCAUUCACUGCUUGCUUCUCUGUUACAUCAUCACGUAACUCAAACAUGCUUCUUUCUUCAUUAAUAUCAUGAAAUCUUUGGGUGAUGUCUUUCAUCCUCUUUCCAAUAUGAAAACGAAAGAGAAUGUCCUUGGGAUGCACAUGGGCCAAGCAUGAAUUUCGCUCGUCAUCAGAUAGCACCUUUUUGGAUUGAAAUGAACAUUCAUCCAAGAUAUCAUCCAGCACAUAUGUUGCAUCUGUGAGUUUCUGCAGCCAACUCUUCACAGCAUGACUUAUUAUUUGCUUACUCUCAGCGUCUCUAAGAACAGCAUGAAUUGCAGUGAGAUUGCUGGAAAGCUUUUGAGUCUGCUGGUCUACACCCCAAUAAGUUACAAGUUGGUUUUGAACUAAAGAUCCCAAAUUUUCAAUCACGAUUUUCAGUAAAGCCUCGGCCAUUUGCAGAAAGGUGAGUUUUUUGGGAUGAUUGUGGUUGUGGAGAAGGAAGUACGUUGAAGAGUGCUAACGUAGAAAAUGAUCAAUUUUCAUUAACAGUUGAAUUGACAAUUGGUGGCGAUGGCAAUAAAAGUUGUCGUUUUCUUCCUUGGCAAGUGGCCCCCUCUUUGCUUGUGUUGACGAAGAAUGUUGAUACGAUGAGUGAACUCAAACCAACCAUAUUAAUUGCAUACCAACCAUAUUAAUUGCAUACCAACCACACCGACUUGUCCACUCACUUUCUCUAUUAUUUCAGCUCAAAUUUCCCAACUUUUUCCACAUAUUUAUCACUUUUGUCGAAAAUAUUUUAUAAAAUAAAAAUACAGAAUUAUACAUAAGUUAUCAAAAUUAGGGGAAAAUAGUUUUUGAAAUUAUGUAUAAGUUAUCUCUAUGGGGGUUUUGUUAUCUGCUGAGUGCCUUCUAUUCUUAUCAUAUUCUAUCUCAUCUAUGUUUCAUCUCUAAGUCAAAAUAAUAAUAGUUUCGUUUGCCAGCUUAAAUAAUUUUCUCCUACUUAAUAUUUUACUGAUUUUUUGUUUUGAUAAUUCAAUAAAUUUUAUUUUAAUUGAAUUCUUUAACAAAAUAUAUUAUCUUAGGUUUUUUGUCACAAUUAUUAACUCUAUUGUCCACGUCUUUAUUAGAUUGACUAUUAUGUUUAAUAAAUUAUUUGUAUUAAUUUUCUUUCUUUACUCGUAUCAACAUAUAUAUGAAGGAAAAAACAUAUUGGUUUUUAUAAUAAAUAUAUAUAUAUAUAGAUCAAAAGAAAAAUUAAAGGAUAUUUAUAUAUAAUGACUAAAAUAUCUAUGUUGAAUCAUAAAUUAGUUUUAUUUUCUUCUUCUUAUUAUUAUUAAUUUUAUUUAUUUUUUAUUAUUAUUGUUUAUUAUAAUUAUUUUAUAAAUUUAUUAUUAAUAAUAUUAUUUUUUAUUAAUAUUGUAUUGUUAUUAUUAUUAUUUUAAUAAUCAAAUUAUUAUUUUAACAAUUCUUAUUAUUAUAUUUUUAUUAUGUUAUAUUAUAUAACAAUUUUAUUUAUUUUAUUAUACCGAAAAUAUAAAUAUUAAUAAAAUUUAUUAUAUAAAAAUAUAAUAUAUAUUUAAUCUAAUAAUUAUAUUUAUAAAUACAAUAAAAUAUUUAUUAUAUAAUUAAAUUGUUCCGCGGCAACGACAUCAAACACUUUAUGAUGCACCGCGUUUGUCAGAAGUAAUAAUUGUCCCUAAGGAAGGAUAUCGAUCCCACAAGGAAUACUUGAACAAUCAAAUAAAAUAUUCACCAAAUAUAAAACAGAAUAAUAAAAAGUGUUUUGAAAGUAAUUAGAAAAAUAGGGAUUGGGUUUUGUACCGUCCCACGAGGUCACUAGGAAUUACACCGACCCGCCUAUUGAAUCGACCGAAAUGGUUAUCAAGCAUGACAUCAACCUUUGUGACUAGCCAGCUUGGCACAAGGAUGAGGGGUUGUGUACCGUCCCGUGAAGUCACUAGGAAUUAGGUCGACCCGAUCAAUGGGUCGAACGAGCUCUUGACGUAUAUAAUAGAUGACACUCAUAAUAUUCCUGGUUACACUAUAAAUGCUGAAGCGAUAUUCCUUAUUACACUAAAUGCUGACGCGAUAUUCCUUAUUACGUUAUGAAUAUUCUGCGAUUAUAUCACGUGAUGGGAAAACUUUAUGACAAGUUACCACAAUACAGGAAAUUAAUGCUGCGAAGAACUGGAGACAAAGGUCCAGGGCCACAAAGACUUAUAAAUAGAUUAUCACUCACAUGGAGUAUCUCAACUCAUAUCUUCGCAUUAUAUUCACUACAUAAAGCAUAUCUUGUGCUCUCAUUGACUUGAGCGUCAGGGUGUCAUCGCAAGAAGAGCUCCCCUUGUUCCCUGAAGGUUGAAUCGCUAAAGCUUGAAGGGAGACAACCAAGAGCUCGUACAGAUUCCGACCGACCUCGAACCGGUGAGAACAUUUGGCGUCCACCAUUGGAUCGUUAAAACUGCGCCCACGACUAGAAGAACUGGAGAGAAGAGUCAGAAACCACAUCAUGAGGACCAGGCAGACACAGAUGCCAGAAGGUGGAGAGGCAUUCAUUCUGCAACAGGUGGUAGAGGCAAUGCAAACUUUGCAAUGUGAAAACGAGAAAUCUAGGAGGCAAGUUUAGGAAUUCUAAGCAGAGCAGAAGUGACUCCGUGUGGAAUUCCUGGCUGAACAACUGAGACUAAGCCGCAAGAUGACUGAUGGAAGAAGCCCUCAAAACGAACGAGGAGUUACAAAAAGCAAAUGAAUAUUUGAGGAGGACAUUUCAGCAACGACUGAGACAAGUGGCCGAAUAUCUGGUCGGAAGGAGAAGAAAGGCGGAUCCCCGACCAUUCAGCCAGGACAUCAUGGAGGAACCCAUACCACAUCAUAUCGCAAUGCCCAAAAUGCCCCAUUCUCGGGAGUCGAGGACUCGAAAACCCACCUAAAGAUUUUCCAAGCCCAAAUGCUGAUUUCUGGGGGCUCAGAUGCGGGCCGAUGCAAGAUGUUGCAGGAAACUUUCACGAGAACAAAUCUGCGUUGGUUUAUCGGAAUCCCCGACGGGGCAAUAAGUUCGUUCUAGGAGUUCUCUUAGAUUUUCGAAGAACUAUUCAUGGCCAACAUUAUCAUGCGUGUAGAACCUAUGGUGGUAGACGCGUUUGUAAAAGGUCCAAAUCCUUUUAGCGACUCCCUGCUAAGAGAACGAAAAAGAGGCCAUCAGAAAAAAGAAGUUGGGCGAGCGACGGGGUGAGGGAAGAUACAAAGAACGGAUUCGGGAAACUCAGCCUAGGCAAACCGAACAAGUUGUCAAGUGGUCGGAGAAAAGGUACGUACCUUAUGUAGCCCAAAAGGAGGAGGCAGGAAGGAAUGCACCAUGGUUACCACCGCCUGCGCCUAAGCCCACCUUGAACCUCACUGUACCUCUAGCUCGCCUGUUGGACGACCGAGCCGUAUCCUCCAAAUUAGAGUUCCCGAGGAAGACUGAUCGCAUUUUGGGUCCCAAAAAGUCUGCUUGGUGCGCAUUUCAUCAAGCGCGCAGUCAUGAUACGAAAGAAUGCCAGGCGCUGCGACACUAACUGGCGGGGUCGAUAGAAAGAGGUCACCUCAGGAAAUUUUUGUGACUUGAAGCAGAGGGUGAAAUCGUCUGAAUAAUGGAGCAACAGGACGACAAUCAUGUAACUCCCAUUGGGAGAUUUCAAUAAUCGUCGGGGGUUUCUCAGCGGGAGGACUAACCGCAGCUAGUCGGAAACGCAACUCCAGAGCGGACCUAGUUUUCGAAACGAUGGAGCUAAAAUCAGUCACGACCCCUAACCUCUGCUUUACGAAAGCCGAUCUCGAAGAUGUGUCUCCCCAUCAGGAUGACCUAGUGGUAAUUACGAGAAGUUGAUUAUGAGAAGGCCUGUUGGGAGUUCAUCUUUUAUACCUUAGGUAGGUUGGAUUUUUGUGAUAAAUGGAUUAGAAGGAUCAAACCGUGCUUGAAAUCUUCUUCUGUUUCGGUGUUAUUAAAUGGCACUCCAACUAAGGAAUUCUAUCCUCAGAAGGGUAUUCGUCAAUGCGAUCCUCUUGUGCCUUUUUUGUUCUUUAUUGUGGCUAAAGGUUUGGUAGGGGUGUUAAGGAAAGUAGUCGAGUGAAACUUGGUUGAAAGUUUGGAGAUCGGGGUUAAGAAGGUAAAGGUGAAUAUGCUCCAAUUCGCUAAUGAUAUUUUGUUCUUUUGUGAAGCCAAUAAUAAAAGCGUGUUCACUAUUAAAGUAAUGUUGAAUUACUUUGAGUUAGCUUCUGGCCUUAAGGUUAACUUCUUGAAAAGUAGGAUUGGUGGGUUGGGAGUGGAUAAGUCUUAGAUCCAACGUUUUGUUGUGUUACUUAAUUGUGACGUGAUGAAUACUCCUUUUAAGUAUCUGGGGUUGCUCAUGGGAGGUUGUCAUAAGAGAAGUGCGUUUUGGGUCGACGAGUUAGAAAGAAUGAAAAGCAGACUGGGUAGGUGGAAAGGUAGAUUCCUAUCACUAACAAGGAGAGUUUGUAUGAUUAAGUUUGUUCUUUCUUCCAUUCCAUUGUUUUACGUUUCUUUGUUUAAGUUGCCUUUUUCGCAGUUGAAGGAAAUCAUGAAAUUACAGAGGAAUUUUGUGUGGGGUUAAGGGUCGGCUGGAAAGAAGAUUGCUUGGGUUUCUUGGAAAAAGGUUUGUGAGCCUUGGGAAGCUGAUGGUCUUGGUACUUUGGACCUUCGGUUAUUCAAUGUGGCCUUGUUGAGAAAAUGGAUUUGGCAUUUGGGUUCUAACAAGGGAGGGCUCUGGAAAGAGAUUAUUGAUUCAAAAUACGGCAGUUGGAGGAGUCUGAAAGAGAAUAAGAGUUCUUACAAUGAGUCUUUGUGAUGGAGAGAUUUGAAGGGGAUUUGUGAGAUGGAGGAGUGGGGAAGAAAUUUUGAGGAUUGCUUCAAGUGGACAAUUGGUAAUGGAAAUAAUGUUUUGUUUUGAGACGAUGUGUGGUUGAGUUCUGGAGCUUUGAAGAGUAGAAUUUCAAAAUUGUUCUUAAGCACUAGCAAUGAAGAUCACUUGGAUUCUUUUGGGGUGUGGGAUUGCAGCUCUUAGAAUUGGGUUCUUAAGUGGAGAAGAGAUUUGUUCGAUUGGAAAAAGACUCAGGAAUUUCAGCUUUUGCAGAAGCUUCAAGGCUUACGUCUCGUCUUGGGUAGGGAAGCUAGAUGGGUGUGGAAGGUUGACCCGAUUUCACGGUUUUCUGUUAGUUUGACAUAUAGUAUUUUAAGGAAGACUUGCAUCAAAGACAUAUAGAUUUUAAGGGGAUUUUUGGAAGAUUAAAAAAUUUAUGAAGAAAUAUCAAUACAAAGAAAAUUAAAUAAAAUAUUUUAUUGAUAUAUUAAAUAAAAUAUUUUAUUGGUAUUUUGAUGUAGGUAAAUAUUAUUGGUGAAAUACAUGUAAAUAUGUAACAUUAUUUUGUUUUUUAUUUUUAUUUUUAUAAUAAAUUUGAAUUGUGGAGAAUAAAUUAUAAUAUAUUUGUAAAUAUAUUUUUAUAAUAAAAUUCGGAUGAAAAAAUUAUAAAAAAAUUAUAAUGUUGGUACUAAAUUAAAUGUUGGUAUUUUUUGUUUGUUAAAAAGAUACUAAAAUAAGUAAUAGUAAAAAUUAAAUAAAAUUGUUUGGAUAUUUAAAAAAAAAUUAACUAAAUGGUUUAAAAAAUUAUAAAUAAAAAUUAAGUUAUUCAUUGAUUGAUUGAUAUGUUGUAUGUAAUAAUAAAAAAAAUUAAGUAUUCUUAGGUUUAAUAAAAAGAAAAAUGUAUAAAUUACAAUUUUAAAAUAAAAAUUAAGAAAAUAAUUAUAUUUAAAUUGAAAGACUAUGUAAAUAAUGAAUUAUAUAUAAAUAUAUGUCAUAAAUGAUAAUAGUUAAUGUUAUAUAAUCAUAUUUAAUUAUAAAUCAAUAUAAAAAAAUUAUAAAGAGAAAUGAAAUAUGUGAUAAACACUAAAAUAAAAUAAUUUUUAAAAAUAAUUAAUAAAUUAAAAAUAAUUGAUCACUUUAAUUUGGGAUGCAUUAAAAAAAUAAAUGUAUUGGUUGUAAAAAAAUAUUUUUAAUGUUUAAAAUAGUUAAAAAUAUAAUUAUUGAAGAAAUAAAAAGUAAUAAUGAUGUGUCCCAACAUUACUCGAGAGUGUCCACUUCUCGUCAUUAAUUAUAUUUCAUUUUGCACAAACUAUUUAAUGUACCAUUGAAGAAAAUAUUAAAUGAAUGAUCAUAUCUAAUUUUUUUUCUUUUUUAUGUUCACUAUAUACUACAUCAUUUCUAUAAUUAACAACAAUUAAAACUAAUAAACAUGAAACAUUUAAAAACAAUUCACAUUUAUGUUAUUUAAAUCUCAUAUAUUUUCUUUUUUCCACCUUUAACUAAUAUAUAAAUUGUAUUUUAAUUAGUGUUCACUACAAAUUUCAUUUCUCUUUAUAAUUUUUUAUAUUUAUUUAUAAUUAAAUAUGAUUAUAUAAUAUUUAUUAUUACAAUUUAUGACAUAUAUUUAUAUAUAUCUCAUUAUUUACAUAAUCUUUCAAUUUAAAUAUAAUUUUUUUCUUAAAAUUUUUUAUUUUAAAAUUAUAAUUUAUACAUUUUUUUAUUAAACCUAAUAAUAAAUUUAUUUACUUAAUUUUUUUAAUUAUUACAUACAUAUCAUCAAUGAAUAAUGUAAUUUUUAUUUAUAUUUUUUUAAACCAUUUAUUUAGUUAAUAAUUUUUUUAUAAAAUAUCCAAACAAUUUUAUUUAAUUUUUACUAUUACUUAUUUUAAUAUCUUUUUAACAAACAAAAAUACCAACAUUAUAAUUUAUUAUAAUUUUUUCAUCUGAAUUUUUUAUUAUAAAAAUAUAUUUACAAAUUUAUUAUAAUUUAUUUUCCACAAUUCAAAUUUACUAUAAAAAAUAGAAAAAAAGCAAAAUAAUGUUACAAUUUUAUAUUUAUUUUACCCAUAAUAUUUACUUACAUCAAAAUACCAAUAAAAUAUUUUAUUUUCUUUUCUUUUGUAUUGAUAUUUCUUCAUAAAUUUUUAUAUAUUUAAUUUUUUAUUUUUAAAUUUUAAAUUUUCUUCUGUUUAAAUUUUAUAAAUAUUUAAAUUCACUAAAAAAAUUAAUGCAAAUGCUACACUUGCUUAAAAUGAGAAGAGAAAAAUAAAAAAAUAAAAAAAUAUAGAAAAUAAAAACAACAACAAUAAAAAAACAAAAAUAUAUAAAAUAUCUCAAUUUUUUUUAAUUUAUUAAUUUCUUAUUACUUUUGAAACAGUGCUAGAUGCUAUAUAGAGAAAUAAAAAUAAAAGGAUGUUAAAUAAAAAAAUAAAAAUAAAAGAAUGUUAAGAUGAAAAAAUAAAAGUGAAAAUAGUGGUAUACGAGGAAAAAUCUUAAUUUAGUAAGUUAUUUAUAUAUAAAACUUAGAAAUAAUUAAAAAAAAAUUAACACAAUUAAGAUUGUGCAUUUGUAAGUGUGAAAAUGUUAUGUAAGUAGCAAGAUCAUAGUAGAGGUUAAACUCUGCGGUAGUUAGAAAUCCUUACUUUAGGAUAGCAAUGGAUGAAUGAUUGGUAGAAUGUAAUCCCAUUUUGGUACUUAAAGAUGUACAUCAUGAAUGCACCUUUGAUUAUAGGUUUAUGUUUUCAGUGACUGUAGCAUACAGGACAGUGUUAAACUCAGCACAAAUACAUAUAAUUCAUCCACCAAUAUCAGUCAAAGCUAUACAGAGCAACAGGUGAUUAAUUGAAUAAAACAGUAACACAUUUGUGAACCACUUUAAUAAUAUAAGGCAAAUUUCAAAUCUGCAUUUUAUAAAUUUAUCUAGCUAGGGUACUGGGAUGUGGAAUCAGUCAUUUACUCAUCUAUUUUGAUGGUUGCAUAGACUCACACAGUAAGGAGAAAUUAAAGAAAAUGAUACAAUCACUCACUUACCACAAAAUCUUGAAGUCUUUUCCUCUCGGAAUGAGAGUAUUAUUUCUGGGAUGUGGUUUAUGUAUUGCCAAUCCUCUCGCGUUCCCUCUUGCACCGCUUCUUCUUCAGAUAAGGACAUUCACUUAUUAUAAAAGAGACAAGUUGGUGAGGCGUUGAAUGCUACUCGGUACUGACCUCAACUUCCUACACUUAAAAAUCUCUAAUUGUUGAAGAGAAGUCAUGUCUCCCAGCCACUCAGGCAAUGAAGUAAACCUGCAAGUUACUAUACGCAAAAUUUUUAGGGAGGGAACACAUUGUAAGCCAUAUGGUAAUAUGGAGCAAUCCAUGAUCGAGACAGUCAGAAGGGUAGUUAGUUGGGUCAUAUUGCUUGGUAGAGUCACCAGCUCUAGACAAUACCAAUCCAACUUUGCCAAAAACACAUUUUUGAGAAGCAAGAUCAGUUUUCAAGAUUGGAUUGGCCUUUGGAAAACUUGUCCAUGGUUUUUAAAAGGUAGUGCACUUUGUUUUCAAGUGAUUCACAAUUUUCACAAAAGUUAGAAUCACACUUGCAAGAAGAAUUAUUGUAAAUCAUUUCCAAAGUUUCAAAAUCUGUUUUUGAAUUGUUCAACUCUUCUUGCAAAGUUUUGACUCUGUUUUCCAACCAGUUGUUUAAAUCUUUCAACCGGUUGUUUAAAAGGGCCAACCUAUUAGCUUCUUCACGAAUCUCAUUGAAGGCUUCAAGAAGUUCACUAUAAUUUUCAAUAUCAAUGGAGGAGCUUGAACUUACACUGCUUGAUUCAGAUUCUUCCUUUACCAUGAAACAAGGAUUGACUUCCUCAUCAUCCUUUGAUGAAGAACUUGAAGAUGAAUCAUCAUUGUAUGCUCUUCUUGAUUUGCCUUUCUUCUUAUACUUCUUGUAACUCCCUUUCUCUUUGAUCACAUUGCUUGGACAUUCAACCUUGAUGUGUCCCUGUUUACCAGAUCCAAAACAAGUACAAUUUGUAGAAUUAAAUUCAUUAACAUUCUUGGUAUUGUACAUGUUUGAUGGCUGGUUUUUGUCCUUGCUAUUCUUCACUUCAAUUGCACCUUCAUGGAAAUCCUCAAGGAUGUCCCACAUCUCCUUUACAAAAGCACAUUUUGAGACCCUGAAAAACUCAUUGGAAUUUAAGGCAGAAGAGGUGAUAUUCUUAGCAAUGCAAUCAUAUUGAGCCUUUUUAGUUUCACUCUCAGUUCAUUGGGACCAAGGUUUCUUAAUGAAAACAUUAUCUGUUUUUAACUUUAGGAAUAAAUGGGCCAUUUACAAUAGCAUCCCAAAUUCCUCUUGAUUCAACAAAGAUUUUCAUUCUAACCUUCCAUAAUUGAUAAUUCAAUCCACAAAACAGAGGUGGCCGGUUUAUUGAAGCACCCUCCCCAAAGGGUAAUUUUUCAGCCAUUUAAAAAAGGUUUAGGAUCAAAACUCGAAUAACUUUCAAGAACCUUACUCUUGAUGCCAAUUGUUAGAAUUAUAGGGCUAUAAAAAGGAGGGGGGGGGGGGGGUGGAAUUGUUUUUGAAAGAUUUUCGCCAGUAUUGAAGAUAGAGUGAAAGGUUAUGAAGAAUUAAUCAAUGGAAAAACUAUCCAGCCAAAUAUGAAAUUGUUUUAAGCUUGAUGCAGAAAUUCAACCUGUUGUUUUUACGAAAUAACCGGUUGUUUUUAUCAGCAGUUUUAUCAAAACAAAUUUAAAGCAAUUUAAAGAGUGUAAGGAUAGAGAGAUUCACACAGAAUGUUUAUACUGGUUCACUCAACACCUGAGCUACAUCCAGUCCUCGGAAACCACUAAGAAUUCACUAUUUAAUCAAUCACAGAUUACAAAUUACACAACCACAAAGAGGUGACUUUGAAUCCCACAAAGCCCACUCACCCUCUUUGCAAUACCACACACCUCAAGCCAGAAUCUCACUAACUUUACAGGAUUUCACACUCCAAGAAUGUUGAUCUUGAUCCCCCAAGAACACAGAACACUUCUUGGAAACACCAAUACAAAAAUACAAUUAUUAAGAAGGAAGGGAAUAGAAAACACCUGGGUAAAUCACAAGAUCAAAGAUCAGAAUACAAGACCCAAUCCUAUUCCACACACUUGAGAUGAUCCAAAGCUCUUUCAAAACUGUUUUUGAUUGAUCUCUUUCUUCGUUUUAAACAUAGGAGCGUAAAAAACACCUUUUUAUCUUUCAAUCAAAUGGUUAAAACAAUUUACAACAAUAGCCCAAAAGCAGUUGGAAUCAUUCAAAAUAGAAAAACCACCUAACAACAUUUUGUUAAGGUUUUCAGCAAAACAGUCGGCUGGUUUUUUUAAAUAACUGAUUGAAUGUUUUUAGACAACAUUCAAAAUCAUUAAGUGUCAAAUAACCUGUUGUUUUGAAAUUUUAACCUGUUAAAAUUUGUUUGACAGCAAAGGCAAAGACAGAGCUUUUCCAAAUCAGUUUGAAAUCUGCUAAGUGUCAAACAACCUGUUGAAACGAAAUUUCAACCUGUUGAAUUUUGUUUGACAGCAAAGGCAAAGACAAAGCUUAAAAUCCACUGUGUCAAACAACCUGUUAAAUCGAAAUUUCAACUUGUUGAAAAUUCACUUCCUUUUAGAAAAUCCAUCUUUUCAAAAUGUUAAAGAUUCGAUUGAGCUUGGAUCAACAUAAGGAGUGAAUUAACAAGUUUCAAACAACUAGACACACACACAACAACAAGGUCUUCAAGCUUUCCACUAGGAUUUGGAGACAUCAAAGCAUCUGGUUCAACAAUAUUUACGUCCACGGUGGAGGUCCAAGGGAGGACUCGGAACUGUUCACUAUGGGAUUAGCUCUUCAUCCAGGUUAAGUCUAUGCUCUAAUGCUUAAUCUAACAGUGAUAUUGUUAAAUGUAUUCAUCGUUUGAGGAUAAAACAAAAUGAUGUUGAAUCUUUUAGGCUGUGGGGGUUGGGUAAACACUUGGGAAUGAAGUGUUCAGAAGAUGAAGAGGUGGUCAUUAGAGAAUUGGAAGGUUUGGAGGUCAUGGAUAAUGAAAUUAAGAAGUUGCUUGAGGAGGGUGCCAUAAACGAUGAAUUAUGAUUAUUGUUAAUUUGAAUAUUAGAGGUAUAAAGGGGGCACUAAAGCAUGUUACUCGAAACACAUUAUUGCUAAGGAGAGUGCAAAAUUCUUAUGCUUACAAGAGACAAAAACGACUAAUCUAUCAGAUAAUAGAUGUUUUUUUGUUAUGGGGGGAUAACAAUGUUGAGUGCAUACAUAACGAAGGAGUAAAUGAAGCAGGGAACAUUUUAUCUUUGUGGCACAAGGAAGCAUUCUGAUAUGAAAACCAUGUAGUAGGAAGUGGCUUCAUUGUUAUCAUGGGACAACACCUUAAAUCAAACAAGUUAUGUGUCGUAAUUAAUGUAUAUGCAACAUGUAACAUAAGUGAUAAGGUUGCUUUAUGGGAAGCUCUGACGUAUUUAAAGAGUUCACAUCAGAGUAUGACUUGGUGCUUUUGUGGGGAUUUUAAUGUUUUUAGAAGGGAUGACGAAAGGAAAGGGAUCGGAGGGAGUUCUAGUAAAAAAAAAGGAGAUUAUUGGCUUUAAUCGUUUUAUUGAAACGAAUUUUCUGGUGGAAUUACCAAGUGUAGGAAAACAAUAUACUUGGUAUAAAUCAGAUGGCACAUCUAAAAGCAGAUUAGAUAGAAUUCUUGUCUCCGAAGAAUGGCUUCAAAUUUGGCCAUCAGGCAAGCAAUGUAUACAACCAAGGGUGGUUUCCGACCAUUGUGCUUUAGUGGUGAAGUAUUUAGUCAGAGAUUGGGGUCCUAAACCUUUUAGGACCAUUAAUGCAUGGUGGAUGGAGCCUGGUUUCAAGGACUUUGUGAAGGAGAAAUGGAGGUUAUACAACAUGCAGGGCAAUAGUAUAUCUAAAUUCAAAGAUAAGUUAAAGUUAUUUAAGGAUAACCUUAAAGAAUGGAACGAUAUUGAUAAGUUAAAGUUGCUUAAUACUGAUAAACAACUUCAUUUUGAGUUUCGGACCGAAGGAAUAGUAAAAUAACUUUUGAACAAGCUAAUAAUGAGUUUCAGACUGCUAGAACGGUAAGAUAACUUUGAGCGAGUCGUGUUAGACCGCCUGAAGCGUGUUAUCUCGUUUGUUUUAGUCGCAUUAGUGAUGAAUUUUUAUGGCAAGUGCACCGCGUUUGUCAGAAGUAAUAAUUGUUCCUAAGGACGGAUAUCGAUCCCACAAGGAACAGUAAAUUAUCAAAUACAAUAUUCGUUAAAUAUAACAACAGAACAAUAAAAAGAGUGUUGAAUUGAGUGUCUUGGCACUGAUCAAUAAGAAAACAAACAAAGAAUUAGUUGCUUCAGUUGGAAAAAUAGGGAUUAGGUUUAAUCUCUCUCACUCUCAUGUAUUUUGAUUAGCAUGUCAAUAUUAAGUUCCUUGAUUGAAAUUGAUGCCCGUAGAAAAUUCAUUUAUAUCGAUCUCUCGCAUAUAAAAUUCUUAAGAAUGAUUCCUAAAUAUCGAUAUCUCGCAUACCUAUAAAAACAACUUAGAAAUCACAAUCAGACGUUAAUGGCAAUUAACAUUUCAAGUCUAUCUUUAACACUCAAAUAUGUUAAGUAUUGAUGUUUAGGUCGGAACCCUAAAAAUACCUCUCGGUCAGAUUUAAGAUUCUCAAUUUUUCACGGAAAGUUAAAAGUAAAACAACAAUACCAAUAAUCAAUCAAGAACUGAAUAUUAAUAUAUAAGAUAUCACUUCAAUACAUAAGAGUUUAAGCAGAUUACUCUGAAUCUCAAAGGGUAGAAUUAGCCACGCAUACUUCUAGCACCUUCCAUUCUGCCAAUUGGGUUACAAUUCACUCUAUGGUGUUUUCCUCUCAAUUUGGCACGCUAGAUUUGAGCCUCUAGCCCCCUAUUUAUCCUAGUUUUCUAGGGUUAGGUCGCUUCUUGUGUCGCACUAAUGGGCUAAGUGAUAAAACAUAAAAAAGGCUCAAUCUUUCUUUGCAUCUUUUCCAUUAUGGGACCUUCCAACUUUCUCUUUUUAGCUCAAAUUAUUCUCCUAUUCUCCAAAUCUUCAAUCCUCCCUAAAAAUAUGCAAUUAAAUCCAAAUUUGGGAACAAAAUGCUCUUAUUCAAAUAAAGCUCAUAAAAAUGUAAAAAGGUAUAAAUUCAUAAAUUAGGGAUUAUUUUAUAUGUAAAUUAGCAAUAAAUCCUCAUAAGUGCCUACAUUUUAAUAUGAAAUAUUACUGAAAUUUGACACUUAUCAAUUAGGCGAUGUUAUUGUUGUGUUGAUUGCUUGAUGCGAUAAUAAUAAUACUGAUCGGUUCGACCGAUAAAAAAUGCACAGUUUGAGAUUAUUUUCUCAAUAUAUAUUUGGUUUCUGGUCACAAUUAGUGAGAUUUGAUUGAGUUAGCAGGAGGAUAACUAUUUCCGACCGACCGGAUGUGAUGAAAAAAAUAAAGAAAGAUAUAAAAUACUGGAAUGUUUAAAGUGCCUCCUUAAAACCUUCUCGAUUGAAACCCUCCUUAGGGAUAAAAUAACCGAGCGAAGAAAGAGUACACUAAUAAUGUUUAUCAGCUAUAAUUGAAUUUGAUAUGUGUGGCAUUCCAUGUUCUUGGUACAGUUUUUCCUUAUAAAUAUUCUAAGUGAUAAGCACCUCUUGCUGCUGUGUCAGCAAUUCGAAAUGGUCCUUCCCAAUUGCUGGAGAAUUUACCUUCCGCCUUUCGGGCAUCGCUGCGCAUUCGCCAUACUAAAUCUCCUUGGUGAAAGUUUCUUGGUUUUACCUUUGAAUUAUACUGUUUGGCCGCCCUCAAUUUGCAUGCUUCUUCUCUUAUUAUGCUUUUAUCCCCGAGUUCAUUAAUGAGGUCGAGGCCAACCAAUAAGCUUUCUUUGUUCAAGUUCAAAUCUAGUGUUUGCCGACGUAGGGAAGGUUCCCCUAUUUCGACAGGUAUCAUAGCUUUUGUACCGUAGGUUAGGCUAUAUGUCAUUUCUUGAGUUGUAGACUAUGGUGUACACUGGUAGGCUCACAGGACCUCAAGAAGUUCUCCAGUCCACUUUUGUUUAGCGGGGUCGAGCCGUUUUUUUAACUCGUUGAGGAUGACUUUAUUGGCGACCUCAACUUGGGCGUUAGUCUGAGGGUGUUCUAUUGAAGUCGUGACAUGUUUGAUAUCAAGUUUCUCGUAAAACUGGGCCAAUUCUCGAUCAGUAAAUUGAUGACCGUUGUCAGUAAUAAUAGCGUGAGGUAGACCGAACUAGCAUACAAUAUUCUUCCAAACGAAAUUUUUGACAUUUCGUGCGGUGAUUGCCAUUAAGGGUUCGACUUCUAUCCAUUUUUUGAAGUAGUCUAUACCAACUAGCAAAAAUUUGCAUUGACCUUUGCGCAGAGCGAAUGGUCCAAUAAUGUCCAUUCCUUAUUUGACAAACAACCAUGGGGAAAGAAUGUAGUGGAUAUUUUCAGGUUUCUGGUGGAAUAAACUUCCAUAUUCUUGACAUUUCACGCAUUUUCGUACAUAUUUUGUGUAAUCACCCUGUAUGGUCAGCCAAUAAUAACCUACUCUCAAUACUUUAGCAGCCAUCAUUCGUGCUCCUAAAUGGGUGCCGCAUAUCCCUUCGUGUAUUUCUUGCCUAACAUAUGUGGCUUGUUCAGGAGAAAGACAUUUCAGCAGUGGACGAGUAUAGCCUCGUCGGUAAAGAUCUUGAUUUAUUAAGAGGAUAUGUACCGCUUGUCGCCUCAAUGUUUUCUUUGAAUGUAUGUCAUGCGUUCCAUCUAUCAAGAAUUGUUUGAUGGGUGUCAUCCAAUCGAGUAGGGUGUCGAUCGUCAAGCAUUCCUCGGAACCUACGCUAGGUUUAACUAGCGUUAUGUAAACGACUGACCGGUGAAGCCCCUUUUUCAUGGCGGUGGCAAGACGGAAAAGCAUAUAUGCUCGGACGUUAUCCUUUCGGCGUAUGUGUUGAAUUUUAACUUCCUCAAACUUUGUGAUUAAUUCUUGCACGAAAUGGAAAUAAUGUUGUAAAAGUGUUUCACGUACUUCAAACUCUCCUAUUAACUAUCUGACCACUAGCUGUGAGUCACUUUUGUAUAACAAUUUCUUUACUUCCAAAUCUGUUGCAAGAUUAAGACCAGCUAUAAUUGUCUCGUAUUCAGCCUGGUUAUUUGAAGAUUUAAACUCAAACUUUAGGGCUUGUUCGAUAAGAAUGUUACCUGGUCUUUCUAGUACCACUCCUGCGCUGCAUGACCGAUUAUUGGAAGAACCGUCGACGUGCAAAAUCCAUGUAGAAUUACUUUCUUGGUUUUGAGGAGGGCUAAAUUCAAUUGUGAAAUCAGCUAAAGCCUGUGACUUGGUUUCUCCCCUAGGUUGAUAUUGGAUAUGAAAUUCUGAUAAUUCAAUGAACCAUCCUAUCAUUUGUCCGACCAGAUCUGGUUUCGCCAAUAUCUUCAUGAUGGGGUAAUCAAUUUUCACUAUGAUUCGAUGAUUCUGGAAAUACAUACGCAUGCGUCGUGCAGUAGUAAUCAGGGCCAAAACUACUUUUUCUAUCAUUUGAUUUGUACUUUCUGCCCCGUGAAGUACUCGACUCACAAAGUAAACAAGGUGUUCUUCGGUCUCCACUUCUUGGACUAAGACUGCGCUAACUACAUCUUCUGAAACAGUAAGGUAAACAAUAAUAGGUUCCUUGGAAAUUGGCUUUUGGAUGAUCAGAGGGGAGGCUAAGAAGGUAUUCAACUGGAGGAAUAUUGUCUCGCACUCAUCCAUCCAUUGGAACUUUGACGCUUUGCCCAAUAGUUGAAUAAUGGGUUUAGUUUUUUUCGCUAAUCUUGGCACAAAUCUGGAUAAUGCAGUCAGUCGUCCGACUGACCUCUGAACUUCUUUGACAUUUUUUGGGCUUCGCAUCUUGGCUAUGGCUCUAGAUUUUUCGGGGUUAGCUUCUAUGCCGCAGUGUAUGAGCAUGAAGCCUAAAAAUGUUCCUCAUUCGACACCAAAUGCAUACUUAUCUGGGUUAAGACGCAUGCCAUGUUUUCGAAGCACUUGGAAGACUUCCCUUAAGUCGUUGAUGUGUUGUUCGCAUGAAUUAGAUUUGACAACAAUAUCAUCCACAUAAACUUUGAUGCUUCUGCCAAUCAUGUCCAUCAACCGUUGAUAGGUGGCACCGACAUUCUUGAGGCCGAAUGGCAUGACUUCAUAGUAGAAAUUUUCGGAAUCAUUCAUGAAGGUUGUUUUUUUCCUUAUCUCUUGGAUGCAUUUGGAUUUGAUUGUAUCCCGAGUAGGUGUCGAGAAAGCUGAGAAUAUUAUGACCUGCGGCUCCAUCAGCGAAUCGGUCGAUAGUGGGUAGAGGAUAAGAGUCUUUGGGGCAUACUUUAUUGAGAUCAGUGUAAUCCACACACAUCCGUUAUUUGCCAUUGGAUUUCUAAACCAUCACCACAUUAACUAGCCAAGUAGUAUAGUGUGCUUUUUGAAUAAAACCAGCUUUCAUUAAUUUUGUUGUUUCGUAGCGGGCGGCUUUGUGCCUUUCCUCUCCCAACUUACAUCUCUUUUGAGCUAUCGGCCUUGCUUCUUUGUAAAUAGAUAGACGAUAUGUGAUAAUUUCUGGACUUACUCCAGGCAUAUCAGUUGUUGUCCAAGCAAACAGAUCGACAUUAUCCAUUAAAGUGGUGUUGAUCAAUUUACGGUCGUUCGACUUUAGAGACGUCCCAAUCUACGUCUUGUGUGUAUCAUCGUGGAGGGGUAAAGUUUGAAGAUCUUCACCGGGCUCCAUGCGAGGAUCAUCAAGUCUAUGAUCCAAAUCUACGAGUGCAACCAUGUCUCUUCUGAAGUGUCUCUCCUGUGAGUGUUGUUCUGACGAUCGUUCUCGUCUUCUGGGUGAUUGACCGCACAAUGAUGUUUUGUAUAACCUUCUAGUAGGUUCUACUCUUAAGCUUGCAACAUAACAUUCCCGAGCGGUUUUUUUAUCAACAUGGACUAUCGCAAUAUCUCUAGUGGCAGAGGGAAAUUUCAUUGCUAAAUGUGGAGUACAGACGAUUGCUCUCAAAUGGUUGAUGGAAGAACGACCGAGCAAUAUGAUAUAUGAGGUAUUGGCAUUAACCAAUAAGUACCUAACCUUAAUAGUUUUAUUAAGUCCCCCUUCUUCACCGAAUGUGGUAUAUAGGUCGAUAUAGCCUUUGGUAUCUACUUGUUCUCUUGAGAACCCAACAAUCUGUUCGUUAUAGGACUGAAUGUCUGUCUCUGAAAUUCUCAUUUUUUGGAAGGUUCUCCAGUAAAGGAUAUCUCCGGAGCUACCUUGGUCUACUAGUACUUUGGUAAUUGCAAAUGUAUCAAUUUCUACCAUAAUUACCAUGGGAUUGUCCUGUGCUGGAUCUAUCGCAGUAAAAUCAUCAUCAGUGAAUGUUAUUGGAGGCAUUCAGGGUCGUUUCUGAGUUGACGUGGAGUGGAUUGAUUGAAUAGCUCUAAGAUGUUUCUUUUUGGCUGAAUUCGAACAUCUGCCUCCUGCAAAACCUCCAACAAUGUAAUUGACUUCUCGGACUCUUCGUUUAGUCUGAUUUCUACUCUCAGGACUUUCACUCUGAGGUCAAAUCCUCGGGACUGGACUUUCACUUCUUCUAUGUCUAGUGGGUCGCUGAUUGUUGUCACGACGACGCAAGUCUCCUCGUCCAAGUCGAUCGCAAUGUUCUUUUGGGGUCAGUCGUUCCCCUUGGGGAGAUCGACAGUGCGUAGAGACAUCAGUUUUAAUGAACUGACGGAAAUGUCCAGCCUGGAUGAGUGUUCUACUUUGUGUUUUAAUGUCUGGCAUCCUUCGGUUGUGUGACCGUAUUUACGAUGGUAUUGACAACGUUUGGACGUGUCGGUAUUCCAUGGAGUUUGUGAUGGCCUUAAUGCUGGAAUCAAUUCGGCUUGUAGAGCGUCAUCUAAAAUCUUUCCUCUUGGAACAGUCAGAGGAGUAUAAUUACUAAACUGAGGUCCUUGGUUUUCUCUAAAACAAUCCAUCCGGUCGAACAUGGGUCAGUUGCUUUUUUCCUUUUCUUUUCCUUUGUUAGUGUUUUCAGCUUGAUGAUUCCUAUGAUAAUCAAUAUGUUCUUCAAUUUGCAUGAGUUUGGUUGCUCGAUUCCGCAGUUCGUCCAUAUUUUUGGCUGGUCUUUUGAUUAGGCUUUCGGUGAAUCGGCAUGGUCGAAUUGCCCCGACCAAAUGGUGCAUAGCUAUCUCAGGGUUUAAGUUUCUGAUGUUCCUACGUACCUUGCUAAAUCUAUCCAUGAAUGCCACAGGGACUCUUCUCUCUCUUGCUUUACAUUUAGAAGGGAUAAGGAGGACGUGUGAUGGGGUCGACUGGUUGCAUACUGCAUGAUGAACUUUGAGGUUAAAAUCUUAAAGUUUGCCGCUGAGUGGGGAGGUAUCAUGUAAAUCAGUUGAGUGGUCCUUCUUGUAGAGUGGUUGGAAAUGCUUUGCACCAGACUGCCUUGUCUGUUGUAUAUAGGGUCAUUUGGGUUUUGAAGACAUUCAGAUGUACAUAUGAGUCAGUCGAACCAUCAUAGAGCUUGAUAUUUAGACCUUUCCACUUAGCUGGGAAUGGUGUAUCAAUUAUUUCAUCUGUAAAAGGGUUGCCCCUCAUGUCUUCUUCAUUAUCUGGAGUGGUAGGCAUUAUGGAGCUUUGGUGGGUUUGACGAGUCUGGAGAGUAGGUGGAGGCUGUGGAGUAUGGUGAGUCGAAGUGGUCUGACUAUUCGGUGGUGCCUGGUAUUGUCCUUCUCGUUCAUAGUGUUCAAGUCGUUGUUGCAAGCAUCUAUUUUGUUCUUUUAGUUGAGACAUUUCUUCUUCGUAUUGGCGUUGGUUUUCUUCAUUGCGUAGCUGGUCCGCAAUACCUUUUUGACGCAACUCCUCCAUUUGUGCUUGAAGGGCUCUAAUCAUGGCUGCUUGUUCGUCCGACAUGCGGUCGAUGGCGUUAUUCCUUGUUGAUACCAUUGUUGAUCGAUUUGCGGUAGGAGAUUAAAAUUGCUACUUCGAACCCACGGUGGGCGCCAAUUGAAUCUGUACUGGGAAUGAGGGGCCUACAUAGCCCUUUGACAGUUAACACAGUUGCUGACGUACCAGUGAUCUUUGAUUUACUUCAAGCUUCCUUCCUUCGCUAUUGGUGUUCCGCCGGUCGAGGUACCUACGAUUGCAAUCUGACAUUUAAGUCAGUGCUAGGAUUUAUGUAUGUUCUGGUAGAAUAUGAAAAAUGUACCUCACUCUUGAACCAAGGAUUCUAUUUAUAAUGUUGACUCAUGCACUUUUACCUCUAUUUAUGGAAGGGGCCCCAACACCAAUCCAUUAAAAGGCCACCAAACAUCUCAAAUUGAGGCAACCACUAGAGUUAUGGUCAAGAGGGUUCAAGAGGACGCAUUUUACAUGCCAUAAACUCUAGUGUAGAAUAGUUUUUAAAUUCUUGUAAAAAUUAGCAUAGGAAUUUUAUUCGUAAUUUUUCCUUAGAUGAAAUAUGUCACCUAAAAACUAACCUUAGUUAAAUUAGGAUUUCUAAAACACCUAAUUUUAACCAAGGCACAUUUUCCACAUAUUCCAUAUUUAACAUGUGCUAAAUUUUUUCCAUCACAUGUUAAAUAUGCUACAUGUGCUCCAUGUGCUAAGUGUAAAAUAGGCGCCACUUUUAAGUUCUUUUUCAUUUGAAAUUCCCUCCAAUUCUCUUGUUCAAAUCCAGCCCUCACUUGCUAUAUAAUGAGGUGUUUGGGUCAUGUAAAUUCAAGAUUAAUAUACUUAGUGAAUUGCUGCCAAAUUGUGCCAAUUUCACUUCUUGCCCAAAACCUCCUAGGUUAGGCUUUUAAUCUUCAUAAACUUCCCCUUUCCAAGUAGAGUUGGCCUCACCACUCUCAAAUCCUACCUCUCAUGCACCUUCAAGGUCACCACCACUCCUAGGAGGACCUUGCUUCAUCUUCAAUCCAUGAUGCUUUCGCCAUUCACCAACAAAUUCCGAAAAUAUGAAGGUACAUCUCCAUCAUUUGGUAUCUAGAGUCAUGGUCUUCAAGAGCUAAGUGCCUUAUUUCAUUUUAAUUUUUGUGUUCAUCUUGUUUUCGUGUUGUUCUUCAAGUUUUCCUUAUUGUCUUGCUGUUUUUUACAUUUUAAUUUGAUUUAGGUGCUGUUUGGAGAAAUCCAAUCGGUGCAUUGUGUUCAAAUUGUUCUUGAGCUUCUAAUUGUCAAAUUUGUGUAGGAUCCCAUAUAGAUUUGUGUUGCUGUUCUGUUUUUUGGUUUAUUUGAGUCUUAUUUGCAAUUCUAAUCGGUUCAUUGUGUGUUUUGAGUCAUUUUAAUUUUUGAAUCCAAUUGUGUUUUGUCUAGUCAUGUUUCUCCUAAAAUUGUCAUCAAUUCCAUGUAGUGUUGUUUUUGAUAAUUUUGGUUUCUUGAUUUGAUUUGAGUCCAGUUUUAUUUUGAGUUUGUUUGAUCCUUUGGUGCAUUUUUCUUUUUAAUUUUGAGUUCAUAUUUGUGUGUUAGAUCCAUACAAAUUCAUAUACAUCCAUUCCAUUGUGUUUUUGAAGUUUCUUCAAUCUGUUUUUAAUUCCAGAAGUGUCUAUUUUUUUUAUUAUGAAAUUAAAAUACGUUGAAGAAAAAAUAUGUUGGAUCUAUACAGAUUAAUGUAUUAUAAAAUCAAGAAAAAAAAUCAGAUCAAAACACAAUAGAAAAAAAAAUGAUAAAUCAAACAAAAAAUGUGUACAUCGUGGCGCCAACAGAAUCUGUAAUUUGACAAGAAUUUUGAAAAAUUUAUCACAAUUAUUUGGUGCAUAAUUUUGGUGUGAUUCCAGCGCCAAAAGUUUUCUAAGACCUUGAAUUGUUUGUGGUUCAAAUUUCAGAAUCAGAUUUCAAAUAGCCAGCUCAGCAUAAAUUUUAUAAGUCAUGCUUUUUGUACCUAAAAUUUCCGGUAGUACUGUUUUGAUUUUUUUUUAAUAAUUUCUAGUGUCAUUCUCUUGGUUCAAUUUGUGUGCUACCUUUUGUUGAGUGCCUUCUUGUCAAAUUUAUUCAAUAUUCCUUCUAGUUGUGUCCUAUAAAUCAAUCAAUUUGUUGUUGUCCUAUUUUUUAAAUUUGAAUUGUUCUUUGCUUUAACUUCUUGACCUCUAAUUGUUGGUGAACAAAAAUUCAAAUUGGUGCUUGUUAAGUUGGAAUUAACCUUGUGGUGAGUCCAUCCCUACUUAGUAGGUACUGUUUUGAAGAUUUUAAUUUGCUAAUCAUAAGAGGUUAAGGCAAGGAGCUGCAGCAAAUAUAAAUACAAAAAUAUACACAUCAAGGAAGAUCAACCACAAGCCAAAGAGUGCAUAGUUAAGGAAAUCUGAGUUUUAUUUUGUGUAAUUAAAUUUCCUUUGUAUUUCCUUUGAGUUGUAAUUACAUUCAACUUUGAUUAAUUAGUGGAAUAAUUACGUGUAGACGGUGAGUGUGUCUUCAAUGACUCCAAGUGUCUAGAAGCCUCACCUUAGGAUUCGUCUAGUUUAAAGUUUUUUAGUUAGCAAUCUUUAAUUUGUGCUUAGUUAAUUGUUUUGCUUUAAUUACUUGUUUUGUAUUGUUAAUUGCUUUGCAUUGUUUUCUUUGCAUAAAAUUGUGUUUUCAUUUCUACUUGUGAUUUACGUAGUUUACUUAAAAAAAGGUUUGUGACAAGUUUUGAGGGAUAGUUUUUGGCAAGGAAAGACUUGGUACUUAAGAAGUCCUAGUGACUCACCUCUCUUUCCUGGAAAGCUACCUUCACUACUAUCCUUAUCUUUUUUUAGGUAAAAUACUUAGAACACAAGUCUUUAACCAUGUCUUCUCCAUCUCGCAUUUCUAAUGAAAGUGAAGGAACCAUCCUUAAAAAUCUUUUGGAAAAAAUAGCACAAGGUGUUCAAGCACUUUCAUAUAGACAAAUACAAUAUGAGGCCCAAUUCAAAGAAAGUGAUACUCAUUUUUCUUUGAUGCAAGAAGAGUUGAAAAUGGUUAAAGAAAGGAAUGAAUACAACAAAUCAAAAAGAAGUUCUCAUGCAUCUAGCUCUAAGGUAGACAAUUCUUUUGGGAACAAAGCUUUAGAAUUAAUGAAUAUUAUCAACCACUCCCUAGGAGAGCUAGAAAAGAAAGAAAAGAAAGCACUAAGGAGGUUAGGGUAGAUCUACCUUAUUUCCAUGGGAAAGAAAAUGUAGAAGUCUAUCUAGAUUGGGAAAUGAAGGUAGAACAAUUGUUUGCUUGCCAUAGAGUAAGUGAAGAAAGAAAGGUACCCUUAGUCACCCUAAGUUUUCAAGAUAAUGUUAUGUAUUGGUGGAAUGCCCUUGGGAGAAAAAGGCACCUUCAUAAUGACCCUCCCAUAGAGUAUUGGAAUGAUCUUAGGGGAGCUUUAAGACACCGCCAUAUUCCCUCCUACCACAUUAGGAAGUCAAUGGACAAACUCCAAGGACUUCAUCAAAAAAAUCUAAGUGUAGAAGAAUAUUGGCAAAAGAUGAUGCUAUAUAUAAUAAGGGCAGGGAUUAAUGAGGACAACCAUACCACCAUAUCUAGGUUUUUAAGUGGUCUCAAACUUGAGAUAAGAAACAAAGUUGAACUUUUACCCUAUAAAGAUUUAAAUGACUUGAUUCAACUUAGCAUUAAAGUUGAAAAACAAAUUUUGAGAAAACAAUCAAGUCAAAAACAAAGUUCAAACUCUGUAUCUUAUGACAAGAAAGAGGUCCAAAGAGGGGAAGAGCAUAUAAAAGAAACAUCUCUAGAACCUUCCCAAAACCUACCCAAAUACGUGCAUAUCUCACACACUCAAACUAGAGAAAUUCCAUGUUUUAAAUGUUUUGGUAAUGAUCAUUUAGCAUCUCAGUGUUCCAAUGAAAUCUAAGGCAAUGUCUCAUGAACUCUAUACUCUUUUACCUUUUGAAAAUGUUCCAUGGGAAGACAUAAGCCUAGAUUUUAUAUUAGAGCUUCCUAGGACAACAAAAGGUUUUGACUCCAUUUUUAUGGUUGUGGAUAGGCUCUUCUUUAGAGAAGCGGUAAGAUGUCAUGGAUUACCUAAAAGCAUAGUUUUGGAUAGAGGUCCAAAAGUUAUAGGCCAUUUUUUUAGGACUCUUUUGGGGAAAUUUGGAACUAAGUUGAGAAUUUCAAUUUUUAGUCAUCCUCAAACGAAUGGUCAAAACAAAGUUGAAAAUAUAGCUUUUUCUACUAUGUCUAGGAUAAUCAUGAGAGACAACCACAACUCUAGGGAUGAGUAUCUUUUCCAUAUUGAGUUUGCAUACAAUAGAGUAGUUCACAAGACUACCAAUAUUUCCCCAUUUGAAGUUGUAUAUGGAUUUAACCCUCUUACUCCUUUAGAUUUGUUACCCUUUCCUAACCCACAAACUUUUGUGCAUAAGGAAGGCGUUACCAAAGCUGAAUUUGUUAAAAAAAUGCAUGAGAGGAUUAAAGAACAAAUACAACAACAAAUAGAGAAAUAUUAUGAUAAGUUGUCAAAAACAAUAGAAAAACAAAAAGAAUGGCAACUUAAUAGAAUUGAUUUUUAUACAACUCCUCAAACUAACACAUUUGCUUUGUUUGAUGAUUCCCAUAGAUGGACGUUUGAUCUGGGAGGACGAGCAUAGUUGUCAAAGUAAGAGUCUGCUAUCCGAGAUCGACCUGUGGAUCUGAGGAUACAUUUUCUCAAGAAGGAGGAGAUAAUGGACACCAUCCAGACACAUACAUCCCCCUACUAAUGACGAGGACGAAGCCUUGGAUUUGAGGACAAAUCCUUUUCAAGAGGGAGGGGAUGAUGGAAGGGGCCCCAACACCAAUCCAUUGAAAGGCCACCAAACAUGUCAAAUUGAGGCAACCACUAGAGUUAUGGUCAAGAGGGUUCAAGAGGACGCAUUUUACAUGCCAUAAACUCUAGUGUAGAAUAGUUUUUAAAUUCUUGUAAAAAUUAGCAUAGGAAUUUUAUUUGUAAUUUUUCCUUAGAUGAAAUAUGGCACCUAAAAACCAACCUUGGUUAAAUUAGGAUUUCUAAAACACCUAAUUUUAACCAAGGCACAUUUUCUACAUAUUCCAUAUUUAACAUGUGCUAAAUUUUUUCCAUCACAUGUUAAAUAUGCUACAUGUGCUCCGUGUGCUAAGUGUAAAAUAGGCGCCACUUUCAAGUUCUUUUUCAUUUGAAAUUCCCUCCAAUUCUCUUGUUCAAAUCCAGCCCUCACUUGCUAUAUAAUGAGGUGUUUGGGUCAUGUAAAUUCAAGAUUAAUAUACUUAGUGAAUUGCUGCCAAAUUGUGCCAAUUUCACUUCUUGCCCAAAACCUCCUAGGUUAGGCUUUUAAUGUUCACAAACUUCCCCUUUCCAAGUAGAGUUGGCCUCACCACUCUCAAAUCCUACCUCUCAUGCACCUCCAAGGUCACCACCACUCCUAGGAGGACCUUGCUUUAUCUUCAAUCCAUGAUGCUUCCGCCAUUCACCAACAAAUUCCGAAAAUAUGAAGGCACAUCUCCAUCAUCUAUGGGCUGGAUCUUUAGUUGACAACUAACAUGCAUAGUGAUUUCCUAAAAACAGUGGAGUGUAUUUCUCAGUUUGAUUGGUUUUUAUCAUUAUAUUUCCGGUGGCUUUUGGGUUUUGUCUGAUCCACCUGUCAACUACGAGCACAGGUGGCGUGGAUGGAACACAACCGUUGCCGAGCAAAAAUCAGAUUAUGAAAACUUGCAGAACUUACUCACUUCAAUGUGCUUUACAUUGUACAAUAAAAAGGAGGACAUUGUUGUAUGGCAGAAGGCUAAGGAUAAUAGUUGCUAUUUGAAGCUUCCUAAAGAGACCUACCCACCAAAGUGUGAUGACAAAAUAAGUUGCUUCCUACAAGAAGUUGCUGCUUGAGCUUGGCACUGACAAAAUAAGAAAUGUGAUGGACAUGAAUACAGUGUGUGGAGCUUUUGCUGCACCUUGAUCAAUGAUCCCCUUUAGGUCAUUUAUGUGGUCUCAUCUUAUGGUCCCAACACACUCCCUGUGGUUUAUGAUCGAGGCCUUAUUGGAACCUUCCAUGAUUGGUAAGUUUGAACUUUUCAUUAUCAACCAUAAGGUUAUUACUUAUGAAUGUCUUUGUGUCAUUUCCUAUGGUAUGAUAUUUAUUUGAAUUUUAUUAUUUCAUAGGUGUGAGGCUUUCUCAACCUAUCCUCGAACCUAUGAUCUCCUUCAUCUUGAUGGAUUCUUCAGUGCAGAAAACCACAGGUGAAUAUGUAAACUUGUUUACUCUCAUUAGUAACUCAAAUAUGGACUCACUCUAAACUUCGAUUAUUGAAUAUGUUUCUGACAAUAGUUGUUCCUUAACAGAUGUGAAAUGAAGUAUGUGCUGUUGGAGAUGGACCGAAUUUUAAGACUUGGUGGCCAUGCUAUCAUUCGAGAGUCCACUUAUUUUGUGGAUGUUGUUGCAACUAUUGGGAAGGGCAUGCGAUGGAUGUACUGGUAGGCUAAAACCGAGAGGUUAAGCCGAAAGCUAAAUACCAAACAUAACCGAGAGGUUAUACACAAGUGUUGUGCUGAUAAGCUUUAGCCGAAAGCUAGAUACUACACAUAACCGAGAGGUUAUACAAUAAAAGAAUAAGACAAAAUAUAAAUAUUAUUAUAAUAAGGACCAAAUAAGAUAGAAACCUGCAUUAGGGGGUGCGUAAAUAAUAAAAUGGUGUGGAAAGAAAGUCCAAAGGUAAAGUGGAAAGCCCAUUAAAGAAAUCCUAUAAAUAGGAGGUUAACGUAAGAAAAAGGUAAGAGUGAUUUUUAUCUGAAAAACGUUAACCUAUUUCUGACUUUGGCAUCAGAGCGAUUUGCAGGUACACCCCCCAUCUGUGUGAAGGAGAAGCCGAGAGUACCCGCCGUAAGGAGAAGCCGAGAGCAGCCAACGUGAGGAGAAGCCGAGAGUAGCCGAUGUGAGAAGAAGCCGAGAGUAGCCAAUGUGAGGAGAAGCCGAGAGUAUCUGCCUUGAGGAGAAGCCCAGAGAGUCCAUCCCAAGAUUGGAAGAUUUGUAUAAGAGUUAAUCUUGUCAACCUGAUUCCAGUGUUCUUGGUCCCUAUUGUAAGAACAUUUUGGCGCCCACCAUGGGGCCGAGAAAUAGUUGAAAAAGGUAGAAGACAAGAUGAAUCAAAGAGAAGAACAAGGAGGGGAGCAGGCAGAUGAUGUUAGCAUGCCAAUGACAAUGUUGGUACAGCUACAGAAAGAGUUUGAGAUGUUAAAAAAAAGUAAUGAAGAAGAGCUAAGUGUGUUAAGAGCCGAAAAUGCACUCAUGAGGAGAAAGUUACAAGAAGAAACAGUUUUGAACUCAUCCUUUGAAACCGUUGAGCUGAGAGCACAAGUGAAUGAGAGGAUUCAUCAUAAUGAAAGUUCCCAAACAAAAAGAAGAUUGCUCGAAAAUUCUGAAGUUUUCGCAGCGGCAUCUUCAAGAAAACAUCCCUUAUAUGACGUUAUAGUUGAUACUCCACUACCUGACAAUUGGAAAAAUAUGACUAUUGACAAAUAUGACGGAAGCACAGACCCUGAUGAACAUAUCGCAAUAUAUACCACACAAAUUAGUUUAUAUACAUGGAACGAUGUUGUUAUGUGCAGGGUGUUCCCUACGACGUUGAGAGGUGCAACGUUAAGUUGGUUCACACGUCUCCCACCCUUAAGUGUAGACUGUUUUGAUACAUUGGUGGAAAAGUUUGGUGCUCAGUUCGCAACCAGUCGUCCUCAUCAUUUAACCUCGAUUGCCUUGGUAAACAUAAGGCAAGAGAAGGGAGAGUCGUUGAGGAUGUUCAUGGAACGCUUUGGAAGAGUUGCCCUGGGAAUUCGAAAUCUCAGCCCAGAGGUUACCAUGCAUCAUAUGAUAACAGUGUUGAAACCAGGACCAUUUGCUGACAGUCUUUGCAAGAAACCCGCGACCAAUUUGGAUGAGUUAAGACAACGAGCAUCGAAAUUCAUGCAAAUGGAAGAGUUGAGAGAGUUUUGAAAUCAAGUCAGGGUUGAUGGAGGUGAAAAGAAGGCGAUAGAAAGAGAAAGUGGACCUGUGGCUAGAAGAGCUAGAGAAGAAUUUAGAAGCCGAAAGUUCUAGCAAUACACACCUUUAAAUACGAACAGAACAAGAGUCCUGCAGGAAGCCAUGGCGGCAGAGAUAAUACCACCACCUAGAAAAGCAAGAACACCGGAAAGGGCAGACCACACUAAACAUUGUGAAUACCAUAAAAAUCAUGGUCAUCAUACAGAAGAAUGUAUUGGGUUGAAAGAUAGGAUAGAGGAAUUAAUUCAAGGUGGGCAGUUGAAACGUUUUGUUUGAGGAGGAAAUACAAGACUGAGGUUAAGUCCGGAGAGAGGUUUGAGAGGGGGUGAGAUAGGAGAGAGAAGGGUGGAGAGAUUUGAAAGAAGAGAAAAUAAAAGAGUAGAAAAGAGAUAUGAUAGAAGGGGUGGAAGGCCGGAAGGAAGAAAUGAUAGAGCUUAUCAAAACACGCAGUCAGUAAGGCGAAGUAGGGAGCGAAGUCUGGGAAGGCCUGUCAGGGGGUUCAUAAACACAAUUUCAGGUGGUUUCUCUGGAAAGGAAUCCUCAUCAGCAAGGAAACAACAUUGGAGAAGUAUCAGAACCAUUAAUCAUAUUUUCGAAAGAAGAACUUUGCCACCAAUGCUUUUUACAGAUGAAGAUUUUCAAGAAAUUGAUCCUGAUCACGACGACCCUAUGGUGAUAACGGUAGAAAUAGCCGAAUAUGCCGUCAUGAAAACCUUGGUUGAUUAGGGGAGUUCAGUUGAUAUUUUAUUUUGGGAUACUUUCAAGAGGUUGCAUUUAAGAGAAAAAGAUAUUGUACCUUUCCGAGAACAAAUCAUUGGCUUCUCGGGGGAGAGAGUUAGCACGAAAGGAUACGUUGAUUUGAUGACAACAUUUGGAAGAGGCAGUAAAACUAAAAAGAUCAAAAUCAGGUACUUGGUGGUGGAUGCUUCUACAUCAUACAAUGUGUUGUUGGGGCGAUCUUCUUUGAACAAGUUGGGAGCAAUAGUCUCAACACCACACUUAGCCAUGAAAUUUCCAACAGAGAAGGGGGAGAUAGCAACGGUUUAUGUCAAUCAAAAAGAUGCUCGAGAGUGUUAUGCAACGGGUUUGAAGAUGAAUUUGAAAGCAAAUAAAGAUACUGAAAGAAUGGUGGCAAUGGCAGAUUUGGACCCAAGAUUAAAUGACGAAAGGUUAGAACCAAAAGAAAAGACCACAACUGUGGUAUUGGGCCAGGACGAGAAGCAAUGCACUUAUAUAAGUGGAAGUUUGCCCGAAGAAUUGUUGAACAAACUCAUCACAGUGUUACGCAACAACAAAGACUUAUUUGAUCCAGAGGUAAUUUGUCACAAAUUGUCUGUGUGUCGAGAAGCGAGACCGGUAUCUCAAAAACAAAGAAAGUUGGGAGAAGAAAGGCGAAAGGCAGCAAUUGAAGAAACCGAGAAGUUGAUGCAAGCUAGUUUCAUUAAAGAGGCUCAGUACACGACAUGGUUAUCCAAUGUGGUACUUGUUAAGAAACCGAAUGGAAAAUGGAGAAUGUGUAUAGACUAUACAGACUUGAAUAAAGCCUGCCCGAAAGAUACAUAUCCAUUACCCAACAUAGACCGAUUGGUAGAUGGGGCGUCUGGACAAGAGAUGAUGAGCUUUCUCGAUGCCUAUUCAGGGUAUAAUCAAAUACAAAUGUAUGAACCGGAUAUUCCAAAAACAACUUUCACCACAGAUACUGCAAAUUAUUGUUAUAAAGUCAUGCCUUUUGGUUUGAAGAAUGCUGGAGCAACAUAUCAAAGCUUGAUGGACAAGGUGUUCAAAGAUCAAAUUGGAAAGAACAUGGAAGUUUAUGUUGAUGAUAUGGUUGUGAAAUCAGAAGAGGUAGAGAAACAUUUGGAAGACCUUGAGGAAGUGUUGGCACGCAUAAGAGAGUACAAUAUACGUCUCAAUCCAGAAAAAUGCAUUUUCAGCGUCAAAGGUGGAAAAUUUUUGGGCUUCAUGCUAACCAAUAGGGGAAUUGAGGCAAAUCAUGAUAAAUGCGAAGCAAUAAUGAAGAUAGGAAGUCCAAAAAACUUGAAGGAAGUGCAAAGACUAGUUGGAAAGCUAAACUCAUUGUCAAGAUUUUUACCAAUAUUGGCAGAAAAAACUAAACCGAUAGUAAACCUGUUAAAAAAAUUCGAAACCUUUGAGUGGAGUGAGAGGUGUGAACAAGCCUUUUCUCAAAUCAAAAGUAUGGUAGCUGAACCACCAAUCUUAGUUAAACCUGUGUCAACCCAACCCGUCAUAGUGUACUUAACAACUUCAAAUGAAGCCAUAGGAGCAGCAUUGAUCCAAGAGAACCCGGAGCAAAAACCAAUAUAUUUUGUAAGUAGAUCCCUCCAAAAUGCCAAAACCAGAUACCCCAAGGUCGAAAAAGUUGCCUUAACACUGGUGUACGCCGCGAGACGUCUUCGGCCAUAUUUUCAUAAUCAUCAGAUAAUUGUGAGGACAGAUUAUCCAAUAUCUAAAAUUUUGAGAAAACCAGAACUUGCAGGUAGAAUGGUGACAUGGUCAAUGGAGCUUUCAGAAUAUGGAAUCAAAUAUGAACCAAGAGGACCAAUCAAAGCCCAAUCCCUUGCAGAUUUCAUCAUCCAGAUGCCGACAACAGCACAACAGGAACAGUGGACAUUAUAUGUAGAUGGCGCGUCAAGCAAAAAAGGAAGCGGAGCAGGGAUAGUACUUGAAGGACCAGACAACUUCCAAAUAGAGAUGGCAUUGAGAUUCGAGUUCAGAACAUCCAACAACCAAGCCGAAUACGAAGCUCUUGUUGCAGGAUUAUUAUUGGCCAGAGACAUGGGAGUCGAAAAUGUCAUUUGCAAAAGUGACUUUCAACUCUCAGUGGGACAGGUACGAGGAGAUUAUCAGGUAAAAGAUCCAUUAUUAAUGCAAUAUUAUCAUAAGGUAUUAAAUAUUAUGCAAUGCUUCAAUAAGGUCGAAAUAAAAUAUAUUCCGAGAGAAUUGAAUAUGAAAGCAGAUUCAUUAUCCAAAUUAGCAAGUCAACAACGACAACUACAACAUAACUCAGUCAUACAACAAACCCUCAGUCAUCCGACAGUUGGUUUAGAGGAAUGCUUCCAUAUUGCAACAUCAAAAGAUGAAUGGAUAAAAACAUAUAUAGAAGUGAUAAAGAACCAAGAGCAAGGUGUUGAACUGGAUACAAAAAUGACAAAGAAUGUGGCUAGUUUUGUCUUAAUUGGAGAUGAACUCUACAAAAGAGGACAUUCAAUGCCUUUGUUAAAAUGUCUCUCAAAAGAGCAAGCUCAGUAUGUAGUGAAAGAACUUCAUGAAGGAAUUUGUGGAUUACACUGUGGAGCUCGGACAAUGGCAACAAAAGUUUGCAGAGCCGGAUAUUACUGGCCAACACUCCGAGAAGAUUGCGAAAUCUAUGUUAAAACAUGCAAGAAAUGUCAAGAGUUUGGAAGUUUAAAUCAUAUACCAGCACAAGAGUUGCAAGGAAUUAUUUCUCCAUGGCGAUUUGCAAAGUGGGGAAUUGAUAUACUUGGUCCAUUUCCACUUGGACGAGGACAACCUAAGUUCAUGAUAGUAGUUGUAGACUACUUUACAAAAUGGAUAGAAGCAUUGACUAAGAUAACAGCUCAGCAAGUUCAAACGUUUGUAUGGAAAAAUAUAAUAUGUCGAUUUGGAAUCCCACACACCAUUAUAACUGACAAUGGCCGACAAUUCAUUGACAAAAAACUUAUGGAAUUUUAUGCAGAUUUGGGGAUCAAGUCAACAAACACUUCAGUUGAACAUCCGCAAACGAAUGGACAAGCAGAAGCUGCAAACAAAGUUAUUCUCAGACAGUUAAAGAAGAGGUUAGGAAGCGCUAAAGGUUUAUGGGCAGAGAAGUUGCCAAAGAUAUUAUGGGCUUAUAGGUGCACACCACAAACUUCAACUGGUGAAACACCAUUCAAUGUCACAUACGGAACGGAUGCAAUGCUACCCGUAGAAGUAAAUGAACCAACACUACGAAGGCAAAUAGAGGACAGGAAUAUUAACAAUGAAUGUUUGAGGACCGACCUUGAUCUUAUUGAAGAACUUAGAGAGCGAGCAAAAAUAAAAGAGGCAGCAGUAAAGAGAAGAGCGAUGAAGAGGUUCAAUGUGAAAGUAAAAUUAAGAGACUUUAAAGAUGGGGAUUUGGUAUGGAGAAUGCGAACUAAUGCACGAAAAGAUCCGUGACAUGGAAAGCUGGCAUCUAACUGGGAAGGUCCGUUCAGGGUAUUAGAAAAUUUGCAAAAUGGAGCUUAUAGAUUAGAAACUUUGGAAGAGAAAGUGAUAUCAAGUGACAAUUUAUCUCGUUCACUUUCAUUUAUUCGGUCUUGGAUGAUUUCACUCCACGUGAAAACCCACCCGAAAAAACAUCUACUCAUAAUACCUUCGGUCUUGGAUGAUUUCACUCCACGUGAAAACCCACCCGAAAAAACGUAUAUUCAUAAUACCUUCGGUCUUGGAUGAUUUCAUUCCAGGUGAAAACCCACCCGAAGAACACAUACUUAUAUUGCUUUCGGUCUUGGAUGCUUUCACUUCAAGUGAAAUCCCUCCCGAAAGAAUAUUGCCUAAUAAAACCAUUGGUCCUAAAUGUUUACAAUUCAAGAGAAAUUCCUCCCCAGCAAAAAUUUUUCAUAUAAUUCUUUCGGUUUCAAAUGCUUUCACUUCAGGUAAAAUCAUUUCAUGUAAAUACUCUUGCCAUAAACUAUUAUCUCGUGAUCCAACAUAAUUGUUGAAUAGUGAUGCCGAAAAAACAAAUAGCGAAUGUUUGCUACAUCGAAUAAAUUAGACUAACAUAUACUUCACAACAUAAUAAGCCGAAUAUUAAAGCCGAAAACGUGAGACAAAAGUAUUUUCGAUCGAAAGAAUAAAUCACAAUCUAAAUCACAAGGAAGUUGUUUUCUUUCGGUUAAACUAAAAAUCAAUACUAAAACCGAAAGGUGGUCUCAGUGCUUUAAAAUAAAAAACCGAAAGGUAAUCUCAGUGCUUUGAAGUUAAAAAAACCGAAAGGUAGUCUCAGUGCUUUGAAGUUAAAAAAACCGAAAGGUAGUCUCAGUGCUUUGCAGUUAUAAAAACCGGAAGGUAGUCUCAGUGCUUUGAAAACCGAAAGGUGGUCUCAGUGCUUUGAAGUUAUAAAAACCGAAAGGUAGUCUUAGUGCUUUGAAAACCGAAAGGUAGUCUUAUUUUAAGGUUAUCGAAAUUGAGAAGUAUAGUUAAGCACUCGUAACCAAAAUAUGGCAUUUAAAACAUUUUCAAUAAAAUAAUCGAAAGAUUAAGCAUCGAGAGGUUAAAACCGAGAGGUUUAUCGUAACAUUUAUUUGUAACUGAAAAACAAAAUUAAUCAUGCAACCGAGAGGCACGACCACGAGUUCAAUAAUAGCCGAAAAAUGAGAAACAUAAAGUAAUAUCCAAUAAAUAACAAACAAAAUAACACAAAUUAAAAAGAAACCGAUAAGCUUUAUACGUACUAAGGUUUCAAAAAAGGGAUUACAUUAAGAAUGCAAAUAUUCAUACAUGGAUCAGCAUUCCAAAACAAAUUCACUCUCGUUAACUAAACCGAGAGCUAUAAACAAAAAUAAGAGCAUAUAUCCGUCUAGCUCUCAGCAUCAACAUCAUCAGCAUCAUCCUCAAAAAUUUCAUUAACAGGUACUAAGUUACCAUUAUAGAAAUCUUUCAUGACAUCAAAAUUGCCUUCAUCUAUAGGAAUCUUGUAGAAAUACUUUGCCUGUGCCAAAGCCUUUACAAAGCCUAGCUUAUGCUGCGCCAAAAUAAAGUUUUGAGCUUCAAAAACAUCCACCUUCAACUGCUCAAUUUCAUCUUCCAUACCUUUAAUAGUGUUGGUAUUACAAUCCUUCACCGAAGAUAACUCCGAAACUUUCUUCUCAAGAAGUUGAUUAUUAUUACGAAGAUCAUUGAUUUCUUCACCAAUUUUUGAACUCGCAACCUUCAAAUCCGAAACUUGUUUCUCAAGAUUUUCUUAUUCUAUCCCUUGUUGCUUGCUCUGCAAACUCAUCUCUUCCAAUUGCAAACUUAGUGCAGCAUUUUUCUCAUUACUCUCGGCAAAAUCAUUCUUUAAUUUUUCAAAUUCAGCAAGAGUCACACAAUUGCCAUUCUUUGCUUUCAGCAUUUUACCAAUCAAAAGCGUCCUACUUGAAAGCUCGAUGAUAGAAUCAGCUAAAGAAGCAUAGUCCUCAGCUUUCAACAGGUUGUAUGAAAACUCAGUAAACGAAGUUUGAACAAACUUGGCAUACUUCAUAGAAGCACCAAAAAUGGAUUCGGGAAGAGGCUCAGUUGAAAUAUCCUCACAAUGACGAUGGCGUCGAGAAGAAGAAUGUGAUUUUUUGCUACUUCUACCACGUUUCUUGGACUUUUUCGAAGGACCAGCAACAUGGUCAUCCUUCGCAGUUUCAGGGGCUUCAGUACGAGAAGGAGGUUCCGCAGUUUCCACCUCCAAUACCGGAUUGACCACAUUUUUAUGCCGCGGAGUAACAUCGCCAGUUCUGUUAAGAAGUUUUGUAAAAUAUGAACGACCUUUCGGAUCGAUGGCCGCCAUUAAUGCUGAAAACCAAUGAAAAAUUUAGCAAAGUUAAAAACCUCAUGCUAUAAAACAAGAAAAAAUCGAAACAAUCACAUACCGAUGAAAUCCUCUUGCGGACUCUUCGAAGUAUAUAACUGUAGUAAAGCGCGAGUGGGAAUCCGAUACGAGAAAUGACCAAAAACUUCAAUAACACGACGAUCAGCAGCAUUCAUCGAGUGGCACGACCACGAAUUGAACCUUAAUGGAUCUUGCGUCCAAUACAAGGGAAAUUUUGGAGUGUCCCCAUCAAAAAAACACUCUCUUCCUUCGGGCUCUAUUAGGAUCUUGAAAAAAUUUCCUUUAAAAUCCUUAUAUGACGACGUAAAAGGCUUAAGAAAGCAAAUAUCAGACUUACUAAUCAAAGACAACCAACUCGGUCGUUUACCUGGCUGAGAGCUAUAAUAAUACAAAAAAGAUCUAGGGCUGGGAGAGAGUGACAACAAUUUACACAAAAUACUAAAAGCUUGCAUUGAUGCCCAACCAUUAGGAUGAAGCUGGGUGGGAGCAAUAUUAAGAAUGUUAAGAACGCCCAUUUGAAAAUCAUUCAAGGGCAAUCGAAUAUGGAGGUCCCUAAAAAAGCAAGCAUAAAAAUAAAAAAAAUCGUUGUUAUCGCCCUCUCGACCAUGACAGACAUUAUCAACAUCACCCACACGCCGAAAGGAAAUUAUAUCAUUCUCAAAAUCAGAAUAAUCUGAGAAUUAGAAACAAAAUCACGAAGCUCAUUAGCAGAGCGAUAUCGAGAGAAGAAGUCUCGGACCUUAGGAUUAACCCAGUUGUAACCUGGACGAAGAGUCUUCCUUGGAGAAAUCAUUCUAACUCUUUCGGCAACAGUUGCGAUAACGACAUCAUUUGAGUCUUUCAUACAAAAAAGGGUAGCAGAAGAAGACUUUGAUUCAAGAUCUUGUUCUCCUCGUACCACUCGACCAGUGGACUCACCACCCGCGCUUGAAAAAUCACUCAGAUCAUCUGAACUAGAAGAAGAUUUCGGAUUAGACAUUGUUACCUUUGAAGAAAGAAGACUUCAAACGUCCUAGCUCUCCGCAAACAAUACAAACCGUAGAAAAUGAUAACAGCUUGAAUACAUUGCCUAUUUAUAAUAUAAACAAAACCCUAGAUACUGAAAAGUCACAACCCUUCCAAGCCGUUCAAAAAAUCAAUCAUCUAAGGGUUCAAAGAGUCUUGAUGUCAAAUCAUUCAGUCUGAGAAAGCAAAACACAGUAAACGAGGCAUUUAAUUCAAAUCAAAUCAUAUCUCAAAACCAUAAUUUUAGACAUAAACAAUUUUAUUUUAUUUCUUAAAACCUUUAAAUUAAAUUCUUUAUGCCUAGGGGGCCAGUGUACUGGUAGGCUAAAACCGAGAGGUUAAGCCGAAAGCUAAAUACCAAACAUAACCGAGAGGUUAUACACAAGUGAUGUGUUGAUAAGCUUUAGCCGAAAGCUAGAUACUACACAUAACCGAGAGGUUAUACAAUAAAAGAAUAAGACAAAAUAUAAAUAUUAUUAUAAUAAGGACCAAAUAAGAUAGAAACCUGCAUUAGGGGGUGCGUAAAUAAUAAAAUGGUGUGGAAAGAAAGUCCAAAGUUAAAGUGGAAAGCCCAUUAAAGAAAUCCUAUAAAUAGGAGGUUAACGUAAGAAAAAGGUAAGAGUGAUUUUUAUCUGAAAAACGUUAACCUAUUUCUGACUUUGGCAUCGGAGCGAUUUGCAGGUACACCCCCCAUCUGUGUGAAGAAGAAGCCGAGAGUACCCGCCGUAAGGAGAAGCCGAGAGCAGCCAACGUGAGGAGAAGCCGAGAGUAGCCAAUGUGAGAAGAAGCCGAGAGCGGCCAAUGUGAGGAGAAGCCGAGAGUAUCUGCCUUGAGGAGAAGCCCAGAGAGUCCAGCCCAAAAUAGGAAGAUUUGUAUAAGAGUUAAUCUUGUCAACCUGAUUUCAGUGUUCUUGGUCCCUGUUGUAAGAAUAAUGGAUAUGUUGCAAAGAAAAGACUGAGUAUGGAGUUGACAAAGAGAAGGUUUUGAUAUGCCAGAAAAAGCUAUGGCCUUCAUCCAACACAGGUUCAAGAUGACAAACUCUGGAACCUCUGGAGUGGCUAGAAUCGUAAAUCCAGAAGCAGAAGUUAAGGGAACGACUUCAGAGCCACCCUCUACAAAACAUUGAUUCAUUCUAUAAUUUAAGUCAAGAAUCGGUCGAUUUCAUUUAUCAGAUGGAAAAUUGGUAACUCAAUAAUCUGAUUUUGCUAAGUUAAUUAUAUAGAAAAUUUUCAUAUAGAUACUAUUCUUUAUAUGGCAUCAAUUGUAUCAGGUAUCUCUCGUAUACCUACUUUGUUGUUGUUGUGUAAUAUCUAGUGAACUCAUGUGAAAAAAUAGAAGUUUUGAAUUCUACAGAAAGCAUAUGAUCUGCUACUAUUCAUGAAUUGGAAUUCCUUAACAGAGAAAAUACAAUGUGUUGUAUUAAUGCUGGGUAGUAUUACAUUAGUACUCUAUGAUAAUUUAAAAUUGAAUGUCGUAUUAUAAAGAUUUUUAUUAAUAACAGCAUAAGCAUGUAACAUAAAAACCAUAAACCGGUGAGAGCAGAACAAUUUUUCUUUUUUUUCCGCAAUAAUAUCGUAUAUAUAGUCAUAUGAUUCAUUCAUAUGAAAGUGAAAUUAUUAUCGCUGUCUUCCAAAUUACAAUACACAGUUUCAAGAAGAUAAUUCUCCACUUACGCUGUAUGUUAUUUUGGGUGUAUAAGUUGAUAUUUGCAUUUUCUUUAAUCAAUGGAAGAGUGAAGAACCUUCUUGUUUCUCGUAUGACUCGCAAAUUUCAUUUUCAUGGUACGGAGAACAUCAGGUUCAGGUAAUUUCAAAUUUGUGUUUCACAAAAAACAUUCAAAUAUAAUUAUCUACUACGGUAAAAAAGUACCUUUGAUGAUUGAUGGUUGAAUUUUACAAGUCCCUAAAUGUUAAAGUAGAUUAAGUCAAAAGAUUGUUUUACAUGUGAUUGAAAUUACAUAAAAUAGAAUAAGGCAACAUAGUCAUUCUAUAAGUAGAAAUGUUUCUAAGCUUAAAAUGUUACAAAACAUUAAGAGGAUAAGAUUUCAUGGUUGAAGAAAAAUACAUUUGAGUAAAAUUUAGGAGUUAGUAUUGAAGGAGAUUCUGUGAGCUCAUAUAAGGAAUCAAUCACCUUUAAUGUUCUGACAUCCUGUAUGGAAUACACGUUAGAUAAAAAAACAAGUGAGCAAUGUAGUAAGUUUGGUCACAAAAAUCAUAUUCAAAGAAAAAUUUGACAAAUAUAAAAGUUGGGCCAAUGUGAGAUUUGGAGUGAGACAGACAUUUCUAUUUAAUAACUUGUGUAAAACAAAAUGAUGAUAAAUAAAAGUCCUACAAACAUACUUAAAAUCACAUCCACUAGCAUGCUGUCAUCGGAAACUUGCCCAUUGGCAAUUGGUAAGCAACCGUACGUCACAGUAAAAGAUUACCAACUAAAGUAAACGAAAUAAUCAUACCCAUUAUCAAAUACUUGUAUCGUGAAAUUUGACACUUCAUGAUGAGUGCUUAACAUCGAUUUGUGCCCAGAAAAUUCCGUUAUGUCCAGAAAAUUUACCAUUGAUUUGUGUCCAGAAAAUUUAACAUCGAUUUGUGCUUAACACCUAAUAGUCGUGUUUCUUUACCAUGAUAUAUCUUUGAUCAAAUUUUUAAUCGCAGAAUUUAAGACAAUCAGGACACUGCAAUUUCAUAUUCUGUAGUAGCUGUUUCUUCUUGCACCGGUUUUUUAGAUAAGGAUAUUCGCGUAUCCUUAAAGAAAACAAGUUGGUGAGUAGUUGAAUGCUACUCGGUAGUGACCUCAACUCUUCACAGCUAAAAUGAUAUAUAUGACAUAUAACAUUAUAAUAUAAGACUCAUCAAAUCAUUUCUUUUCCUGCCUACAAUCAUAUCAAAGAGUAAUUAUUAAUGGUCUAAGUCUUUCAUUUUUCUGCCAAAGUCAUUGAGAAAAUAGAGAUUCUUCUAUGUAAACAACACACUAGCUCUUAGUUAUUAAUAGAGCACUAAGCAAGCAAUUAGGAACGUACGCCAAUAACAUAAAUAAAUCCAGCUUAGUAUGUAAAUUUUAAACACAAUGGAGAUCUAAUAACUUCUCUGCAAAAAACCAAACAGUACAAGGUAGUGAUUGUUUGAUCUCUUCCAAACGAAAUAACAUCCUAGAAGUGUUCAUAUGAAUUUGGUAGAGCAUUAAAAAGAAUAUGAACUUAUCUUCAUUCUCCAGUUUCAUUUCAAGAUUCUCUAUAUGUGAAGGCACUGACAAAGGACAGUGGCAGAAGAAAUACAUAAGUGCAUCUUUACUUGGUUUUAAACCAACAAACUACCAACCAAAACCAUUUAUUAAAUUGCAAAUAUCUUCUGCUACUCGUAGCACCGCGACCAUACAAAACUUAGUAACUAGCCAUUUCUUAUCGAUAUGCUCUGUUUCUCAAAUGAUAUCUUGCCGCCUAGUAGAUAUAUCCUUGUAGAAUUGCACACACAAACAAUUAAAUCCAAAUUUUAAGCCUACGCAGUUAUUUUGAAUCAAAUUAAUGAGUGUCCAUACUAGUGUUAGUAAGCAAUUUUUUCAAAAUCAAAUUUUAUACAUGUUAAAUAAACCAUUCAAAAAUAGAAUUUUGUACAUGUUAAGCAAACAAUCACAAAUAUCUCUUACCACUUACACUUUCAAAACAAUUCAGUAAACAAUAUUUGAUCCUAAACAAAUUCAAAACCAAUUUUAUACCAAUUUGCUCUUGCAUCCAAUUCUAUAUACAUUGAGAUAGCUACAUUCAUCAUGUAUUUUAUUCAUGAAAAACUUGCCCUCAUUUUCCAAUGCCUGUAUUUAUGUUGUCCAAUGUUUUAUUCUGUACUUUGCAUUUUCUGCAUUGCACUACAUUUAUUUUGUUUCAUGGGUAACUUUGCACCUACUGCAUUGCAGUGCCAGUGAUCUUGGUGCACUUCAGCAACUCUUGGUUGAUCAACCAAUGUCCAGACAGAAGAAGGUAUGCUAGAAUUAUCUGUGGGGUAGUAGAAGUUAUGUUUUAAUCAUUAAAUAAAAAAUGGAUAUAAUCAUUAAAUAAAAAAUGGAUAUGCAUGUCAACGCCAUUAAUUUCAACUAAUACUUAUGAUAAUCAUUAGGAAUGCUUCACUUGGCCUCUUAAUGCUUCUAGGACCUCCUAUAUGAUCUUUAGAUCACUGUUGGAGCAUUGAUAAUUUUUUAUUUAUUUUGAAUUGAGCAUUGUUAAUGAAUAGAAUCUACUACUAUACUAUAUUUACUUACGAAAUCUGGAUUGCUAUAUUUAGACAUUAUAAGAUGUCAAAUUUAAUUCAACGUUUUUAAAGUAAACUGGAGUUCGUAAAAUUAUUUUGUUUAAGGAAUUUAUAAACUAAAACUCUAAAAGUCUGGUGCUACCCUUAUUCUGUUUUCAUUCUGGCAAUCACGUUUUAGGCUUAUUAAUACUGCUUACCCUUAAUAGCUUGGUAGGCAGGGCAUUAUGGUUUCAACUCAUGCUCUAUGAAACUAGAAAAAGAAAAACAAAACGGUGAAAGUUACAACUUGUUUCUUAUUCAGAUAAUAGUUCUACAAUCAUUUUUUAUUUAGUUCCUCUCCUAAAUUUGUUUAUUUUAUCCUUGUUUCAAUCUUGAUUUCAGUAAUUUGGGAAGUCUAGGCUUGCAAGUGGCCAGAUUAGUCUUUUGUCAGAUUUGGUAAGCCUGUAAGUAUCAGCAGCCAAAUUUUAUAUAUGGUAGUCUUCUUUCACAUGAUGUGGUUAAAUUGAUAUCUGGUUGUCAUGUUAUAAAAAUAAGUAUAGUUUCCAUUAUUAUUAUGUUCUCAUUAUAUUUUGUUUAGCUUAUAUAUGUGUUUGUUCUAUCAUAAUCAAGGUUGUCAACCCAAAAGUCUAUGUAAACUUGAUGUUUACGAAGAUUUAAAAACCUCAACUCAAACUCAUAAAAAAAGUUUAACAUAUUGGUUCACAUAACAAUUAUAAUAGAAAAGCAAGAUUAAAGAAAAUAAUUGCAUUAUAGAAAGUUUUAUAGUACAUGUCUUACGCAUACAGAUAGAUUUUGGUGUUUAAGGCACCUUAAUCUUAUUUGAGUAUAGUUCAUGAAAGUGUGAAAUAUAAGCAGCAGGAUCACAACAGAGGAAUUUUAGACAUGAGAUUGUGCAUUAAAUCCUGCAGUAGUUAGAAAUCCUGACUUUAAAAUAGCAAUGAAUGAAUCAUUUGUAGAAUGUAAUCCCAUUUUGGUACUAAAAGACGAGAGACGUACAUGAUGAAUAAUGCACCUUUGCUUAUAGAUACAAGAAGUUCAUUCUCCACUUACGCUUUAUGUUAUUUUGGGUGUAUAAGUUGAUAUUUGCUUUUUCUUUAAUCAAUUGAAGAAUGAAGAACCUCAUUUCUGAAUUUGAAGUUGGAGAAGUUGAAGUUGUGUGUGAUGCAAUCUGAAGGUUUAAAAAAGCACUAGACUUUGUGCCUUUUAAUGGUAAGGAAACGUAGAAGUGAUAACAUAGAAAGGUAUACAUAUGUCAUUGAAAUUACAAGUAUCCGUAAAAGAAUAAAUCCAGACAACAUAGAAAUGUGUCUAAGCCUAAAAUAUAACAAAGCACUAAGAGGGUAAGGAGAUUCUGUGAGGAAAUACAAGUCAUCCACUUCAUCUACGGUCAGUCAUCUUCAAAGUUCUGACAUCCAAUAUGGGAGAUGAUACAUAAGAUAAGAAAACAAGGGAGCAAUGUAGUAAGUUUGGUCACAAAAAUCAUAUUCAAAGAAAAAUUUCACAAAUAUAAAAGUUGGGCCAAUGUGACAUUUGGAGUGAGAUAGACAUUUCAAAUGAGUAGCUAGAAUAACAUCUAUAUUUAAUAACUUGUGUAAAACAAAAUGAUGAUAAUUUAGCAUUGAUUUGUGUCCAAAACUUUUAAUCAAACAUAUAUAUUGCUUACACUUAAUAGUACUGUUUCUUGACCAUGGAAUAUCUUUGAUCAAAUUUUUAAUCUCAGAAUUUGAGAAAAUCAGGACACUACAAUUCAUAUUCUGUAGUAGCUGUGUUUGUAUCACUUUAAUCUUGAAAUUUCUUUGAGUUUUUGUUUCUUCUCUCAGGGUAGAUCCUUUUUAAGGCAUGUUUUCUUAUGACAAUGAAAACAUUUAAACUUGCUUUGUGAUUGAUUUAUGGAUUUAGAUCUAUGCUUGUUUAGUUUGGAAUUUCUUUUCUCUGAUCUGCCCUACAUAAUAUUCAAACAUUCUGCAUUAUUUUUAGUAGUCAUAUCUUCCGCUUUUUGAGAUUUCUUUAUUUGAAUUGAGCACUGCACAUGAAAAGUGAUUGUUUGAUCUCUUCCAAACGAAAUAACAUCCUAGAAGUGUUAAUAUGAAUUUGGUAGAGCAUUAAAAAGAAUACGAGCCAUAUCUUCAUUCUAGAAAAAAAAAGAGGUUAAAGAAAGAAUAAGAUGAUUUUAUAACAGGCAUUAUAUCACCUAGAAAGUGCAUAUAAAAAAACUGAUUUCCUUUUACUACUUUAUCUGGACAAAAACAUUACUGUCUAAGCUAAAUCAUAAGAUACAUUUUAUGAAAUGGGAAGACAUCAAACAUAAAAGUGGGUAAAACUGAAACCUUGUUUUAUUAUUCAGUAUAUACACUACGCAAAAGGCUACCCAAUUUUUGAAGGACAGAGUGACACAUUAGGGAGAGAAGUAAACAAAACACUCUUGAAUUUACCACAAAAAAGUCGGUUUCGUUUUGGAAAAAAGUUGUAUUUCUGGAAUGUGGUUUAUGUAUUGCCA